GCUUCACCUUGAGCAGUUGAAAAGCCAAAUGCCUGGGGUCCCAUGAAGAUGUGUCCUUGUGACAAACAACCACAGCCUUGACUUUUGCUCCAUCAGCACCAACCAAGUUAACCAUAUAAGCAUCGAUGUUCUGGAAGCUGUGGCAGUAAAAAACCGCGUAGACAUAGUUUUGCUUGUGACAAGCAACCAAUUCAUCAUCAACGAUUGCUUUAUCAUUGUUCAACUUGGAAACAUCCACAAUACCAUAUUUUUGGAUUUUUCCUGCAUUUUUUGGUGCUUCAUUUGAAAAUGCUAGAACAUUUUUGCCCAGCUUUGAAGUAGUGAAAUCGACCAUCGACUCGAGAGAUGUCGCACAGUACUUGUCUUCCCCUUCAAUUGCAGGCUCCUCGCAUUCUGCUAUGGUUUUCUUGAUAGCUUCGGAUUGGGCUGAAUGUGGGUUCACUGAGAAUUUAUUCAAAAUUUCAGGAACAGAUUUGGAUGAGAAGGGAGUGGAAUCAGCCACCUGGCGGGGUAGGAAGGCCGGAGUAUCAUUCACUGAUUCAAUGAACUGCAUAUUCACGCUUGAGCCGCGAUGGAGGUCCUUUUUCAAGAAGAAAGCUGUUACUUUUUGGUGAUAAUGGAGUUGGUCUUCAGUAGGACUAUAAUGCGCAGUGAAUCUAUAUAUUCUCAACGGGAUUCUGUCUGGUCUUACGCUGAAACUGGCACCUCCCGGGGGCUUUCCUGUAGUUAAUUGAUGAGCAACAAGAUGAAAUACCAAAUAUUUUGAGGGACCAAAUUUAACAUUUUUAAAUAGAAAAGCUUCACAGUUUUGUGAGGUAUGACUUUAAAUUUAUAUAAAAUAUAUCUAAAUUUUUUUACAGCUUAGACCCUCUAAUUGUGGCAAGUAUUGGGAAUGGUUGUGAGUUGUGACAUCUGCUGGACCACUAUAUUUGUAUGAUCUUCUGAACUAAAUGCAGUGUAGACAAUCACUUGUGCAUGAUUAUGUAAAAUUCAAGAUAUUUUACUCAUUUUGUCGGUAAAAGCUUUUACACAGUGCAUGAAUAUGAAAUAAUUAUAAAACAUUUAGCCAAAUUCUUUUUUUUUAUAAUUAAAUAUUAGAUUUUUCUAACAGAUACCUAAUCGGCACCCCAUUUAUUAUAUAUAUACUACUAACAGUUGUUAUACUCUUUUACAUUUAAGCCCAUCCCUAAACUUAACUUUAUUUUUUAAAAAAAGUUAAUAGAUUAACUCAAUCUUAAUGAAUGUCCACUCUCGUUGGACAAACCCUUAACUCUUUUACUCAUUUCAUUAUUGGUCGUUGAAUGGGAAAAUUGAAGUAUAAAGACCAGAUUUAUUGUGUUUGUCAGCAUAAUUUUGUGAUUUUUUUUUUUGGUUUUCCCUUUAGUGAAACUAUAAAUUUGUGGUGUAAAUUUUCUCAAAAUUCUUUAGCUUUUGAAAUUGGUUUAGUAUCUAUUAAAACCCUUGAAAUCUUGGGGAAACAAACAGGAAAUUUAGCAAGCAAUAGAAGAAGCGGAAUAAAUAAUAAAGAUUGGAAAGGAGCACUUCUCGGACAAACCAUUGCGUACGAUAUCUCUGACAGCUUUGGGCAUCGGACUGGUUGGAAGCUUGGAUUUCCAAUAAACUUCGAGAUCUGCAUGCUUUGCUCCAACUCCUGUCUGGUAUAAAUUUCACGAUACCCAAAAAGAAUAUAUCAGCAAUUAAGUUUCCAGGCUGCCCAAAAUGCAAGCAAAUUAUCACGAAGUUAAAAAUUAAGAUAGCCUGUAACUUUGAAAUAUAUAUAUACACACACACUCACAGAAACAAGUGUGAGAAAGUAGAGGAGCUUGAGCAAGUCCAUAAUACUUAUGCCACAGUAGAAUUCGGCUAUGUAAGGCUGAGUGAAGAGAUACUAAAACCAAAAUGUUGAUGUGAGAUAGCUCAAGAACCUUGGCAGCAGUAUUUAUACAAGUGCAAGAGCCACAGUGGCUUGCUAAAUAUUUGAGAGGGGAAAAGUUUUGACAUGAUUAAUACUGCAUAGUUGAGCAUUUAAGGGUCUGUUUGUUUGAAUUGAAAAAAUUUUUUAGAAAAUGUUUCCUCAAUUUGUGCUUUUUAACUCAUUUAAAACCACAGAAAAUGAUAUCUCUUGGUAAAAUGUUUUGCAUAAGUGUGCGUAAAUAAUUCCGGUUACAAGCUAAAUAAUUCCAGUUAAAAUGUUUUGCAUAAGAGUGGUUGAUAUGGUGACGAACUGAAUUAAUUAUUCAUCAAGACGGGUAUUUUCUAGAAGGAACCGAACACAUGAAAAUUAGAAAGAAAAGAAGAAAUUUUUUUCCAAAAGAUGACUUCCAAUGAAAUUAGUUUCCCAGUGAAAAUCAUUUAUAUGGUGCCGAAUAGAUCCUUAGUCACUGUACCUUUCAAUUUUCAUGAUAUGCAUCAAUCACUACAAGAAAAUUGGUCAUCAGUGAUAACUUUUCUCUGUGACGAAAAAAAGUUGUCACAAAAGUGGAUCCUUUAUUGAUGACUUUCUAACUCGUCACAAACCUCUAAUGGGAGCCAACUCAUUUGUGACACUAGUAAAUUCCCGCCAAGUUUUAGCAAGAGCGCGGGAGUGUUUAGAACACACAAUAGUGACGACAUUAAGAACAUCAUCACUAUUGCUUGGCCUAUUUACGGACGACUUUUUGUUGUCGUCACUGAUCACUAAAAAAAAAAGUUAUUAGUGACAACAUUUUGUAGUGAUGAAUUGUAAUUUUUGUCUUAAUAAUCUAAGUCUCAUUACUUGUUCUUUAUUAUUGUACUCCUCCCCUUACCUAUUUCUUUUACUCUUUUAUGACAGAUAAAUGCUAUUCAUACUAGUUUUUGGAAGAUAUCUAUGGUUAUGGUUGAAGAAUGUUGAAGACAAAAUUGCCUUUUGCUCAUGGAGUGAUUCAUUUAGAUGUUCUUCAAUUUCUUAAACUAUGAUUGCUUUUGUAAAUGUACCUUAUGUACAAGUGAUAUUUUGGACAAAUGUUAUUUUUGUAGGCAUUAGUUGGGCAAUGUACACUUGAAUUUGGCAUUUGAGAAUGCUAUAUUAUUACCAUGUAAUCUAAUGCAAAUACUUUUGGUUAUCAAUCGUUCAUGUUUAUUUGUAUGGUUUGUUUAAAAUCAAUGAUUUAGCAAUGAUUACAGGCCAAAUUAUGACUAUUAAGCUAUUAUGAAAUUAUCUAAUGACAAAAAAAAGUUGUCACAAAAUAGAAAAUAAAAACUCCUUGUCACAACAGAGACUGUCACUAAAUCUAAGUUACAUUUGUGACGACAAUUGUUGUCAGUAAAAUAGUUAUAUACAAUGGCUUUCGGUGCUUUUUAGUGACGACCUUAAGUAGAGCAUUUUUGACAAAAGGUCAAUUCGUCAAUAAAACACUUCCAGAUUGUCGUCACUAAUGACAACUAUUUAGUGACGACCUCAAAAAUGCUCUACUUAAAGUCGUCACUAAUGAGAACUAUUUAGUGACGACAUUUUAGGUCGUCACUGUUUACUUUUACCGACGGGGAUUUAGUGACGACUUUGUGACGAUCAAAAAGUCGUCAAUAAAAGGUAUUUGUGACGAUAUUUGUAUGUUCUGUGAUGAUUUUGUGUUGUCACUGAUGAACAAUUUUCUUGUAGUGAAUGGAGUAUUUUUCAUAAUAGUCAUUAUCACAACUCGGGUCCAAGGAUUGGUCCAAGUAUUUUUUGGAUCGAAAUUCACUGAAUCAAAAUAGUUAACCCAAAUUACAAGAUAGCUAUUGGAUCCAAGCUUUAAACUCAUUCCCUUCCCUUCCCUUUCUCAAAUUGAUAUGGAAUACCUUAUUCUCCCCACCUUCAAUACUUUGAAGUCCUAGCAAAAUUGAUAUUGGAUCUAGAGGUGACUUCCGUCGAACGUAGUAGUACUUAGCCCCACACAACACUUAGCUCUUUACGUGGUUCGCUUUGAUACCAACCAUCAUGACUCAGGUCCAAGGAGUGGCACAAGUAAAUGAUUAACCCAAAUUACAAGAUAGCCAUUGGACUCAAACUUUAAACCCAUUCCCUUCCCUUUCUCAAAUCGAUGUGGGAUACCUCAGUUAUCAUCUUGCCUACAGUUGAAAAAGUUUAGCUGACAUGAUCUCGUAAAUGAAUGAUUGGCAGAAGAUAGUAUGCAACAUUCUAAAAAUUUGAUUAAAAACCGUAUAAUUUUUUUAUUUCUAACUUUUUUUCUAGGCCAAGUUUAACCAAACAGAGCAUAAGUGUAUCGACAUAAUAUGGGACCUAUUUGGCACCUAAGUUUUUUAAGUAGUUUUUCUUCUACAAGCUUUUAAAAAUUUUAGAUGAAUCUUAAAAAACUUACCAAAAUUUUUAAAAAACAUAGCUCAAAAUAACUAAAAAUAGACAAAUUUUUUUUUCCUUCUUUUCUUUCUUUUUCUUCCUCCCCACACCUAGAUCCAUCACCAUAUCUACAAUCGGCCUAUGCCGAUAGGCACUAGCAUCACCGCCAGUGCCUCUAUCUCUCUCCCUCUCUCCUUCUUUCUUUCUUUCCUUUCUCUUUGUCUCGCUCCCUUUCCUCCUCCCUUCCUCCCUCUUCCUCCUCUCUUCUCCUCCCUUCCCCUACCAUCCUCUCUUCUCCGUCUCCCUUCACUGGACCUGUCCCCUCCUCUUCCCCUACCGGUCACAUGACCAGUAGGGAAGGAGGAGGGGGUCGUAGGAGAAGGAAAGGAAGGAGGAGGAGAAAAGAGGGAGAAGGAGAGGGAGAAGGAAAGGGAGGGAGGGGGAAGAAGAAGGAGAGAAGAUUAAAAAAAGGAGGUGGGGAUGGAGUUGGCUGGCACCGAUGGCAGAGGGCGUGGAAUGGUGGUAGUGGUCGACAGUGGAGGGAGUAGAGUAGUGGUUGUGGUGUGGGAGGGAGGAGGGAAGAGGAAGGAGGGAGAAUUGGGGGGGGGGGGAAGAGAGAAAGAAAAAGAAAAAAAUUUGAAGAAAAGAAAGUUUUUUUUAUACAUUUCUUAAAUACCUAACUAUACAUAAGUUUUUUCACAAAUUUUACAGUAAAUUACAACAAAAUUUUAUACAAACAACUAAAAAACUCACCAUUUAAAUGGGGUAUUGGAUAAUCAAAUCACCCUUCUCAUAUUAGGGCAAAGUUCAAGUUAUUUCCAUGAUUUCCAGUGUGUUUCUCUUGGAUCCUAUCUCUCUCAUAUAUUAAUUGCUCCAUUUGUUUUGUACUUGAUGUUCAUUUGGGGUAUAAGUUGGGCGAAUAAAAGAAUAAUUAGAAGGUGAAUAUAGGAACAGAUAUCUAUUACAAGGUUGCAGAAACCCUCAGAAGGACCCUGCAGGUGAUUAUCUUGCAAAAAAGGUAGCCCCUAGGGGAUAUCUCUUAUAAUUUCAAGAUGUGAUGAUAAGGUUAGAGCAAUGGGAAUUAGCACACUGAUCAUUCGGACUUACGUUGGGAGCAUUGUUUAAGGUUUCUAUCAAUUGAUUAUGAUACGUGAAGACUAGACACUUCAAAUCACAAGAGCAACGGCUAAUUCCAAUUUUCACUCUUCAACUAUAUUUGUAUUUUCACUUUAAUUUCUAAAUUUUAAAGUGGAAUACUUUAUUCCUUAAAAAAUAAAAUUUGUCUGCUUAAGUAAAAUGGUUGACGGAAAUAGGACAUAUUUUAUAUUUAAGCGAGAUGCAUCUUAUGUUUUAAGAACUAAAGUAGAACAAAUUUUAUUCAUAAGUAGGAUACUUUUUUUUUUAUAUAUAUUUUUAGAACUAAAGUGUGACAAAUUUUACUUAAAUUCAAUAGAUUUUAUGUUUUAGCUAUAAAAGUAUCUCAUUUUCAAGUUUAGGUACCAAACUAGGUAUUCAACUAUAGUUAAACGGUGCAACAUAGAAUUAACUCCAAGUGGAAUUUUUAGUUAUCUGGAAAGAGGAAUCUUUUAUAAAUCAGUCCCCUCCUUGUUGGUGGCUUAAAUUGAACACGGCAGGCUGCUAGUGCCAAUAAUGCAUUUAACAUCAUAAUCGCUAAUACGGACAGACGGUGGUGGCCGGGGUUGGCAUUUGGUGGGAUAGUUGAUAGUGCCACUGGCGUGCUUCAAUUUGCCGCCAUGACAGUGCCAUCGCAGCCGCCCUACUCUAAAAGAAAAGGAAAUGAAAAUAACUAAAAAUAAUAAUAAAUUCGUAAUGAGUAAUAACAAGUUGUAUUGCUGAAGAGAACUUGGUCGAAUAGUUAAGUUGAGAUCCUCCUUCUUCUUUCCUAUUUCUUAAAUCCCAUUCAUCUCCUGUUAAAAUAUUUUGAGAAAAUAGAAAAACAAAUUGUAUUUUUUGUGUAGUCGAGUUGAACAAAAAGCUAAAUAGCUUAGCUCGAUAUACUCGCAAACAAAAGUGAAGAGACUUUUUGAAACUACAGGGAAAUUAUGUUGCAAAAUAGACUUUUUCUUUUAAAUAUCUUACUAUCGGAAAGAAAUAUACUUUUUUUUUCUUUUCUUCUUUUUCCUCUGUUUUCGAAAAAGUAGUGUUAAAUUAAACCAGCAUGGCAUCAAGUCAGUUUUAGCAAUCAAUAGCACUUAAAUGGUCUCAUGAUUAGGUGUGUCAAUUGAGAUUUUUGAGCUGGACUUUGGUAAGCCCAAGCUCAACUCACAAUAAAAAUAAUGUGUGUUUCAAUAGCAAUUUUUUUAUCAAAUAUUAUUUUACUUGCAUCACAAUUAUAAUUUUCAAUCAACUUUGUAUGUUCCUAAUAACUUUUUUUUUAUCUCACAUACAUCACAUCAUAAAAAGUAUUAUAAUAAUUAUUUCAAAUAAUCUCCCAUCUAAAAACACUCAUCAUAAUUUUGUUAAAAUUUGCACUAAUAACAGAAGUUACAUUAUCAAUCAUACACCAAUAUCAAAUAACAGAUCUAAGAAGUACGGAGAUUACAUAUUUGAAGAAUAAAUAAAAAUUAAAAUAAAAUACUUUUAAAUUGAAGAACAUUUGUGCAUGCUUCCAAUCCAAAUGAAGAUGCUUUAAUCUAGUGUAAAUUUUGUUGAAAAAUAGGGAAAAUGAAAUAAAAUGUUCAAUUUGGAAUGAAACACACAUGCAAUUAUCACUAUGUAGAUUCCAUAAUAACUUGGCCUAAUAAUAGAGUAGGUAAAAGUUCGCCCGUUAAAGGAUUGCUGUUAUUAUGGUAGAUUAACUUGCAUAAGAAAGAAAAAGUUUUAUAUAAAAACAUGGAUACAUAUGCCGAGGAGGCUUUGGUCUAAUGGUUAAAAUCAAAACUCUAGAAAUUAGAGAUUCUCGGUUCAAAUUCCUUUGCCCCUCCCCCUUCUUAAGUCGCACCUCUUCCCUGCUGAUGGAAAAGUUUUUUUUUUUUAAAAGUGUAAAACAAAAAGCCUCCUGUGGUAUAGCUAUCUUACAGAAAAAUCCCUUGCGAUUUCAAAUCAUACGUGUCGGUACCUCAUGAUUUGAAGUAAUUUGAAACAUUGACGGAAAUCGUUAAAACAAACGGUUUUGAGUGAAAUGACAGAACUGCCUUAAUAAUAUAAGCAAAAAAUGGCCUAAAAUAAACCGUUUUUGAUUCAUUACUUUCAAUCACUAAUAAUAUAAGCAAAAAUCGUCGAUUUCUACAAGUUUGGAGCAAAUUUGAAGAAGAAUCAUGGUUGUUUUUUUAAGGUACGAGGGGGAAAAUAGGUAUUUCAGGUCAAAAUUGGCUUAAAAAACUAUUUUUUAGAAGACCACACACAGUUCCAACGUGUCUACAUCAAACGCUAAAUUUAACUAUUUUCAUUAAUUUUUCACUUUAUUUUAAAUCAUGAGGUACCAACGUGUGUGAUUUGAAACUACAAGGGAUUUUUCUGUAAGAUAGCUAUACUACAGAGAGCUUUUUUGUUAUUUGUCCUAAAAAAAAUGGAUACAGAUAGAGGUCAGGUUCGGUCCAGAAGGUUGAUGUAUGUGUUGUAGAUUCAUCCAAAAGUUUGGCAUAUUUUGUUAUAGGAUCUAUUUUGCAAUCAUUCAACGUAAAAUAGUACACAAAAUUUGUACAUCAACCAUCAAUAAUACUCAUCGAGUACCUUUACGGUUGAGGAAAUAUUACACCGACAUAAUUGAUACUACAACUGGCAGAGAAGAGACUAAACAAGGAUUAACUUAUUUAUGGGUAGAUAAUCAGUCGCACUCCCAAGCCAAGCUGAUAUUGUCUACUUAAGAGGGGGAUUAUAAGUUCAAAUGGUUUUAUAUUUGAUAUUGUCUACCAGUUUAAAAAGGUUUAAGUCAUAACUAAGUAUUGUUGGACUGUCAUACUAAUAGCUUAGAACUAACUUGGAACCACCUGAAGGGAUAUAAAUUUCUAUCUGAGUUGUAAACUUGUAAUUUGUAAGUCUUGAAGGUCUUGAUCUUACACAUUUGAAUUUAAAAAAUUUGAAGUGGGUGCCACUACACCCUUCUAAUCUAAACGGGCCCCAUAUAUAACACAGUUGGGGGUAAUAUAUGUGCUCCCAAUUAUUAAAAAGCAAACAAAAACCUUACCAGCAUUUUGGUCCUAUGUGAGGGCCACAUCUAAUGUGAGAUUGUCCUUAAGCAUAGGUCCAUACUACAAUUUACAAGGAUUCAUGACUUGAUGUCAAGAGGGUUGAAUUAAGACUACUUUCUUGUAUGCUUAAAAAAAAGACUACUUUCUUGUACACCAAACAAAAUGUCGAAAAAACAUAUUUUCUAAAAAGUUUAUUGGGAUGAUUUGAACCCAAGGCUUGGCACUACCUGGACUUUUCUAAAGUGCUGUAAAUUUUUUUUGUUUGGGAUAUUCACAGCAAUGAUGGCUGGAUCACCUCAACCUACUUUAAUUUGCAGCCUGCCGACUUUUCUGCCCUGCCUUAAAAGAAAAGGAAAUUAAAAGUACUUAGAUAUUAAGAAAUGUCAAAUAAGAAACUUUACCUCUUGUGCAGUCAAAUUGGACAGAAAGCAGCUUCGCUCUAACCUAAACUAGAAGAAAGUAAAGUGACUAUUUUGAAACUACACAGAUUGCAAAAUCUUAAGUAAUAGAUUACCAAAGGAAAUUUACCAUCUAUUUCUUUUUCGUUCUGCUGAAAGUAGUUUAACCAGCAUGAUUUCAAGCCACAGUACUCAACACAACUUGAAUAGGCUCACGGCGAUGGAUCCCUUCGUGGACUUGACUCGAGUACGCAGCAGGUUCAGUGCAGUGAAGGGUUAAUCCAAGGAAUUAUAAGGAGAAAGUUUCAUUGAGUUCCUCACUCCACCACCAGUUUAGCAGUUACUCUUCACCUUCAGCGUCUCUGAGUCUGGCUCAUUUGUUUAUCAAUUUUGUUUGUUAUUCUGUCAGGCGCACAGAGUCUGCUGAAGUCAAGUCCAACGAGGAGUCCAUUAUCUUGAGCCUAGCUACUGUCUUCAAAUGAGCACAUUUUUUGAUGAAUUAUUUCAUUUUUAUCUGUCAAAAUAUAUAUAAUCUUUUAUGUAUGAAGUUGAAACUACUAAUUAAGUUCGUAUAUUUUCAAAAGUUAUCUUCUUAAACAUAUAAAACCAUUAUAUUCAUGUAAUUAGGAAUACGAAAGUGAUACUUGAACUCCCAAAUUACUCUUUUGCAUUCGCUGAUGGCAUUUCAUUGAGUGAAUAGAUUAAUGUUAGAAAGGCUAACAUAGGAAUGCGAAUAUCACUCAUCACUACAAGAAAAUUACCAUUUAAUGACACUCAAAAAUGCCUCUUUUUGUAUGUUUUAGUGACAAUUUUUAAUCUAAUAGCAUUUCCCCCGAGUGUUGGCAAUAUCACUGCCACUAUAGUCUAGUGACACUUGAAAAGUGCCACAAAAGAGUUACUAUGAUAACAUUUUAACAUUUCAUUGUACUAGGGAUAUGUGUCAUGAGAAGAUGCCACUAUGUCAUUUUUUUUGGGUGUUUGCGAAUGCCAACAAUUUAAGUUUUGAUACAACUUUAAAUGCCACUAUUUAAAACUUUCCUGUCACUUUGAAAUGCCACUAAAAAAUUAAGAAAAUAAAAAAAUAAUUUGAAAUUAAAAAUCAAAGUACUCUUAUUGAUCCGGGUAAUUAAUUACAACUCAAGAAAAUGAAAGUUUCGCCAUUUAAACAAGUCACUAACUAAUAAAUCUAGUAAGAAAUUAUAUGACAACAAUAUAAACAAAUUCAUGCAUUUUACAAAUGAAACAUGUCUAAAGACAUUAAUCUUUUAAGCUGAUAACUUGGAAAAGAUCAUGUCUUCUUUGCUUCAUUAAUCUCUCAAAUGCUAUGUAAUCUGCAUUUAAACAAUACAAUGAAUAUAUUACCUCUUCUCAAGGAUUAGUUAGUAAAAAUAUUAACUCAACUCAAGAUAUUAGCAAUAGUGGUUGAAAAAUUAACAAUGAUCAAAGUGGGAAGUAAAAUGGGGCACCUUGAACUUGCCAUAGAGAUACUAAAGUGACAGGUUGUCGAACCUAUGCAAUAAUAAAUACCUGCUCAAACAAAAGUUAAUUUCUGCAGAUAGUGAUAAGUAGGGUCAAAUCCAUAGGGACUGGGGAUAUUUGUCUCUUUUGGAGUUCAAACUAACAAUGGGGGGUUUUUUAUAGCAAUGACAAUGAUUAAACAGUUCGAAUAAAAUCAAAUAGCUAACUAAAAAGUAAACGACAAGUCACUAAAAUCAGAUUAAUGAUAACUAAAGUUCUAGCCAAGAAAUAACUUUAGCAAUGGUUCACCUAAUUGAUCAUCAAUGCAAAGGCAAUUCCAAUUAUUUACUAAUAAAUAGGUUAUAACUGCCAAACAAGCGAUGACAGUCAACCCUUCCUUACUGUGUCGGUGAUUAAGGUAUACCCAUUAACCACUACUCUAAUUGAGAAAUAAUCAUAGGUACGCCCGUAAGAUUUAAUUCUCUAAUUGUCUUACGUAUUAGUGGAGUCCUGUUCUAACCAAAUAACGCACUACCAGGGUUAUUUUAUGUUAGCCCGCGUAUUCCCCUGACACAAAUCCAAUCAUGCUAGUUGUCACUAUUUCAGGGCAAUUAAACAAUUACAGAUUUAAUGCCCCAUUUGACAAUAGAUUACUAAAUUAACUAAUUAUCUGGAUCCAAGACAAUCAAUUAAUUGAAUAACCAUGAACACUAUAAUAAGAGAAUAUGCGAAUAUCAAUAAAUAAAAGAAAAAGAUAAAAUUAAAUCGAUCUCACAAUUUUUAGGCGAAUCAAAGCCUCAGUUGUUCCUUGACUAGAAAAGGGAGUUUUGUUCAUCUUUAACGAAUAAAGCCCACAGGAGAUCGAAGCAACCGUAGCAGCCAUUGACUCCGAAAUUGAGAAAAUUCAAUUCGGUUCAGCAAUGAAGAAAAAGUCAAGAUUACAAAGAAUGCCCAAUUGCUUUUCUUUGCCUUCACAUCUGAUGGAAGCAAAAGCACAAUAAGAUGAAAAGAGGAAAAGUCAAAAGAAAAGCUAAGCUAGAGGUCCUACCAUACGAAGAAAGAAAAACUACCCAAGAAAAGUCAAUAGAAAGCUAUUUAAUAUCUAGUUCCUACUGCUACUGUCCGGCGUCCGUGGCCAUGAAGAGACCGAAGAAAACUCUAGCCUUUUUAUCCUCUUUCCAUGUUGUCUUCCGCCGUUACCAAAGAGGGUCGCAUCCUCAUAUUUCAAAAAUGCCCCUGGACGCCUGCUACUUGAAUUCUUUUCCGAUGACUGUCAAAUUGGCCUUGGUUGUGGUAUUUUCAUUCUACUCCCUAAAAUAAAUGUAAAUUACGAAAAGUGAGUAGAGUCUAAUAACUGAUUCACAUCAAGUCAGGUAAUAGGGGAAAUUAACAAUAAAAUAAAUGAUAAAAUAGUAACCUAUCAAUUCCCCCCCACACCUAAUGAUGCGAACCCGAAUCCCCAAGCUCCCGCUCUUGAAGAAACGAAUUGCACAGGCAGCGGAAGGAUCUAUUUUGAUCAGGCUAUGGACAAAUUUGGUGGAUUCUAAACCAAUCAAGGACAACUCGAGAUUGAUUAGAAGGAUAGAAGGCGCCACAAUCCAACAUGGUCUUGAAUUGAUAAGCCAGUUUGAAUCCCCGAGGCCAACUCUAAGGUAUUGAAAGUUGCUUCAAAGAAGCCAAGAGAAAACUCUCAAUUUUUAAUUCAUAAAAAAUGUCCCCCCUUUAGUCUUACAAAGCUAGGCUAUUUAUAGGCUAAAGGUAACACAAACCCUAAAGAAACCCUAAGAGAGGAGUCGGCCAUCUUGACUCCAAGAUGGGCUGGCCCAUGCCUUCUACUAAGCAAAUAGUCCAACUAAACAAGUAAUAACGACUAAGGCCCUACUCGGCCGACUCACAAGGAGGCCCACUUGAUUCUUCAUGAGCUUGGAUCAAGGUGUUAGUUACUUGAUUGUCUCUUUCUAAGCCUUCAAUAUCUUUAUGGGCUUCGUGUUGGUCUUGGAUAACUCGAACGAGGGGUUGGAGGGAUUCUUUGAAGAGCUUGGCCCGUGCACGUGUGACUGGGCCUUAUGGGACUCGGACUGGAUCAUUGCGUGGGCUCCGAUCCAUGCACACAUCAGUGAAUUCCUUGUUUUUGACUCUAUUCAUUGGCCCCCAAUGAAUCUUUGUUGGAUCUAGAGAUAGAGCAUGAACACCUACUAGGGUUCGUAUCAUUCCCUUCCUCUUAAAUAGAUUUGUCCUCAAAUUGUAGGACCGCUUAAAUUGCAAUAAUGAUGGAAACACGUGGAUGAUCACAAUCCUAGUGGCAUGGUGUUUGGAUAACCUCUUGAUGCUCACGAACUCCAAUGAUGCAUAAAACUCAACUUUCGGUGGUAGCAACAUGAUGGAGUCAGCAAUCGUGUCUUUAUGUAGACAAGGAGAUGAUGGCAACGAAGAACGUAAGAGCAUCAAUUGGUUGGAAACCAUGGAUGAAUGGAAGCUGGAAAAGUCGUGGACUGCUGCUGGUUUUGGAACAUCAAACUUGACUGGAACAAGCAUAAAAUCUGGUUGUACUCCUUUAAUCAAUGCUGGAAAAUUUCGGACAGCUUUACAACCUACAAAAAUGAAAUAAGUUUCAUCUUGUUUUGAACCAGCAAUUGGAUAAAGAAGCAAUGGAAUAUCAUUAGCUAAAUGGUAAGAAGGUAUAGCACAAGAUUUGAAUGUGAAAACUCCCUUUGACACUUCAUUAUCCCUUCCUUCAACCAAUUCAACUAGACAAGUCAUUGCUGGCUCUUUACACUUUCCAUCAAAAUCUACAUAAGGACGACAAGAAUUAGGACUAGUCAUACGCUCAAAAUAAGGCAAAGAGGAUGAAUGAACCAUAGGUAAAGAAUGGGAAGUAAAAUCUGGAAUUCCCCCUUUAAGAUAAACUCGAGUCAAUCCUCUGAUGGUGCGGACAGAUUCGAAGUGACAUUGGUCCAUGAAUUGAUACCAAAGAUAUUUAACUCCUAGAUGACAAACUCCAUGGAAACUCGCAAAGUGUCCAAGUGACUUUGGAAUGGAACAUGCCAUGACCAACUCUACUUGACUUUGUUUAAUCUGCACCAAAGAAGAAAUACUAAACAAAACACAUGUUAGCUUGAUAGAAAACAAAACGUUCGCACUCUUGACUUUUGCAAACAUGGCCAACUCUCCCUCCUUAUUCUUCACUAAGACCGAAUUACUCCCGCCGUUUUCCACUCUAUUACCACCAAUUGACACUUGAUUAAGUUGCUCAAAGUAUGAAUUCAUCACUUCCCUGAUUUCUCCCAUCAUAGAAUCAACCAAUUCUUUAGUCCGACUCCGGAAAUCUUUCUUUGGUUCACAAGGCUUUGUCUCAAUCCGAGAACUCUUAGAUUCCUUGACUCGUUUGUCAUGACACCCCUUAGAUGAAUCUCGUUUGCUUGAGGAUGACCUUGACUUAGAUGCUUGGCGCAAACGUCUUUGGUCCUCCUCAUACGCAUCACAAGUACGUUUAUAUCUUUCAUUUACACACAAAGCACGGUCACGUUCCAUCUCCUCCCGAAGUGAACGAAACUCAUGUUGUGAACUAGAUUGCAUGGAACUAGAGUACUUGGAAGCAGUUUGCUUGGAACCCCUCCUCUUAAGAGGCUCAUUCUCCAAGAAUUCUUGAUUAUAUGAGUGAGAUACAACUCCACUUGGCAUGAUUACGUGACCUGCAAAAAUGGUUAGCAAAGAAAAGGAUUUCCUCACAACACACAAGCUCACGUAUGUACACUCAACCCUCGUGUAUCAUUCAAGCGUAUAACACUCUAAUGGUCUCACCAAAUUUCUCAAGGCCUCUUAUUCACGUUCCUUGAACAAAUUAGAAUUUACUCAAGGAUCGCAACCAACUAGUCAAUUAAAAAUCACAAAAGUAGCAAUGAAGUUCAUGGAUUUUGAAGGAUAAUAGCAAACUGACUUAGAAAGAUUUAAAUGACCCAAGUACUGUUGUAAACAACUCUAGAUGAUCGACAAAAGAGACAACUCACAACUCAAACGCUGAAAUUUUGGAAGCCUAGAAAGACUCCUACCCGACAAACUUGGAUUUUGGGCUGCUGUUGUUACCGAGUUCUGGUCAGUAUUUUGGAUGGCAGAUGGUGCUUUUGGGAAGGUCAAAUCACGUGAGAAUCGGUCCUCAAUUUCCAGCCAAUUUGGGUCACAAAGUGAUACUCAACCGACUCAAAUUGCGGGUGGUUUGGGCGUUCCAAGGUGUAGCGGUGUAGUGGCGACAUUUCCAGGUUUUCUUUGGGAUUUUGGGAAAAGAAUGGCGGUGGUUCUUGGAUGAUUUCCAGCUGCUACAAACAGGUAAGCUUUUGGUAGCCUUUGUUGGCCACUAGGCCUUGUCUCCCAAUCCCCACCGACUAGGAUUUCCCAAGCUAAACAACUUCCUAAUCCGAAACUGUGUUGGCCUUCUUUCCUUGCUUUUCCUCGAUUGUGGCGGGUCAGGUUUAGUUUAGGAAACUAUUUUGAGUGCUUGUGGGGGCUGGUGAGGUCGGUUGAAGGCUGUUAACGUGCUUGGGUGAUUUGGACUUUGGGUAGAUGGGGUUUUUUUUUUUUGGCAGCCUCUAAUCCCAAGAGGACUGGGAUUGGUUAUAGCUCACGGUUGGGACUUGGUUACCACUUGGAAACUUGGCCGCACCUUUCCCCUUUUUUUUUCUCUCGUUUUCUUUUCUGUUUUUUUUUCCUUUCAUUUCUUUUUUUUUUUUCUCUUUGCAGCUCACUAAGGAAUUUUUUUUCCCAAGAAACCGGAUUCAGUCCCACUAUUGAAAUUUCGAAUCAAGGUUCACAACUGGCCAAGAAGGAUUGAAGUUUGUUUUCCAAGACCUAAGGCUUUUCCCAAGAGUUUCCAAAUCUGAUUUUCAAGAAUCCCAAGAAGGCUGAUCAAGAAGUUCAAGAACUCCCCAAAUAUGCUUUUGGCAUUCAAGAUUUGCAAAAUGCAACACAAAUAUUCAAGGAGCAAAUGCAAAACAGGUACGGGACACCCUUGUUUUUGCAAAUACAAGGGUGUCCCGUACAAUUUCAGCAACGAUUCAAAGAGGCAACAAGGUACGGGACACCCUUGUUUUUUUUUUUUUUUGACUUUGGCUAGGUUGUUCCUACGACCAAAAUACACAAUACCCACAAGAAUUCCCCACAAUCUAGGCCACAGCCAGUAGCAAUUAACAACCCAGAAAUCCGGACAGGUUGCGACACACAAACAAGACUACUUGAGAUGCGGCAAUAAGGAAGGAAAACCCUAGUUGCAACAAGAAGAGAAAGAACCCUAGUUGUGGCUAUAUGUUUUUUUUUUUCUUUCUGGUCAAGACACAAGAUACAGCUACCCAACAGAAUUUCGAACACAAAACAGAAUUUAGACACAAAACACGACGACAAAUCUGGAUAGCAUUUAACGAAAGACACCAAACAGAAUUUCGGCAAAGCACCAAAACUAGCAACUCAAGAUUUUUUUUUUGUUGUGCAACUAGGACACGACUAACACACUGAUUUGACAAUAUAAUUGCUGGACACAAACAAUGGAAACAAUAUCAAUAAGACACGGACAGAUUUGGUACAAGAAACAAACACGAUGAGCAACAAGAAACUAGAUACAAAUAAAACUAUGGAGAUUCAAACCCUAAGGUGCAAUUUUUUUUUUAAUUGGGUAGGGUUUGGUAGAAGAACAAUGAGUAAAACAAGAAAAGAAAAAGGAUAUUAACCUGGAUCAAGAGCCGAAACUCUGAUACCAACUGAUGCGAACCCGAAUCCCCAAACUCCCGCUCUUGAAGAAACGAAUUGCACAGGCAGCGGAAGGAUCUAUCUUGAUUAGGCUAUGGACAAAUUUGGUGGAUUCUAAACCAAUCAAGGACAACUCGAGAUUGAUUAGAAGGAUAGAAGGAGCCACAAUCCAACAUGGUCUUGAAUUGAUAAGCCAGUUUGAAUUUCCCGAGACCAACUCUAAGGUAUUGAAAGUUGCUUCAAAGAAGCCAAGAGAAAACUCUCAAUUUUUAAUUCAUAAAAAAUGUCCCCCCUUUAGUCUUACAAAGCUAGCCCAUUUAUAGGCUAAAGGUAACACAAACCCUAAAGAAACCCUAAGAGAGGAGUCGGCCAUCUUGACUCCAAGAUGGGCUGGCCCAUGCCUUCUACUAAGCAAAUAGUCCAACUAAACAAGUAAUAACGACUAAGGCCCUACUCGGCCGACUCACAAGGAGGCCCACUUGAUUCUUCAUGGGUUUGGAUCAAGGUGUAAGUUACUUGAUUGUCUCUUUCUAAGCCUUCAAUAUCUUUAUGGGCUUCGUGUUGGUCUUGGAUAACUCGAACGAGGGGUUGGAGGGAUUCUUUGAAGAGCUUGGCCCGUGCACGUGUGACUGGGCCUAAUGGGACUCGGACUGGAUCAUUGCGUGGGCCCCAAUCCAUGCACACAUCAGUGAAUUCCUUGUUUUUGACUCUAUUCAUUGGCCCCCAAUGAAUCUUUGUUGGAUCUAGAGAUAGAGCAUGAACACCUACUAGGGUUCGUAUCACCUAAACCCCUCUUGUCCUCAAGCAUAAGAACAGUAAACAAAUACCAAUAUUUGACAAUAGCUAUUGCUCCACCUACCAUAUUGCCAAGAUACCAAGAAAAAUAUAUCAAGCAUCAGCGAUCAAAAUCAAAGAAACAUCACUGCGAUUAGCUUCUAAACCACAAACUCCUUUAAUUGCAGGUUAACUAAUCUAAGAAGAAGGAAUGACGCACAACAUUUAUCAACAAAUGGUCUAACUAUUAACCAAAAUCUCAACAUUAAAUCCAUAAAUCGGUAGGCUGACUUUUAUUAUACACUAACACAAUAUUCACUUCUUUUUUCAUGUUUUUCUAUUUUUCUGUUUUUUUAAUAGUAACACAAGACUUAGUCCCUAGCCAUUGGAGUUUUUGGACGCGAACUCCGACAUUUGUCAGAUGAAAGAGCUCGGUUACUCAGUUCCUAUCGCAUGUGACCACGCACUCAUAGCAAUUACUACUUUUUGACGCGAGAAUCGACACUUUUGGUGAAAAUCCCCGAUUACUUGGUAGUAACUACUAGCGGAGUACAAUCAACUCUUAUUCACAUCUAAAUAACACAAAAAAUUCAAAAUAACACAAAAUCAAAAGUAAAUUUGCAUCAGCUAGCCUCAUUUUCAAACAUGGAGAACGAAGGUUAAUAAUCGGACCAAUUUACAUGAAAAUGCCAACAGUUAUUUUCUAUGUCUAGGAAAGUUAACCAAAAAUUAUAAAAGUCACACAGUCGUCGAUAUUCACCAUAGAGAUAUUCUUAGACUCAACCACAUCUACUUGAUACACUUCUAUUACUAAAACUUGGCAAUAGCAAAAAUAGAGACAACAAUCAAACAUCAAAUUUUGGCAUCACAUACGAGCUAAUCACUAAAAAGAAAGAAAGAUUGACAAAUAACAAACUAAAACGAAAGCAAAAACAUCUAAAAAACUAAAUAGUAGAAAAACUAGCACAGCUGCCCCCUCACACCUAGACCCUACAUUGUCCUCAAUGGAGGAAUUAAAGCAAUUAAAGCAAAGAGGACAUCGAAACUUCCCUCUCGAGUGGCUACGAGGUAGGCGGGAACGGUAGAGGGAAACCGAUGUGGUGGAAGUACGCGCCCAAGUUCUUCACUGGUUGUCGAGGGAAAAAGUAGGAAUGGAUGCGAGAGAGAGGGUGGCGCGCGAAGUAGAUGCGACGACUGGUGGUAGAGGUUGCGCGAUUGGAGUGAGAGAGAUUGGAGUGGUGGCGCACGAUGGUAGAAAAUGAGGAAGAAAGAAGAAGAAGAAAGAAAAAAAAAAGAAAAGAAGGAAAAGAAGGAAAAAGAAAAAGAGAAAGAAUUUUUUUUUUAAUUUGCAUCUUGCAGAUCUAAGCUACAGUUAAACAAAUGAUUCUUUUUUUGUCUUUUUCGAAUUAAUUUAUUAUUUAUCUUUUUUAAAAAAUUUAUUUUAUUUUAUUAUUUUUUUAAAGAAAUUUUUUUUCCAAAUUCGAAAUUAGAGAUAAGAAGGAAAGCGAAAUAUUUCUUGAGGUUUGAAAACUUAUCUUUCUCGCGAAAAUAAUGCGGGCACGUUAUGAAGGCUAGAACCCUUUUGAUGAUGAGCUCUCCAUACGACUUGACGUAGGAACGUCAUGAGGGUCCGAACCCUUCUGAUCAUGAGCUCUCCAUACGACUUGAUGCGAGCGCGUCAUGUCAGAGAGAUACCUACGGAUCAUCAAAAACGAGAAUUGAAGCCUGAAAUCAGUCAAACUCAAGGAAAACAUAUUUAAACUAAUAAACAAAAUCAAACAAAUAACUAAAAGAAAUUGGGUUGCCUCCCAAUGAGCGCCUUUUUUUAAUGUUUUUGGCUAGACAUUGAACAUUAUUCUUAAAUCUGGGUGUAACUCAAUUUUUCUUGUAAUCGAUGGCCCUCCUCCAGGAUCCAAAUAGCCUUUAAGUGCAGCCUUCUUUCUUAAUUUUCUACUCCUUUUCACCUCAUACAUUGCUUUCAUCCCCUUAUACUUGUUCUCAGUAAAUUUGAAUUUGCCUCUACAAGUAAACUCAGAAAAAUUCUUGCACAGAAAGAUUAAUAACAUGAAUAGCAAACCAGAGUAAGAGUUAACAAGAUGUUCCAUUGUAUCUAAAAUAUUAAAGUGGACUAGUUCUCCAUCAAAUUUCAUAGACAAUGUACCCUUAUUAGCGUUAUUUUUGUCUGGGCUGUACUAAAAAAUGGUCUACCUAAUAGCAAAGGUAAAGGGUCGGGAGAAUGGUCAUCAUCCAUGUCAAGUAUAUAAAAGUCAGCCGGACAUACCAAUUCAUUAACUUUAACCAGCACAUCCUCAACCAACCCAUCAGGGUAUGCAUUUGUUCGGUCAGCUAAUUGGAUUAUUAUCUCAAUUUCUUUUAAUGGACCGAGGUUCAGAGAAACAUGCAUAGAUUUAGGCAUUACGUUGAUCGAUGCUCCUAAGUCCAGCAGGGUAUUCCUAAUCAAAGUAUUACCUAUCUUACAUGGGACAGUAAACCUACCUGAAUCCCCGUACUUCGGUGGAAGUUUCCUUUGGAGAACUGCUGAUACGUUUUCCCCCACGAUGACCCUUUCAUCUCCCCUCAACUGCUUUCGGUUGACACAUAGGUCCCUUAAAAACUUUGUAUACUUCGACACUUGAUUGAUGGCGUCUAACAGGGGAAUAUUGAUCUUUGUCUUGCAGAACACCUCCAGGAUCUCCUUUUCCUUAUCCUGCUUCCACAGUUUCUCUAACUUACUAGGAAAGGGAGGCGGGUUAGUUCUAACUGUAAUGACUGGAUUAGGAAGUACCUUUUGAUUUGGGCCAUUGCUGUCCUCCUUCUCAAGCUCAUUCUCGAUCCUUUCCUCAUCUUUGUCCUUGGGAAUCGUGAGUUCGGGCUCUUGAAUUUCCUUUCCGCUCCUUAAAGUCAUCGCACUUACGUUCUUCAAGUUCAAUUUUAGGUUGAGACGCAAUUUUUCAUAAACUUGGGAUUCCAGGUGAUUGAUUGCCACUGCCAUCUGAUUCAUCUGAUUUUGCAUUACUUGUACCUAUUCCAAUUGAUUUCUUAUGUUCUGCAGUUCGGAGUCUGUCUUUUGCUGAUGUUGCACGGUGGUAGCCAUCAGUUGUUUCAUCAUCUUCUCCAAAGAUGGACUAGAACUUAGUGGCGGAGGUGGUCGGGGUUGGUACUGCUGCUGGUACCCUUGUUGUCUAUUUGACACAAAGUUAGGCUGCCUGUUCCCUCCAUAGCUGAGGUUAGGAUGGUGUCUUCAGCCGAGAUUAUACGUAUUCGAGUACGGUUCAUAGGGCAUUCUUGGCGUAGGCGCGUGACCAGCCAUGUUCACUUUCUCUGCACUUUGUUCUUGAAUUAUCGGGCACAUAUCUGUAGAAUGACCCAUAGUAGUGCAAAUUCCACACACCUUGGCCUGAGAUGCGUUUCCUACAACCAGUUGCCUAACAAACGAGGUUAACUCCGUCAACUGCUGCUAGAUAGAAGAUGUCUCUACCUCAUUUACCUUGCGUAUCGGGACAUCCUCUCUCGUACCGAACUGUUGUGAAUUCUCGACCAUUCCCUCAAUUAGCUCCCAUGCUGCCCGAGGGGUCUUGUUCACCAGUGCCCCUCUGUCGCGCCCCACUUUUUGAUGUGGUGUGUGUGAAAGUAGUGUGCAUGUGAACGUGUGCGAAAAAAUGAAAAUAAAAGGCCAUGGGACUUGAAAAUGCGACGAUUCAGCCAAAUAAAGUUUAAAAAAGGGUUUUGGAUGAAAAAAUGGAGUCGCCACUUGGUACGGAGUUAGGGUGUACCAAGUCACCCAAAAAAUGAUUUUUAUUUUUGAACGAAAAAGUAAAUAAACCCUUUUAAAGAACUUUUAGGUCUACGCAACCAAAGAAAGGGAUCGGGGGUCACAUUUGAUAAGGGAGAAGGCAAAGGCAAAGCCUAUGGCACUCCCUUACCCUAGCAAGAGCUAGUUGCGUGACUUAGCCCCACUUUUCCCAAUUUUUCUACCCAAAAUAUGUAUCGCAUGUUGGAUAUGACUAAUGGAUGCGAAAAGGAAGGAAAAAUGCAAUCCUAAACCUAAAAUGUUUCUCAUGAGACUUUUAGGUCCCAACCACAUGAAUUGUGGUGGCCAAUAAGGAGAGCUCUCAUGGAAGUCAUGAUUAAUGCAAGUGAGGACUCAAGUGCAAGUGUGCAAGUGUGAGAAAAUAAAGGUGUUUGUGUGUGCAAAUGGGUUAAAAUAGGAUAUUAGAUACGUAUAAGUGCAAUUUGAGUGCCAUUUGUGAGGUAGAAAAAUAAAUGAGAGAUAGGAAAAAGGUGGUGAGAAAAAUGGAUUGAGAAAAAUCUAAGUAGUGAGAAAAUGUGGCUAAAAGAGUGAGGAAGUGAUAUAAAAAGAAUGCAAGUGUAUGACCCUAAGGGAAUGCAUCAAGUCGGGUACGGGAAUGACUCCUAACUUUACGACUUUGAUUUUCCCUUUGAUUAGAAGGAAGAACUAGCGUGCUAAGGCUAUUUUGUAGCCAAACUUGCUCGUUUCCCUUAUCAAAAGGGGACUCUCAAACAAAUAUACCCUAUAACUAGCAUGAGAUGCAAAAACCUAAAUGAAGGGAAAAGGUUGGAGGAGUAUGUCAAAUGAUAAAAACUAAGAAAAAUGCAUGAAAUGUAGUGAACAUGCAAGUAUACACUAACGAAAGGGGACGGCCUAUUGGGUCUAGCAUUGGACUAGCCCUUUCUAUGAAUGAGCCACAACUAGCGUUGGACUAGUAUGGUGACGUACAUUCAUCCAUCACAUUCAUCCAUGGCUAUAGAAAGCAAGUAGACAUGCAAAUCACCUAUAAACACGUAGCACAUAACACUUAGCAUGCUCGACUAGAUGCAAGAGCCUAAUAAAGCAAAUUAACACACAGCAACAAAAGCAAGCACAACACAUAAGACAAUUAAGGCCCUAACUAUUACAUUAUUGGGAGAGAAGGCCUACUACAAUCUAAAAGGGGAAAUGGAAUGAAAUAAAUAGUUAAAAUAAACCUAACUAUUACAAUUGUGGCAUUCCAGUGCCUUCCCAAAUGAUCAAAAAUUGAACUAAAAUUAAAGUGAAAUUAAAUAACUAAAAAGAUAAAUAAAGUGGAAAUGAAAUGGAACACUCAAAACCAGGCAAUUGCACACAUAAGGCACAUAUAUGCACAUAGGCCAAAUAAAGUCAAAAAUAAAGGGUAAGGUAUACCUCUCUCGAGUCGGGGCCCUAAUAGGAUGAAAAUUACUUAUUUACCUCCAAAAGUAAAGAAAAGGUCAAGGCACCAAUUUAGUUUGAGACAAUUAAAGAAACAUGCAAAUACAAACUCACCUGAUCAUAAAGCUCUUAAAAUCAUGAAUUAAGUGCAAUUUAAACAAAGCAUGAUAAUUAAUUGAAUCAAACAAGCAAUAAAAUUGUAAAAUUAAAGCUGCCAAGUACCAAAUUGAGAACAUUAUUCAAUUGGUUGGGUCAUAGUGAAAUGAAAGGAAACUUGGAGGGUCAAAAUCCAAUUUUCUGGAAACAUUUCCAUGCAAAUUCAUGCAAAGUGACGUGAGAAACAUUCUGCAAUAAAGAUUGAAGCAUCUAAUGAAGGCCUUCUGCCAUCCCAAAAAAAUGCAGCUGUAGCUUCCAUUUCGCACACAAGUUUCACUUCAAACACAACAAAGCAUUUCAACCAACAUCCGAGCCUUAGACUGAGCAACAACCACAUAAUUACUACAAACCCAAUAAACAAAACAAACUUAGAAAAAGUAUCCUGCAAAUCUGGAAAACAAAAGAAAGCUUUGCUGCAACUUUUUACCGCUAUUUCAUAGUUUUUGAUGCAAACUCUUUCCAUCCGAAUACAGUUAAUAACUUCCACAACAAAGACUUAGACUAUAAAAGGCCAGUUUUCCAACAUUUCCGACCUUUCAACAGGGGAGUUGGACACAAAAAUCAGCAACCGAAACUGAACUUGGAGCAGCGAAGAAAUCAAACAUUUGCAAAAUGGUAUCUACUUUCAUUGCUGCAACAGACCAGGAAGUUUCCUCCCCCUUUAAACUUUCGACCAAGCUUUUGCUUUAUGAACUUAGAAAGAAAUUGUUUACAGCAAAAGGAGAACGAAGGAGCAAAAACGACAUUAUCGCGGCCAGUGAAUCAACAACAAAGAAAAAGCAAACAGCGAGUUCUUUAUGCAUUUGAAAAACUGGAAAUCAACAUGAUGAAUCAUUCUUCAAUCAAAGGAAAAAUUUUAAAUGCAAACAAAUGCUAGCUGAGGGAACAAGACAGAAACGUAGACAUGCAAAUUGCGAAGAGGCGUCUGCAAUUUUCUGGUGCCUCAAGAUUUUAGCAACCUCAUGUAGCGAGUAUUAAUAUCAAUUGCCGAAAGAGCAUUAAAGAACGGUCUUUUUCUUCAACAACAAUGCUUCUGUAAAUUUGAUGCAGAAAAAUCGUGCAAAGCUUCAAACAAAACCAGUGAAUCCAUCCCUCAAAUCCUCAACAACUGAACAUGUUGAUUAAUACAACCCAAGCAUGAAACAACUCCAACCAUGCAACAAAAUCCGACCAGUGGGCUACUCUAAGAAAAAUAGCAAAAUGAAGGAAAUAAAGCAAGAUCUGAGCUUGCAUGAGAGAUGAAGGCAAAAGGGAUUACCUUUAGCACCUUAUAAGGCUGAGACGAAUAAGUUCUAACUCAUGAGGAGAGAGCUGCCCCGGGAAUGCCCAGCGUUGGAGGAUCCGUAACUUGGAUCUCAGAUUUAGCGGCUGAGGCUUUGAUCGGAAUUCUACCCUGAAUGCAAAACCUCGUCAGCCCUAUAAUGGGUUUCUUUUCCUCUGCCCAGAAAUCUUCCUUAUUCAGCCAUUAGCUCCUUUUAUUUUUUGUAUCUUUUACUGCCGUAACUUUCUUGAAAUUUCCUCCCAAGACCUAGCCUUCACUCCAGAGCUUAAUCGCAAUACUCCUCUUCUUUUGCCCUCUAUCUUUCCAGAAUCUCUUCCGGCCGUCAACCUCACCCUUUCUUUUCCUUUUUCCUUUCUGCCUUCUAACUAAAUCCCAGCCGUUCCUAGCCUCACUUUCAUCAGCUGUUAUCAGCCCUCCUCUCUUCAAACCCUCUUCUUUCCCCCCUGUUUUCACUCUUUCCUUCAGUCGUCCCCCCUUUGCUUUUUCUGGCCAUCCCAACUCUCUCAUUGGUUUCUUUUUCUAGCCGUCCUCCCUCUUUUUCCGACCCUCUCUUUCUCUCAAACUCUUUCUUAUUUCUUCUCUCCAACCGCCACCCAAAGCCUCUCCUCUUUCCUGGUUUUCUAUCAACCCAGCUGUCAUCUAUUCUUUUCGUUUCUUUCUCUUGCCGUCCCCAAAACCUCUCUCUAUCUCUCAAAACCUAGCUAUCAUUCUAGAUUCAUCCCCCCCCUCCAGGUGUCCUAGACACCUGGCCUUUUACAGCUCCAAAUUUCAUCUCCAGGACCUCUUCCAAUCUCAUUUGCAAGUUGCGGCAAAAAACGCAGUUUUCUGCAUUGCCGUGACUCUUUUUUUUUUUUUUUGAAAAGUAAGAAAUAAUUUUAACUAAAAUAAAUAAAAAUACUAAAAAAAAUGCCCAAAACAUAUUUUUGUGAACAAAUUCUUUUCUUACAAAUUUUAUGCUAAAAUUCUUAUAAAUAAAAAUAAACAACUAAAAAACAAAAACAAAAUAAAACUAAAAAAUGAAAUAAAAGACAAAAAUAAAUUAAGAUGCUAUAAAAAUACUAGAAAAUGCCCAAAACAAAAAUUAUGAAACUAAUAUAUAUGAUUAUCACUAAAAUAAAAUAAAAAUAAAAAAAAUAAAAAUUAAAUAAAAGUAAAAUAAAAUCGUUCAAAAUUUUGGUGUCUACACCCUCCACUCGCAGCAUCAAUGAUAUUCCUGUAUCUGAAGAUUAGUCCCUCGUAAAAAUAUUGUAUGAGCAACUGCUCACUUAUUUGGUACUGAGAGCACUUGAUGCACAACUUCUUGAAUCGCUCCCAGUAGUCGUAGAGUGACUCCUCUGGAUGCUGUUUGAUACCACAGAUCUCCUUUGUUAGACUUGCAACUUGGGAUGCGGGAAAAUACUUGUCUACAAACUUUUUUUUCAACUAGUCCCACGUGGUGAUACUACCUGGUGGUAGGUAGUACAACCAGUCUUUUGCGAAGUCCUUCAAGGAGAAGGGGAAUGCCCUCAUUUUUAUUUGCUUUUCUGUGAUACCCGGGGGUUUCUACUAUUGCACAAGAUAUCAAACUCUUGCAAAUGUUUAUAUGGCUCUUCACCUGACAAACCAUGAAAGGAUAGUAAAAGAUGAAUUAGACCAGAUUUGAAUUCAAAUGGAGUAUUAUCAUUUAAAUUUGGGAAAAUAAUACACAAAGGCUGUUGAUUUAAAUCAGGAGCAGCCAACUCCUUUAAUGUUCGUGCGUUCGUCAUAGUGAAUUCUUCUUGAUCCGAGUCACUUGAAGUGUCACCAAACGAAUCUGUUGGUUCAACUUCUAACUCAGGUCUCUGAGAUGCAGCACUGGAGUACUUUUCCCUGAGUUGUCUGGUCUAUUUUCGUGUUCUCCGUGCGGUCUUCUCUAUCUCAGGGUCAAAAAUUAAUUCACCUGUACGAGAAUAACGAGGCAUACACUCAAAAAGUACUAGAAAAUUAGAACAAAAAUAAACUUAAAAAGAAACAAAUAACUAGCACCAGUCCUCAGUAACAGCGCCAAAAAAUGACAGGUUGUCGAGCCUGUACAAUAAUAAAUACCUGCUCAAACAAAAGUUAAUUUCUGCAGAUAGUGAUAAGUAGGGUCGAAUCCAUAGGGACUGGGGAUAUUUGUCUCUUUUGGAGUUCAAACUAACAAUGGGGGGUUUUUAUAGCAAUGACAAUGAUUAAACAGUUCGAAUAAAAUCAAAUAGCUAACUAAAAAGUAAACGACAAUUCACUAAAAUCAGAUUAAUGAUAACUAAAGUUCUAGCCAAGAAAUAACUUCAGCUAUGAUUCACCUAAUUGAUCAUCGAUGCAAAGGCAAUUCCAAUUAUUUACUAAUAAAUAAGUUAUAACUGCCAAACAAGCGAUGACAGUCAACCAUUCCUUACUGUGUCGGUGAUUAAGGUACGCCCGUUAAUCACUACUGUAAUUGAGAAAUAAUCAUAGGUACGCCCGUAAGACAUAAUUCUCUAAUUGCUUUACGUAUUAGAGGAGCCCUGUUCUAACCAAAUAACGCACUACCAGAGUUAUUUUAUGUUAGCCCGCGUAUUCCCCUGACACAAAUCCAAUCAUGCUAGUUGUCACUAUUUCAGGGCAAUUAAACAAUUACAGAUUUAAUGCCCCAUUUGACAAUAGAUUACUAAAUUAACUAAUUAUCUGGAUCCAAGACAAUCAAUUAAUUGAAUAACCAUGAACACUAUAAUCAGAGAAUAUGCGAAUAUCAAUAAAUAAAAGAAAAAGAUAAAAUUAAAUCGAUCUCACAAUUUUUAGGCGAAUCAAAGCCUCAGUUGUUCCUUGACUAGAAAAGGGAGUUUUGUUCAUCUUUAACGAAUAAAGCCCACAGGAGAUCGAAGCAACCGUAGCAGCCAUUGACUCCGAAAUUGAGAAAAUUCAAUUCGGUUCGGCAAUGAAAGAAAAGUCAAGAUUAGAAAAAAUGCCCAAUUGCUUUUCUUUGCUUUCACAUCCGAUGGAAGCAAAAGCACAAUAAGACGAAAAGAGGAAAAAUCAAAAGAAAAGCUAAGCUAGAGGUCCUACCAUACGAAGAAAGAAAAACUAUCCAAGAAAAGUCAAAGGAAAGCUAUCUAAUAUCUAGUUCCUACUGCUACUGUGCGGCGUCCGCGGCCAUGAAGAGACCGAAGAAGACUCCAGCCUUUUUAUCCUCUUUCCAUGUUGUCUUCCACCAAAUUACCAAAGAGGUCGUGUUCUCAGAUUUCAAAAAUGCCCCUGGAUGCCUGUUACUUGAAUUCUUUUCCGAUGAUUGUCAAAUUGGCCUUGGUUGUGGUAUUUUCAUUCUACUCCCUGAAAUAAAUGUAAAUUAUGAAAAGUGAGUAGAGUCUAAUAAUUGAUCCACAUCAGGUUAGGUAAUAGGGAAAUUAAUAAUAAAAUCGUAACCUAUCAUAAAGGCAUUCCAACAAAGAAACCUCAACACUCGCCAAUAUUUCUAAAAUAAAAAAAGGAAAUAGUACCAUCAAUUUAUAUUUAAUCCUAAAACUUGAGAAAAAGAGUAAAUCAUCUAGUAUUUGAACCAUAUAGUACCUAAUGCUUGACCAUCUUUGAACCUACAACCACACCUUUUGGUCUGCGUAGAAAUUAUACAUCACAAAACUAGCAUCACAUACAAGGUGAAUGGGAUGUUGGCACAUUUCACCACAUAAUAAUUAACUGAUAACAACAUGCACUGCACUUUUUAUUAUUUUUUGGGGGCAUUGCACCAACAUAGGAUGACUUAAUGUAAAUGAAUUCUAAUUGAUACUUAGUUGUCUAAUCAUACCUAUCAUUACAAUUUAACACACAUUUUUGUUAGAAUAUGGCAAAUAAAGACACUUCAUACUAUAUGAAUUUCACUAAAAGUCCUACAAUUAUGUUUUUGAAAUGCUAAGUAAUAUGCUUUUUUUUCCUGGCCUACUGAUUGUGCUUUACAUUUCCAAGGUUUAUGCAAAGAGCAUCAUACUAUCUCUCUUAGUCAAGUAAUACAAUUCUUUCCCUUUCUUGAGACAAAUUUCCAAAAGCAUCUCUAAACCUAGCUUGGCAAAAAAAAAAAAAAGAAGAGAUCAUGUUAUUAACACUAUGAAAGUACAAUGAUACAAUGAUUGUGAAAGAAAGAAGAUUUUAACACUAGAGUAAUCAAUACAACUACUCAAAGGAAAGAAAAAAAUUGAAAUAACUGAUAUUUCUUGUCUUAGAAUUGUACCCAUAAUCACGAAAUAUAAAAUGAUAAAAUAGACAAAAACCUAUAAACUAUUGUUUUGUUCUAUGGAAUUUAGAGAGGACAAAAAGUACCUUUAAUGAUUUCUUGUGAUGGUAGAUAACAAUGGAAUUGAGAUGCUAGAUGAUAGGGUUUGUGGAUAAAGAGACUUGUAGAGAAUGCAAGAUUGAAAAAAUUUUAGUGAGUUUCAAUGUUUGAGGGAUUUACUUUGAUACUUAUCAGUUAAGAGAAGGAGUAAAUCAAGAAAGGAAACCUCAUCAAUUAGGCAAGAAAAUCUCAUCCACUUAGCAAACUGUGUUUUUAUUUUCAUUUUUUAAGAAAAUGCCAGUAAAACUUUUGAUCUAAUGACAUUCAAGUGCUAUUGAUUGUUAAAAUUGACUUCAUGCCUUAAUGGUUUAAUUUAACACUACUUUCUCGAGAACAGAGACAAAAAUAAAAAAAAGAGAAUAAAUUUCUUUUCAAAAGUAAAAUAUUAAAAAAAAUCUAUUUUUUUCACAUAAUUUCUUUAUAGUUUUCAAAGUCUCUUCACUUCCUUUUGCGAUUAUAUCGAGUUGAACUAUUUAGUUUUUUGUUCAACUUGACUACACAAAAAAUGUAAUCUAUCCUUUUUUUAAAAUAUUUUAGAAGGGGAAUGGUGAAAUUUAAGAAAUGAAGGAGAAAAAAGAUUUCAGCUUUAACUAUGACAUCAAUAUCUCAGCAAUACAAUUUGUUAUUACUUGCAAGACAUUUAUUAUUACUUUUAGUUAUUUUCAUUUUCUUUUCUUUUAGAGUAGGGCGGAUGAGCUAGCACCGUCAUGGUGGCAAAUUGAAGCACGGCAGUGGCACUAUCAACUAUCCCACCAAAUGCUGACCCCGGCCACCACCAUCCGACGUGAUUACCAAUUCAAAAGGAAAGAAAAAAUUAUAUCACUUCAUAAGCAGCCCGUAUUAGCAUGAUGUUAAAUGCAUUACGGGCACUAGUACCCCACCAUGUUCAAUUUAAGCCACAAAUAAAGAGGGGACCGAUUGAUAAUCUUUCUUGAUAACUGAAAAUUCCUCUUGGAGUUAAUUCCAUGCUGCAUCAUGUAAUUAUACUUAAAUUCCUUUUUUGGCACCUAAACGAAAUGGAAAUCGGGUUUUCCAUUUUUAAAAUAUAAGAAUUUGGUCCGAAUUCGAUAAUGAAUUUUCUGAAUUUGAAAUCAAAAACUGUAAGAGAUAUCCCAUAGGGGUUACUUUGCAAGAUUAUCAUCUGCAGGGUCCUUACUGACGGUUUCUGCAACCUUGUAACAGAUAUUUGUUCCUAUAUUCACCUUCUAAUUAUACUUUUGUUAUCCCAACUUCAACCCCAAAUGCACAUCAAGUUCAUAACCAAUGGAGCAAUCAAUAUAUGACAUGAGAGCUAUAGAAUCCAAGAGAAACGCAUUGGAAAUCAUGGGAACAACUUCAUGGUUUGUGAACUUGCUACGAGUACGGUUAUCGGAAUAAUUAAUUUCUUUGUUCGCCAUUAAAGGUGACAUUUCAUCAUAUGCUUAGUGUGGUACCCAGAAUCAUCCUCCUCAAGAUGAUCUCUCCCGGACACUUUCGAAUUUGAGUAGUCAUCUUGUAGUUUAGAUGUCCAGUGAGCCGAGGACAUUCACAACAAGAAGUGAUUGAUGCGACACCUUACAAGCUUUUGCAGGUCUAACCUCUUGCACUAGUAGAUCUAGAGUCGACCUAUAGCUGCACCCUGCCCUAUCAAUGCGGCCUGAAACCCAAGGACACUUCUCACGUUUCACUAUAAUUACCCCUCUUUUCUUAGACCCCAGAGGUAACUGUUUCUUAAUUCUCAUAUGUAACUUAUGUCUGAGCUGUUAACUCUUGCUAAGUUAAGCAUCAGAGCCAAAUUGGGGGAAUACUCCAUCUCUGCUUUUGAUAUCAUACAGGAAAUCCGAACUAGAGUUCAUCGAUCUCCAGUCUUCUUGGGAGUUUCGACCGUGACUCUACAAUUGGUGGCUGUUUGUAGGAAGUGAAGUAAAUACAGUUGCUCUACUUUCUCAUGACUAAGACUUGCUUUAAUCAUGGAAACAAGAACCCCCGAACUUUUGGGAGCCGUAUAGCCGAUCCAAGGGAUUAGGACAUACUAGAGAAUUCACAGCCUCAUGGAGAGGUCAUAGCUCGAGUGGCCAAGUUUGUGGCCUCCAGUUCAGGGUUUUUUGAAGAGAUUGUUAGGCAUAUGAAAGGUAAGGAUAGAGGCGAAUCUGCUCAGAGAUAACCCGAAGAGUCUUCUUUGUCUUCUUUCGAGUGUGACUCGGAUGACCAUCACAUACUCCAAGAGGAAGAAGGAAAAGAACCUUUCUAAAUUGCAAGGCAAAGUGCAUUCUAAAGUUUCCUCAGUUUUCGAGAGCAUUGCUCAAGAACCCAUUCAAGAGGGAUGACACAAGUGAACGGUCUAGAUACGGAUCGACCCUUUACGGAGAUAACAUGCCCCCUUCACCCCUAACAUUAAUGAAGAAGUUUUUCCAACAAACUUUGAAGAGGUGAUUUUAGUCCCGCUGGGUGAACCUUCCGAACUGAAGAAGUGUUUUGUCUUCAGCAAGGCACUGGGACGAGGUUACCUGCUUAGGUUACAGGAGGGGCUGAAUCCCCCAGUGUAACUCCGAAACUUAAGUUAGUUCGGUAGUGAAAAAGUAAUAUAGUGGAGAAGAUCAGUAUAGUUUUACCAGAAAUUAGUCAUCCCCCUUCUCAGUAGAGGUGUUGAGUAUUUAUAGAGGACUGAUUUGAAGAGGAAUUGCUGGCACGAGUUCCGAGAGAUCUGAUACGGAUAUCAUAUCAAUUUGAUAUGAUAUCCCUGCGAAAAGGCGCGCCGGAACCGGUAUCAGAGUCAGGCGGCGCAUGUGUCAGAACAUCUCUCCGUCAAGUGUCAGAUGUGUCAGGGGUCACAUCAUAUUUCCACAGUUGUCAAGUCGUUUGGGCAUCACCUCAGCUCACGCUCCGAAGAUCUCCGCCGAGGUGAUAAACGGGUCAGGACCACCUCACUAAAUGACGCGCCGAGGUGGCACUUCCAGUAGUCUUGCAGGGUGAGGCCCCAGCCUAUCCGGGCUGAAACGACCAUCCUCACUAAGCCCCCCAAGCUUCGAGAAGGGCGAGAUUGUGGUUUCCCGAGGUCGUUGCUUCCCGAAGUUGACAAGCGUGUAAGGCACGUGAUCCAGCAAUCAUGGCCACGUGGAUGGGACUGCUGAGGAACUGACAUGAUGGCUAUCAAUCGUGACGGCAGGUUCAUGAACAGGCUCGAGAUCAGCAGGACGAACAGCCUUUUCAUUAAUGAGGAGAGAGAGAACGCGCCCUCGAGAAUCUCAAAGAUACCGCCUCUUCAUUUUCCCCUGGGUGCCUAUAAAUAGAAGCCCCUUUUCACCAUUUCACUCUUUACCAAAAAUCUAAAAUCACCUUAGAGCUCUGUUCCUGUGUCCUUUCACUUCGGCAAUUCCCUGAGGCAAAAAGACCCGACCCCUCCGAGGAGAUAACUGCAUCCGAUGUCGGGGAAGGAGGUGCCGAGGCGUGUCACCGAGCCGGGACAUCUGGAGGGCAUCACGAGGAGAUCGAGGUCGAAGCCGAGGUCCUAUACAAUGAUGACCUCGGGAACGAGAUCCCUAGGGACGAGGGCGUGCAAGAGCCUUCCACUCCUCCGAACUUGACAACACUUAAUUACGGCCAGAUGCCAGCCUUCAGUAGUAUUAUGGGACAAGCCUCCGUAACCGAGGUGGUCCGCAAGUAUCCUUGGAGAAGGGAUUACAGUAUCUAUUUGCCCCAGCCACACCAGUCAGCCGCAUUGCCACCGAAGGGUAGGGUGGCCAUCUACGUGGACCAACUGGAGGCCGGACUCAGAGUGCCAACAACAAAGUUUCUUCGGGACUGCUUGAGGUAUUGGGGGGUGAGGAUCACUCAACUCACCCCGAAUGCCAUUCGUGUCCUCGUCGGCUUCCAACUGCUUUGCCGACAUCAGGAAAUAGAGCCCACUGUCAACCUCUUCUGCCGUUGUUACUCGCUUAAGAACAGCGGGAGCGAGAAGGGUUGGUUUUAUUUCAGGAAUAAAUUUCCGAAGUUAGUGGUAGACGCCCCGAACUCGAUAAAGGAAUGGAAAAGAAACUUUUUCUUCGUCCCGGCAAAAGACUUCCCACGGGGAUUCUGGUGGAGGCCUCCCACCUCGGUCAAAGAGACGUCCCCGGGCAUGUUAGAGGAGCGCAACUUCCAGAAGUUAACGGGGUCGGGCCUCAGGAUUAAUUGAUGGGACUUUCCCGAAGUGGUGGUCGUAGAAGGCGGGAUCAGCCGAGCCUUGAUCAGCUCGGACCACCUCGUCUUCUUCUCUACUAGGCUUCAAAAACCUUGUACUUUUCCAUUUCCCUUUUUUGUUUAUUCUUCAUGAAUUCUAACUAACUCUUUUUCACACUAUGCAGUGGUGAAGGUUCCCGACCUGAUAAUCUCGAAAAACGUCAAGGUGGUGAAGAGACCACCCAAGAAGCACAAGGAUGCUGCUGAGCCCUUCACCAGGCCUACCAAGAACACCACUGCGGCUACGGGCGACCGCGAGCCUGCCGUGGUGAUAGUGGGCGAAGGCUCCCAUACCUCGACCACUCCCGGAGGUUCCCGAGCCUCGGCUAUUCCUGUGGGAGUUCCUAUUCGAGGGGUCACGAUAGCCACUCCACCUCGGGGUCAGGGCGUGACUGCGUUCCCGGAUAACCCCGUCACGGGGUCUUCGCUAUUCAACCUCUACCAUGUGCCUUCCAAAGCAGUCGGGGAGGAUAAAAGGCACUCCGGAGCACAUUGGUGUCCGGAGUGGGAGGUGAACGUCAAUGACCGCUGCAAGAACCCCCUGGUCGCACAUGAGUUUCUUGUGCAUUCGGUGUUGCCGUGAGAUAACACUUAUGCCAGAAAGCUCACUCCAGGUGAGCUGAUGCAAAGUGCCUCGGUCUCAUGGUCCUCCACCACGGCCUUCUUUGCUGAGAUGAUCCAACGUUACGGACAUUUCAUGAAAAAUUACGAGCCACCUGCCGAGUUCCAGAAGAAGAUUGCCAACCUGGAAGAGAAGCUGAGGGCAACUGAGCUGGAGCGCGACAAAGCCGAGGCAGCGAAGUCGAGAACAAUUCCCUGAUAACUUCCCUUGAUGAGGAGAGAGAGAAUGGUCCAAGAAGAACAGUCGACCAAGGAGGCAAUAGACAAGGCCGGGGUCACUGCCGUGGAGGCCUUCCGAAAGUCGGAGUUUUUCACCCACGACCUCGGCGAUCUCACACGCCCAAACUUUAUGUUUGACUACACGUUGGCUGUUAACGAUGCUAUGCCAUUUCUCUCUUCUGAGCAGCUGGAGUCCCUUCAAAGCGCUCCUCACUACAACGAAGAUGCCAAGGAGUUGUGCGACCGUAUGGCCGAGGGCAUCCAGGCUGGAAAAGAUCUAGCCGAGGUUCGUGCUGAGUUCAACAAAUGGCUUCAAGAGUUUGAGCUAGACGGUGAUGGCCUUGAAGGGAACCAGUCUGGCAGAGGAGCUGAGGGACAGCAGGACGCCGAGGCGGCGAAGAAGAGACUAUGGGGGAGUAAGGCUCCGGGGCAGGGAAUGCUUAGAAGCAUCCCUUUUUUCCCUGACCUCGGUCUUCUACUUUUUGUACUUGUGCUUCAAUUUAAUUGACUUCAUAUUUUUGCAAUAUUUUUAAUUGAGUUCGGUUUUCUUUUCUUUACUGCUGCUGUCCCCUUAUUUUUCACUUGUAAUGAAAUGGGAAGAAGUGAGAAAUAACUCAAAACUUAAAAUUAAAACUACGUACCCUUCAAGGGUAAUACAGUUUAAGAUUUUCAGCAUGCCAAAUUCGGGGCACCCGAGAUCCAUCUCGGUAUGCCAAUUUAUAGUAUCCAUUUUGGCUGGACUCAACGACACGGUAUGGUCCCUCCCACUUGGGGUUCAGUUUACCCUGGGGUUCAGUUCGGCUGACCGAGUUCUUCCGGAACACAAGGUCUCCCGGAUUGAACCGCAAGUGUCUGACCCGAGCAUUGUAGUAGCCAGUUAGGAUAUUUUUAUAAAGAGGGACUUUGGCUGCAACCAUAUCACGCUUCUCUUCGGCGAGGUCGAGGUCAACUCGCCGUUCCUCUUCAUUAACUUCGGCGGUGUACGCUGCCAUUCGUGGGCUCGGAGUGAUGAACUCGGCUGGAACGACAGCUUCGGACCCAUAAGUUAAAGAAAAUGGAGUUUUUUGGGUUGCUGAUCUCGGCGUGGUUCGAUAGGACCACAACACGCUGGGAAGUUCUUCCAUCCAGGACGACCCAACCCGGUGGAGCCUGGUCUUGAGGUCAUAAAGGAGAGUGCGGUUGAAGUUUUCGACCUGUCCAUUGGCCUGGGGGUAUCCAACCGAGGUGAAAUGCUGUUUGAUUCCCAAGUUUUCGCACCACGCUUUGAAAGGAUUAUCGGCGAACUGCCGGCCAUUGUCCGAGAUGACCACCCGGGGUAGGCCGAAGUGACAAACCACGCUCUUCCAAAAGAAUUUUUGAACGGCUGCCCCGGUAAUACUUCUCAGAGGCUCUGCCUCGACCCAUUUGGUGAAGUAAUCUACUGCCACCAUUACGUAGGCGUAGUUGCCUGGAGUUCUAGGAAAUGGGCCGAUUUUAUCAGUCUCCCAUUGCUCGAAGGGCCAUGGCGAGGUGAUGGGAAUCAUGAGAUUAGUCGGCUGGUGGUGCUCAGGGGCGUGGUACUGGCAAGACGGACAACUAAGGACCAUGACCUGGUCAUCCACCCUCAUGGUGGGUCAGAAAUACCCAAGCAACAAAACUUUUUUGACGAGCAUCCUGUAGCCGAUGUGAGCACCACAAAGUCUCUCGUGUAUGUCUUGCAGUAUUCUCUCACCUUCUUCCGGUAUAAUGCACCGCAGCCAAGGACCGAGGUACGACCUCUUGUAUAAGAGAUUUUGCUAAAGAGCGUACCGAGUUGCUUUGCGCUGCAGCUUUCUCGACUCAGCUCGGUCCUCGGGGAGCUCCCCCUGGCUGAGAAAUCGGAUCAAAGGCCCCAUCCAGAUGUCCCCAGGAUAGAUAGGGUACACGACCUCUCCUUUGUACCUCGGUUCGGCUAAUACUUCUACGAGAACCGUCUUGUUCAGGUCAGAAAAUGAGGUAGAAGCGAGCCGAGAGAGGGCAUCAGCCCUCCUGUUUUGUGACCGCGGUAUUUUUUGAAUUUCAAAAGACUCGAAAUGUGCCACCAACUGGAGGACCUUGGAGAGGUAGCGGUUCAUCACCUCUUCCCUGGUCUCAUAUUCGCCCAGUAUCUGGCACACAACGAGUUGGGAGUCGCUAUAGACCAAAAUGUGUGCGGCCCCGAGCUUACGAGCUAGUUGUAGGCCGGCAAUGACUGCUUCGUAUUCGGCCUCAUUGUCAGAAGCGGCGAAGUCAAACCUUAAGGCGUAUGAACACACCUCUCCCUGGGGGUCUUCGAGGAGCAAGCUCGCCCCACUACCCUCACUAUUAGACGAGCCAUCCACGUGCAAAAUCCAACGUUGGAGCUCGGCGGCAGCCGAGGUGGUCUCCUUCACCUCAUCAAAAGUGAGUUCGGCGAGAAAAUCCGCAAGGGCCUGUGCCUUGAUUGCGGUACGAGACUCGUAAGACAAGUCGUACUCCCCCAGCUCGAUGGCCCAUUUAGUGAGACGUCCGGAAGCCUCUGGCUGUGAUAAAACUUGCCUGAGGGGUUGGUCAGUUCUCAAGCAGAUGUGGUGAACUAAAAAGUAGGGCUUCAGCCUGCGGGCUGUAUGGAUUAAGGCCAGCACGAGUUUCUCCGCUUGACUGUAUCUGGUCUCCGGACCUCAGAGGACUCGGCUGACGUAGUAAACUGGCAUUUGAACACCUUCCUUCCUUAUCAACACGUCGCUCACAGCUUCGACCGCGGCAGACAGGUACAAAAACAACUUGUCCCCUGGCCGAGGCGAGGUGAGUGUUGGGAGGUGGUGUAGGUACUCCUUUAACUAAUCAAAGGCCUGUUAACAUUCUUCAGUCCAGGAGAAGCUAUCUGCCUUCUUCAGUGCCUUGAAAAAGGGCAACGCCUUGGAAGCUGACUGCGAUAGGAACCUGUUCAGGGCUGCCAACCGGCCUGUCAGCCUCUGGACGUCACGGACGCACCGAGGUAAAGACAUUUCUUGGAUCGCUUUCACCUUAUCCGGAUUUGCUUCGAUGCCUCGCCUUGAGAUGAGGUAACCCAGAAACUUUCUCGAAAUGAUCCCAAAAACACAUUUCUUGGGGUUUAACAUCAUUCCCGUCUUCCGUAGGAUCUCAAGGACCUCUUUCAGGUUAGAAAGGAAGAUGGAGGUCGUCCGGCUCUUGAGGAGGAUGUCGUCCACAUAGGCUUUAACAUUGCGGCCGAUCUGGGAUUUGAAAGCCUGGUUGACCAGGCGUUGAUAUGUGGCCCCGGCAUUUUUUAGUCCGAACGACAUGGUGGUGUAGCAAUAUGUGCCUUGGUCAGUGUAGAAGGCCGUCUUCUCUUGGUUCUCCUGACUCAUUCCAAUCUGAUGGUACUCCUUGAAAGCUUCAAGAAAGCAAAGGAACUCGUAACCCAUUGCCGAGUCCACCAGGGUGUCGACUUUGGGCAACGGGUAGCAGUCUUUGGACCAGGUUUUGUUUAGGUCGGUGAAGUCGACGCACAUUCUCCAAGCCUCCGGUGUCCUUCUUGACCAUGACCGAGUUGGAUAGCCAGGUCGGGUAUUGGAUCUCCCGGAUUAUCUUUGCCGGUAGGAGCUUGUCCACUUCUUCAUCGACAGCUCGGCUGCGCUCAGGGCCGAGGUGCCUUCUUUUCUAUUUGAUCGGACGAAUUUGGGGGUCGACGUUCAACUUAUGUGCCAUUAGGUGAUGCGGGACCCCUUGGACCUCAUCUGCGGCCUAGGCGAAGACGUCCCGGUACUCUCUGAGGAGGUCCACCAUACCUUUUUUGAUCAGGUCAGGCAAUCGGGUGUCGACGCGGAUCGUUCGCUCCGACUUCGUAAGGUCUAGAAAAACCUCUUCUAGCUCAUCUCCAGCCUCCAGCCUCCAGCCUCGGAGCCUUCUCAGCCUGCUGAGGGUCGAGGCAGUCUAUUGAGAGAAUGUUGGACCUCUUCUCAAACCUCACAUCGGAGGUCGAUGUGGAGGCUGCUUGUAAGGUGGCGAGAUAACACUUUCGAGCAGUGCAGACGUCACUGUUGACCUUGGCAAUUCCCGCAGGGGUAGGAAACUUGAAACUCAGAUGGUAUGUGGAAUAUACCGCUCGCAGAGCAUUAAGUGUGGGUCGGCCCAGGAACGAGUUGUACGAGGAGUCAGUCUUAACCACCACGAAAUUGAUUGGGAUGGUUCGACAGCGGAGGUGACGCCCCACAGUCACUGUCAGAGUCACCAUCCCUUCGGGAUGCACGAUGUGUCCCCCGAAUCCCACCAGGGGGUCCUUACCGGGGUCAUGUGUUCUUUGGCCAACUUAAAGCUUUCAAAAGUGCGGAGAUACAUAACGUCCACCGAAUUUCCUGGGUCGAUGUAGACCUUCUUCACAAUAUAGUUAUUGGUGAGUAUUUCAAUCACCAAGGUUUCAUGGCUAUUUGAUGCAGUCGGAACUGGAUCGGUGUGGCCAUAAGAAAUGACUUCAGAUAGGCGAGAACUUGACUCGGCCUGAUCCGGGUUAGCUUGCCUAUAGGUCCUCUUCCGGGAGUUUUGACUAUCCCCUCCUGUCAGACCUCCGGCAAUAGUGUUGAUGACUCCAGCAAUGUUUGACCCAUAUCCUAACCCCUGACCUGAGGAUCCGUCUCGGGGAGGCCUUUUUGUCUCCCUAGGUUCCUCAGGGGGUCGGCAGCUGCUUCUCGACGUCCGCAUUUCGUUUUGGCGUUGGUCACCUCGUCCGUCACGCCGGUUAUCAUUACGCUGAUGACUUCCAACUCGGCGGACAAAUUGCUUCAAGUGUUCCUGUCUGAUGAGGUUCUCGAUCUCCCUCUUGAGGUCAUUGCAAUUCUCGGUCUCAUGCCCGAUAUCUCGGUGAUACAGGCAGUAGAGGUUCGAGUUCCUCUUGUUUCUGCUACCAAACAUCCUGGGAGGUGCCUUCCCGAGGUUGUUUUGUUCUAUUACGAAUAACACCCAAGAUCGGGUGGUGUUCAGAUGAGUUAAUUCAGACUCGGGAAUGGGUGACUUCCCCUUAGAAAUCCUGUCAAACACACUGCGGCAAUCUCGGCCAGGGCUUUGGAAGCCACUCCCUGUCCCCGCUUCACUUCGGCCCGUCUUUUCCCCUUCGGAGGUCAGCCCUCGGGCGAGCGGCUUGGACCUCUUUCUUCAUGCGGUUGAGGUCUUCGGUUUAUAUGCCCUUCUCGACCUUCAACCAUAGUUCGUGGAGCGUGCGGGGAUACUCUUGUGGAUCCCCGUAUUGAAUACCCCGGCAACGAGCCCAUGGGUAAAAGCAACAAUGGUAACCUGCUCAUUGGGGUCAGGUAUCUGUAUGCUUUUCUCAUGGAACCUCUGGACGUACGAUCGAAGUGACUCUCCUGGGUUCUGUUGCAUAUUCAGCAAGUAAGCCGAGAUCCUGAUCGUAGGUCGGGAGGAGACAAACCGAUGGAGAAAUUCCACUAAUUUCCCCAUGGUUGAGAUGCUCCUAGGUUCUAAACCCCAGAACUAUUUUCGAGCUAUCCCCUGGAGGAACACUGGAAAAGCUCGGCAUAUGACGGGGUCAGGGAUGCAAUAUAGGCGGAAGGCCAAGAUAAAGGCAUGGAUAUGAUUCUCGGGAUCACCUCGGCUGUCAUAAGAUUGUAUCGAGGGGAGCUUGAAAUUUGGAGAAAGCCUUUCCUCGUUGAUAUCAUCAGUAAAAGGAGGGGCUCUCAUGUAGUCCACCCCGAGCCUUCCUAGGGGCCGAGGUUUCUCCUCAAGUCGUCGUCCCAAGAGCCCUCGGGAAAAUGCCUUGGAUAAGGAGGCUACCUUAGAGAUGGCCUUGGAAAAUGCCCGUUUUGAAGCGCUUUGGCUGAGGCGCCUUCCAUCAGACUCCUCUUCAGAUGAACCUUCAGGAGAUCCAUCUGACUUCCUUUUAGAAGACUCCGCAUUCUGCUUGCCUUGCCUCUUUAGGUACCUCUCCAACUCCUCGAAGAUGUUGGGGUUCUCGGUUACAAAUUCAACCAUAUGGGUUAUGGCUUGUUCGUUUGCGGGCUGAGUCCUUGAAGACUCCUGCCCUUCGAAAAUAUCUUCCUGUUGAACUGCAUUGCUUUGUUCAGCCCCAAUAGUGAGAGCUUUCCUGCUCCUAGAACGCGUAGGCUUCAUAUUCUAAUGUCUUCACGUUCCCACAGACGGCACCAAUUGAAGAUGUGAUUUUAGUUCCGCUGGGUGAACCUUUCGAACUGAAGAAGUGUUUUGUCUUCGGCAAGGCAUUAAGACGAGGUCACCUGCUUAGGUUACAGGAGGGGCUGAAUCCCGCGGUGUAACUCCGAAAUUUAAGUUAGUUCGGUAGUGAAAAAGUAAUAUAGUGGAGAAGAUCAGUAUAAUUUUACCAGAAAUUAGUCAUCCCCCUUCUCAGUAGAGGUGUUGAGUAUUUAUAGAGGAUUGAUUUGAAGAGGAACUGCUGGCACGGGUUCCGAGAAAUCUGAUACGGAUAUCAUAUCAAAUUUGAUAUGAUAUCCCUGCGAAAAGGCGCGCCGGAAUAGGUAUCAGAGUCAGGCGGCACAUGUGUCAGAACAGCUUUCCGUCAAGUGUCAGAUGUGUCAGGGGUCACAUCAUCUUUCCACAGUGGUCAAGUCGUUUGGGCAUCACCUCGGCUCACGCUCCGAAGAUCUCCGCCGAGGUGAUAAACGGGUCAGGACCACCUUACUAAAUGACGCGCCGAGGUGGCACUUCCAGUAGUCUUGCAGGGUGAGGCCCCAGCUUAUCCGGGCUGAAACGACCAUCCUCAAACUUCAAAUUCCCAAAUGUUCCAUUCUAUGAUGGAAAAGGUGAUCAUGAAGACCAAGUCCAUGCCUUCUUAUCGGCAUUCAGACUGUAUGGGAUCCCCAACGCAGCGAUGUGUCGGGCGCUUCAUCAUUUCGUUAAGACUUAGUAGUUGAGAAAUUUAAUGGCUAGUCUUCUCAUGCAUGGUAUGCACCGAUCUUUAGAAUCGGCAUAGUAUGCAGGGGCAAACGCCACCCCCAAGUUUUUGAGAUUUUUCUUUUAGCUCCUAGGAAAUUUUAUAAAUUUUCAUUAAAAAUCUCUCUCUUGCACCCGUAGAUUAUCAGUUUUCAGUGUAAUUCUAUGAUUAUGGCUUGUAUGUUUUUUUUCCUCUUCUAGCGCUUAGCUAUUCAAUCUUGAUAUCUGAUUACAGCUCAAAAUUUUGUUAUCACUGCCUUAUUUUAACAAAAAAUAAUAAUAAAUUUAGUGACAUGAAACACAACAAUGAAGCUGCGUAUUCAUUACUGAAUCGAAAUAUGCAUUAGUUAUUUAUUAAUAGGGUUAUUAUUACUUUACCUCUUAACAUUCGGUGUCACUAUCAAUUUCUCCUUUAACGUUACCUUUUAGUCAUUUUACUCCCAAGACUAAUGGUCAAAUUUAACAAAGUUUGUUAAUUAAAGUGAAAAGAUACAUUUAACCCUUAAAAUUAUUAUCAUUUUACUCUCAUAAACUAUAAUCUGAUUAUCAAUUUACCCCCUAGAGUUAUUUUUUAGACAAUUUAUUGCACCAUUAAACCAACUUAGCCAGUUAAAGAACUCUAGAAGAAAGUACUUUUUUUUUGUAUAAUAAAAAUAAUAAAAAAUUUAGAAUAACUCUUCUUCUUUUUAGUAUCAAGAAAAAAAAAUCAAAUUGUUAAUCUCUUUCUUCUUAAUAAUCUUAUUAAUAUUGAAAAAAAAAAGAAAGAUGUGGAGGAGGAGGGGGAGGGAGAGAGAGAGAGAGAGCUCAAUUCUUUUUUUUUUAAAAAUAAAAAUAAGAAAAAAUUACGUAUUUUUAUUAUUUUAAAAUUAUUUCAUUUUUUUGUUUACUACCAAAUUUCAAUCCUGAUCUUGAUAAUCUUAAAGUAAUACGAUAAUGUUAGACUCUUCUUUAUUUUCUUUCUUUACAAAAUCUAAUUUUCUAUCUCCUUCUUUCAUAUCUCCUUUUCUUUUCCUAGCAUUAAUAAGUGUGAAAAAAGAAAUUUGAGAGAUCCUUUUAUUUUUACGUUUUUGGAUCCUUUAAAGUGAAAAAAAGGAAGAAUAACCUUUCCAACCAUUUCAUUUUUUAAUUAUAUAUAAAAAUGGUAUAUAUAUUUUAAAAAUUUUGAUCAUACUAGUUAGAUUAACGAUGAGAUAAAAUGCUUAAAAAAUAAUGUUAAGAAUUAAAGCGAUUGUAUCAUUAUAAUUUCAAGGGAUAAAAUGGCAAUAACAAUAUGAUAAUUCUAUAAAAUAAAGAGGUAUUUUCUGUCUAAAAUUUCUUAACAUGUUGAGUUGAAUUACUUAUGAAGGUGAACUGACUAAAAAAUAAUAUUACGGGGCAAACUGAAAGUAGUGGUAUAGUUUAAGAGAGUAAAGUGAUAAUAACCACUACAAGAAAUUUGGCCUUUUGUAACAACAAAAAGUCAUGACUAAAAAUCAAAAAGUCAUCAUUAUAUGAGUAUAGUGACGACUUUUUCCAUUGUCACAUCGUUGUCACUAAUUCUAUGUCACAAAUGGGUACGUGUGACAACCCUUUGAAAGUCGUCACUAAAUUUUGUUAUUUAAUGAUGAGGACAAAGUCGUCACUAAUGAUUAUUAUUCUGUGACAAAUUUUCUUGUCACUAUUUCACAUAUUUUUUGUCAUAAAUGGAGCAAAAGUAGUAACAAAUUUGAAGUCUAUAGUGACGACUUGAACUUGUCACUAUCAGUCCUAGUAUUCAGUGACAGGAAUAAUCGUCACUUAGUGAACUUGCAUAUAGGUUGUCACUGAACUUUAUCUUAACAAACUGCAAUUGUUCAUCAUUGUCACGGUAUUUCCGACAAUUAUAGUGAAACUCAAUUUGACAAAAAGGCUUGGUAAACUUGCAUGCUAGUGACAACCUUCCUUUGAAAGUUGUCACUGAGUUUUGUCUUCAAGAGUUGACAUUGACCAUUACAAAUAUAGUAUUGCCAUGGCAUUUUCAACAAUUAUAGUAAAACAUUCAAUUUGACAAAAGGCAAAAUCAACAUAAAAGAUAUGUCGCAAAUUCAUAUAUAUGAUCAUAACACAUCUUUAAAUUAAUAUAAACAAAAGUGAAUCACAAAUGUUGGGUCCCAAAUCCCACAUAAUCAGUUCAAGUAAUAAUAACCAAUACAUAUACUUCCCAAGAGAUAGAGUACUAGAUUUCUAAACUAAAGCAUAUAUUACAGCACCAAUGUCAGAUUUCAGUCAUCUCUAUCAGCAUAUCCAAUAGUCUUCUCCUGAUCAAUAUGAAGCUGGACUGCAUUGACAAUAAACUAUUAAAUGCAUUAGAGUAUACUUUAAUCAGAAAAUAUGCUAUUACAACCUUACACUACUGAAUUUGAAUGAAUAAUCAACAUAUGUUGCAAACAGGUCAGCACUUUUAACAGCAUAAUCAACAUAUUCGAGUUUAUUCUGAGAACAAGUUCGAAAAGCACAACUUUUGCCAUUCCACUUUUGCAUAUUGGCCAGAAAAAAAAUCACUAAUACUAUACUCUUCAAAUUCAUAUCCAACAUGACAAUUACAUGGAAACUCAAAUUGGGACUUUGUACCAGGCAAUUUCAUUUGUUGAAAUAGAUAAAAGUGGGAUGAUUGAGAUAAUUUAAGACAGUAGCAGUGAAAAAGACAAUUACAUGAUCACUUUGAACAAUUCAAAUAAAGCCACACCAAUAAUUUAUUUUUCACAGUUAUGAACACAACUACAUACAACAAAUUCCUUCUAAAAAGUUUUGCAGGAAUGUUAUAAAUUUUGUUCCAUCUCAAAAUAUAGUUGAAAAGGAUGCGGCAUCUCAUCAAGAAUUUAACUAGCCAAUGCCGCCAUGUUCAAAACUCAAAGGUGCAAAGUUUAGUAACAUUUAACUUCCAAAUUGCAUAGCCCACGACCCUUUGAAGUCCCAGGUGAUAUAUCAUGUGGAAAACAGAUAUAUCUUAUGUAGUUUUGAAAAUGCUUUCAAUCAAAAACAUCCCUUCUAGUUUAAUAGCUGCACAAGAGAACAACUAAACUAACAUUUUUCUAGCUUCAGUUUUAAACCAACCAUUUACAAAAUUUAAAUGGUUUACAAAACGAAUAGCAAAAGAUAGGGAAUCGACCCACAGUGUUGUCUUGAAUUUUCAAGAAUCUACGCAAUUUUUAGAGGAAAAGACAAUCUUCUUGCCAAGAGAAGGGCAACCGAAAAGGGCUAGCUUUUUCAAGUCGUUGUGUGACAUCCAUCUGAAAAUCCAAUUCACAAGAUUGAGAUGGAGAAGAUACAAGCUAGGAAACUCAAUACAUUGAAAAUGCUUUACUAAUCUCUGUGACGUAUAAAACUUGCACCAGAAGAAGCUAGAGCAAGAACUUAUUAGAAGGCCAAGUAAUGGUAGACUGUUUCACUCCAAAUUCAACAGAAUAUGCAACAUACAAAGAAUUACCCCGGUACUUUAGCAAUUUACUCCACUCUGUAAUAGUACAAAUAUUGAGCACAACUUAAAAAGUUACUCAUUGCUUCACAUCAAAGUACCAAAAAAUUUUUUCCCCUCAGUUACCACGUCACUUGAUAAUUUUAUUGUGUUUUUGAAUGCAAUGACUUGUUAAAAUGAAAAUAGUCAAGCAUAACUACAACUUGAGCACAAAUGGCCAUUAAAUUAUGUGAUCUUCACAUGUAGCACAUAAUUGAAUUUGCAACGAAUUGCAAUGUACCCUCAAUAUUCUUGCAACAACGUCUUUAACCACUCUACUUGAUUUGAAAAUAAAAGCAUGAUGUCCAUCCUCUUGUUUGCUUGCUAACUCACUUCCAUUUACAGUUUUUCUCUUCUUGCUUUCUCAAAGAUUAGUUACAAACAGGAGAAAAAGGAUUAAUAGCAGGGCAGUAGUAGGCAAAAGCCAAAAAAAUGAACGGACACAAGCUGGCAACCUAGCAACAAAAUUUCAUCAAAACACUUGUUGUUCACAACAAACAAGAAAAAAAAAAGGAACAGGGCAGUAUUUCCAUGCCCUCAUUAUAGUUCAUGCACAAAAAAUUGGAGCCACUACAAAGGGAAGAGGAAGAUGUCAGGAAAUGAAAUAGGCAACCUUCUUGUCCACAAGUUUGAAGAAAGCAAGGUUCCAUCAGAUAUCCAUUCUUAAGCAUUGUAUAACUAAUCCUAAGUUUGAGAUAAAAAGUUAGAAUCUUCUUUCUGUUCCCCUCUUAAUAGUUAAUACAUUCAAGUAAGUAACCCAAAGAAAGCAGAACAUUCAUUAGUCCAUGCCAAAAAUACCAUUCCUACAAUUGCAUUAACAUGACUACAAGCAACUCACCAGGGCAAAUUAUAAUCUAAGUACACAAGAGAAAGCAUAUUACUAGAAAAAUUAUCCGAUUAUUCUCAUAAUGAGAUUGAAGAAUUCAAAAAAUCACAUUUGAUAUCUAGAAAUCAACCACUCAAUAUUUAUAGAUUAGCGCUUCAAUAUACAAACGCAAGGAAUUCAUAGAGAAUCUAGGAUGCCAAGAACGAGCAAAUUAUAUCUUUGCCUUAUGAAAAGAAUAAAAAUCCUUACUUUGCAAUCUCCUGAUUAUCCUUUUUUUUUUUAUCAGUAACAAGAAGUACCAGCGUAUAAUCCAUUAAACCCAGAAAAAAGGUGCCACCAAAUAUUUUUAAGAAAUUCCUUAGAUUGAUUUGAAGACCUAGAGCAACCAAAACUGUAGAUAGAGUCUCAAUCAACUAUGUAUCUCAACAUGCAUAACUUUCAACUGCAACAUCUAAGAGCCUAAAUUGCAAAUAACAUAAUUUAGCAAAACAUGAAUCUAAGAGAAGCAUGAACUUGGUGGUGCUGAACCAUAACCUCCAGAUCCACGGCCAAAGCCAGGCCUUCCACCAGAACCCCUGAAAGCAGGCUGGUUGCAAGAGCUCCACCUUUCUCACCACCAAACUUACCAGGAGGUCCACGGGGACCAGCACGAUACCCUUCCUGUGCACCAAAUUCACUAUCCCUCGUCCAAAAAGACAACAGCAGGGAAAGAAAGAGACAGAGAACAAAAGAGGAUAUGUUCUACUUCCUGAAUUACAAAUCUACCUGUCCACUAGAGAGACUAUCUUUUCUAAGAAAUGUUUAUGCAACCUUCUGGAAAUGCUUGGAAAGCAGCUUCACAAUCUCAGUAAAUCCAACUUUCUCCUUGCCUUCAAAUAUGGUCUUCAGCUUCUCAUCACAGUAGAUCUCUUUCUUGUUGUUUGGAUUCUGAAGGUUUUUGGAAUUGACCUAAUCCCAGACUUUCCUGACGGCGUCAGUGCGAGAAGUUUCAGGUGCGCCAACGAACUAGCGGAGAGCAGGAGAGACAGGCUGCUUCUUCAGGAUGCCAUUUCUGCGGCCAGAAGUUUUAGCAGCGGCGGAUCCAGAAGUGGUGGAGGCGACGGAGGUCUUAGCGGCUGCCAUAAGUGCUCUGCAGCGGUUUCCGAAAACCCCAGCGGUUGACGCCAUAGAAAGAGACCCUAGAGAGAGAAGAAAGAGUGAGAGAGUGAGGGGACUGGGAGUCUGUGAGUGAAGAAGGCAGGUAGAGUGGAGGGAAAAUAUGAGAAAAGACCAAAAACGAUGUCGUUUCUGCUUCUUUUGUUCACGCACAUGUACUUCUUCAAUUUUCAGCUUCCCGCUUCCAUUUUAGCUAAGACCAAAAAAUAACACUUUCAUCCUCUUUUGUACGGCUAAUUGAUCAAAUUAUUGUUCGAAAAAAAAAUCACAACAAUAAAGUUAUUAUUUUGAGCUUUUUUACUUCACAAGUUGUAUCUGGAACUUUAUUUGUUACAUUAAAACUUUGAAAUUUUAGUGUUUUUGGAUAAUUUUUGGAAAAUUUAGUGUUUUUGGGAUUAAUUUAGUGUUUUUGAAAAUUAGUGUUUUGGAAUAUUUAGUGUCUUAUUAAUAAUAUGUUUAUGAUUCAAAAAAAUCUUUUAAUGCAAAUAUUUUUGGUAUUGAUUUAAUAAUUUUAUUAAUUAUGUACGAAAUUGUGGUCUGACAAGACCUAACAAGCUGUUAGUUGAUCAAUUAACCAAAAUAGUUUGCUAAUACAUGCAUAAAACACUAAAUGUAUUUGGUACAAAUACCAAUUUAUAAACCAUAUAUAAUGUGAUUAUUGUAAUUAAUAAUAAACUCCAUCCAUGCGAUUGUCAAGAUUUUACUUAAUUUCAUGUUGAAUUUUAUUGUUCUUUGCCAUUAUUUUCACACUAUGCUAGUCAAUAAUUUUCCAUGUGUUGUCAAGACAAUUAGAUAAGGAAUCCAUGAUAUUUUUUAACCUUAGCUAAGUUCGGUACAAGUUAUUAGCUAAGUUUGGAACAAUUAUAAAAAUAUGUAUAUAUAUUUUAUUAAAAUAUCUUUCUCAUUUUGCUAAUGAAAAACAUCAACUAAAGUGUAAAGGAUAGGGUGUCAUAAUAGAAUUAAUGAAAUCGGUUUAUCACAUACGAGACUAAAUUGUAAAAGAUAAGGUCUCGUGAUUGAGUUAAUGGAAUCAGUUUAUUACAUAUGGGGCUAAAAUGUAAAAUUUAGGGUGUCAUAAUAAGAUUAAUAAAAUUUAUUUAUCGCAUAUAAGCCACAUUGAAAAAAUUAGGGUGGCAUAGUAGAAAUAAUGAAAGUGAGUUAGGAACAAGCACUUUAAAAAUAUGUUUAUGAUUCAAAAAAAGAUAUUUCAAUGCAAAUAUUUUUUGUAUCAAUUUAAUAAUUUUAUCAAUUAUGCACGAAUUGUGGUCUGACAACACCAAACAAUUUGUUUAGUUGAUCAAAUAACCAAAAUAGUUUAAUAAUACACGCAUCAAACACUAAAUCUAUUUGAUACAUGUACUGAUUCAUAAACCAUAAACAAUUUGAUUAUUGUAAAUUGUAAUAUAUAACAAACUCCAGUCAUGGAAUUGUCAAGAUUUUUACUUAAUUUCAUAUUAAAUUUUAUUAUUCUCUUCCAUUAUUUUCACACUAUGUUAAUCAGUAAUUUUCCAUAUGUUGUCAAGAGAACUAAAUAAAGAAUUCAUGAUAUUUUUUAACUUUAUAACAAGGUAUUAGCUAUGUUUGGAAUAAAUAAAAAAUAGGUAAACAUUGUUUUUUACAAUACAUUCCUCAUUUUGCUAAUGAUAAACACAACCUAAAGUGUAAAAGCAUAGGGUGCCAUAAUAGAAUUAAUAAAACUUUUCUUUAUCACAUACGAGGCUAAAUUGCAAAAGAUAAGGUGUCAUGGUAGAGUUAAUGAGAUUAGUUUACCAAAUAAGGGGCUAAAGUGUAAAAGUUUGGGUGUCAUAACAUAAUUAAUUAAAUUUACUUGUAGCGUAUGGGCCAUAUAGAAAAAAUUAGGAUGGUAUAUGGAGUUAAAAUGUAAAAGUUAGGGUGUCAUAAUAGAAUUAAUAAAAUUUAUUUACAACACAUGGGCCAUAUUGAAAAAAUUAAGGUGGUAUAUGGGGUCAAAAUGUAAAAGUUAGGUGUCAUAGUAGAAUUAAUAAAAUUUAUUUAUAACACAUGGGCCAUAUUGAAAAAAUUAAGGUGGUAUAUGGGGUUAAAAUGUAAAAGUUAGGGUGUCAUAGAAAAAUUAAUAAAAUUUAUUUACAACACAUGGGUCAUAUUGAAAAAAUUAAGGUGGUAUAUGUGGUCAAAAUGUAAAAGUUAGGGUGUCAUAGUAGAAUUAAUAAAACUUAUUUACAACAUAUGGGCCAUAUUAAAAAUAUUAGGAUGACAUAGUAGAAUUAGUGAAAGUGAGAUGGGAAUAAAUGCUUUGGACAGUGACGACUAGUUGUUGUCACUAAUUUAGAACUGGCAACCAUAUUGUGACGAUAUUUUAAGUUGUCACUGUAGGACAAGUUUCAGUGACAACAUGUUUUCCAGUUGUGACAAUGGUGAUCUCCCGCCACACUGGAUAGUUGCGCGCCUUCCAUAUUGUAACGACUUAUCCCGUGUUGUCACUGUUGAUGGGUGAACCCACGAUCAAGAAUGACGACAUUAAAAGUCAUUACUAAAGUUUCAAUUGUGACAACUUUCUCUCUUGUCGCAGAGAAUGUUGUCACAAAAGGCCAAAUUUCUUAUAGUGAACCCAUAUUAAUAUGACUACUCAUUUCUCUAUUCUUCUCAUUCAUACAAUCUUAAGGGGAAAAAGUUGACCAUUCUCGAAUCUCAAACUCUGAAAAGCAAUCAUAUUUGAUCAGGAUGUAAAUUGAAAAUACCCAUAUACAUACUAUUGCUAAGAUGUGUGAUAUUUGCACUCUUAUAUUAGCCUCUCAUAUUGAAAUUCACCUACUGAAUAAAAGGCCAUCUAUGAGUGUGAGUGGCAAAUUUGGGAGUGGAAAUAUCACUUUUUUGUGUCUAAUUAGAUGCACGUAUUGGUUUUAUAUGUUUAAGGAGAAAACUUUUGAAUAUAUACAAAAUUAAUUAUUAGAUUCAACUUCACAUAUAAAAGAUCCCAUGUAUUUAGGACCAAGUACAUAAAUUUGAAAUUUGGCAGAUAAAAAAUUGAAAUAAUUAAUUAUUGAAUAGAUCACAUGUAUUUAGUUUUGAAAAAAAUUUUCUUGGCAUAGUAAAUAGAAUUUUGAAUAAAUCAACAUGUAAUGCUAAUGCAAUUAAUAACAAGUUGAACUUCACAGAUUAACAACAAAAUAGCAAGGUCAAAAAUAUUUAAAGAGGAAAACUUUAAAUUUUUGAUAAAACAAAAGUUAGGUGUACAAUUCAAUUUCAUUAAAUCUAAUGAAGCAUAAUAAAGAUCUUCAAUGAAAAUUUUUGAAAUUUCAUAGGGACUAAAAACAAUCAAAAACUUGGCUGUCCCCGCAGCUUCCCGACGCCCCUGAAAAAUUGGCCACAUGCAUGGUUUAUUGCCCCGCUCAAAACGAAUGAUUGGCAUUCUGAAAGAUUAUUUUGCUGUGACAUCCUAUAAAACUGAUGGGGACAAAUAUUCAAAGAAUUUAUUGUAAUUAUUAUUAUUAGAAUAGGAAAGAAGAAUCUCUUAUCCAUCUGUCCCCUCCUCUUUGUCUGCAUUGAACAAUGUUCUGUAGUAUAGGCAGGAAUGAUUGUACAAUUUAAACUAGUAAAGCUAAAAAUCAACCAAACAACUGAACCACUAACAAUACUUAAAAAGGAAACCACCAGCAUUUGGGCUGGUGGCCACCACCUAACUUGGUGAGGUGGGUGUGUUGUGCACCUGUUUGAUCCGGUGAUGAUUCAGUCCCUUCCGAAUUAUUUCUUGGCCUCCUUAGGUUCGCCCCCCUCCCCCUUAGUGUAGGAUAGAUUAGGUUAUAUAAAGUUGUCGUAUCCGCCAAAAAAAAAAAAGAAAACUAACAAUACUUAAAAAUGAAACCAGGUACCUUACAUCUUUGUAAUAGUAGAUUGACAUAUAUAAUUUGAUAUCAAAGUAGAGAACAAACUAAACAAGGAUUUAUUUAAUUAUGGCAACAUAAUGGAUAGAACUCCCAAGCUGCAGAAGGCAUACGUAAAAACCAUCAGAGCAACGAACAUAGAUCACUUGGGAAGCGUUAACAUGUUUCUGUACUAUAUUUAGUGCUUCGGAACCCAGACAAUGUGAUCCUCAGGAAGGAAAUGGCAGAUUGGAACAGUUCCUGGCUUCACCUUCAGCAGCUGAAAAGCCAAAUGCCUUGGGUUCCAUGCUGACGUAUCCCGGUGACAAACAGCUACAGCUUUGACUUUUGCUCCAUCGGCACCAACUAAAUUAACCAUAUAUGCAUCUGUAUUCUGUGUGGUGUGGCAGUAGAAAACUGCGUAGAAAUAGUUUUGCCUGUGGCAAGAAACUAUUUCUUUAUCGUUGUUGUUCAACUUGGAAACAGACACAAUACCAUAUUUCUGGACUUCUGGAUCUGUUUUCUGUGCUUCGUUAGAAAUUGCUAGAACAUCUUUGCCCAGCUUUGAAGUAGUGAAAUCAACCAUUGAUUCGAGAGAAGUCGCACAAUACUUGUCUUCUCCUUUCAUUGCGGGCACCUCGCAUUCUGCUAUCGUUUCCUUAAUAAUUCUAGCAUCUUGUGAUUGUGGAUUCAGUGAGUAUUUGUUCAAAAUUUCAGGAACAGAUUUUGAUGAGAAGGGAAUCGAAUUAGCAACCUGGCGGGGCAGGAAAGCCGUAGGACUUUUCACUGAUUCAACAAACUUCAUAUUCAUGCUUGAGCCGCGAUUGAGGUCCAUUUUCAAGAAAAAGACUUUCACUUUUGGGUCAAUAUGGAGCUCAUCUUCAGUAGGAUUUCCACAAUAAUGUUUGAAACUACAGCUGUCAUCAUAUGUUUUCAACCUGAAAUUGCCCCUUUCCGGCCACUUCCCUGUAUUUAUUGGAUGAGCAACAAAUUAGUACAACAUAUAAAUCCGGCCAGCUUUUAUUUCUGGUAAUGGACUACAAUGUCCCUGCGCAAAUUCUUCCAGCAAUAUCCCCCUUUUUAAGAUCCUUGUCAUAUGCUUGCUCAUGAUUAAUGGAAGAGUAAAAUUAUUAAAAGAAAAGCAUGUUAGAUCUUUUUCUUUUCUUUUUUUUUUUUAACACGGUACAAGAAAACCCCUGUAAUUAUUGAAGUACUUUUUCUUUUUGUUUUGUUUUAAGUGAAACUAGAAGUUUUCUAUUACAAUUUCUCCUUUUUUUUUUAAGGUUUUGAACUUGAUGAGUGUCUUUCAAUUCCCCCAGAAUCCAAGGGAAACAAACAAAGACGCAACUCGAGCAAUAGAAGCACAGUAAACGGUAGAUAUAGGAAAGGACCAUUUCUGAGACAAACCAUCUUUUAGCAGGUCUCUAACAGCUUUGGGCAUAGGAGUGUUUGGAAGCUCGGAUUUCCAGUAGGCUUCAAGAUCUGCAUGGUUUGCCCCAACUCCUAGCUGAAAUAUAUUUCACGAUACGGAAAAAGAGUUAUGCAGUCAGUUUGCACACUAUCCAAAGUGCGAGCAAAUUAUCUAUCUAAAAAUUAACGUAGCUUAACUUUUUCAGUAAUGUACACUCACAAAAAGAAAAGAGAGAAAGUAGAGAAGCUUCAGAAAUUCCAUAAUAGUUUAUGCGCACGAGCCACGGUAGGCUGCUAGUAUGCAAGACGGAGUGAAGAUAGUAAUAAAAGCCAAUAUAUUUGAGCGAGAUGGCACAAGAAACUGGGCAGCUUUAUUUAUAAGCGGAAGAGCCAAGCGGGACUCGGGGCAGGGACGGUUGCAGGUGCAACCGUUCCUGCCAAUUUUAGCUCAUUUUAACUGCGCGUAACAUUGGUUCAACUGCGCGUAACUUUUUUUUUCACAACAUGUAUUUUCACAACAGAUAGUGGUGGGCCCCACACUUGGCGCGAAUUUCGAGUUACAUGGUGUUAUUUCAACCGCACAAAAUUUUGAGGGCCAAUUUUCAGCCGCACAAAAUUUUAACCGUGCAGGGACGGUCAUACUGAUGACCGUCCCUGCCCCAAAUCCAGCCAAGUGCGAUUGCCAAUUGUUUGAGAGGGGGACAGUUUUGAUAUGGUGGCUGUACGGCACCAAUCAAGUUUUGACAUUGUUACUCUAAACAUGCACCUUAUCUACGAGUAGGCUUCUUGAGGGACAGUGAAGAUAAUACUGAAGGCAAAAAUACAUAAGUGAGAUUUCACAGGAAAUUGGCCGCAUUUUAGAUAAAUGAACUUAAUCAUCACCUACAAUUAAAUGUGUGACUAAGAAAACCGUCAUCUGUACCUUGAUUGUCACCAAGAAAACUGUAAUAUGUACUUUUAUUGUUACCAAAAAUCCGAUUGGUGAAAAUACUACCAACUUAUAACAUUGAGAAUUGAGUAUCUAGUAGUAUACCUAAAAAAGAAAAAAAAUUCCAUUUGAGAACCCUAAGAACAUAAUACUAAUAUCUCCAAAGCUCAUCAAAAUUCAGCAUAAUCAUGCCACAUGUAAAAGUGGGGUACAUGAUAUACAUGGAUGAGGAAAUUGUGGGCUAAUGUGGAGUGACAGGUGCCGAACCUGUGCAAUAAUAAAUCACUACUCGAAAGAAAAACAAAUUUUGCAUAUAGUGACGAGUAGGGUCGAAUCCACAAGGACUGAAGAUAAUUCGUUUCUUUUAGAAUUCAAAGUAUGGAGGUUUUCAGGAUUAAAUGCUAACUAAUUAAAUGCAAAAAUAAUUAAUUAAAAGAAAUAAUUAGAGAAACUCUAGCCAAGGAUACACUUCAGAAAUGGUUCAUGUACUGAUCAUCGAUUCACAGAUAAUUCCAAUAUUUAUUAAUAGAUUAGUUAUAGUUGUCAUGCACGCGAUAAACAACCAACCUUUCCUUAAUUUCUCGAUAGUUAAGGUACGACCGUUAACUAUUUCUCUAACUCGGAAACAACCUUAGGUACGACCGUAGGAUUUAAUUUCUAGAUUGCAUUAAUAAUUAGAAAAGUCCAAUCCUAACUAACAAACACGCUACGAGGGUUUGUUUAAACUAGAUCGUAUGUUCCCCUGACAUAAACCCAAUUACGCCAGUUGCUACUGGGAUGGAGAUAAUCGAACAAUUACGGAUUUAACUACCUCUAAUUAGCAAAUAGCCUACGUGAAUAAUUAAAUAUUGCGCACCUAUUCAAUCAUACACGAUAGCUAUACCAACAAUUAAAAGCAGAAAACAUAUAAAUACCAAUAAAUGAAGGAAAUAAUUAAAAAAAUUUAGAUCUCACAGUAAUUGCCGAACCAAAUCUUCAGUUGUCCUUUGACUAGAAUUAAGAAGCUAGUUUUCCAUUAAUAGAGAACCAGCCGUGCGAAAAUAAAACAAUCGGAGCUUUCUAAUGUUUUCAGAUGGGAAAAGGAAACUAAAGCUGAGCCCCCCAAUUACACGUGAAUCUGGCCCUUUUAUAUCUUCAGUAGCCGCCGCCCCCGAGAAAACUAACGUCUGACCUUAAAAAGCAAAAGCUAAGCUAAUGACUAAAUGCCCCUCCCGUAAAUUUGGCUUUUUUCCUCCUUUAUAGCGCCACCAGGAGCCAAGAAAACGUUUGACCCAAUUAACGAAACCAAAGCUAAUCUUUUGGAGUUUUAAUCCCAUGCUUCUCGCGGUUCACGUGGACCCAACCUUCUAAUUGCCCACUUUUGUUGCUACCAAGCCCGCGGGUCCGGCCUUUAGGUGAGUCUCCUCAGUUUCUGGCGUGGGCACGCUCUGAAAUGAAGGGUCUUCUGGAAAUUUGCCUCAAGAGAUUACUUUUAACACCAAUCACCUACAAUUCACACAAAUAUCAAAUAUGAGCAAAAUCUCAAUACGUAGCACAGUAAGUAGCCAAAAUUGGGACAAAAUAACAGUGCAAAAUGUGCCCAAUAAUUGCUCUAUCAAAUCCCUCCACACCUAGACAAUGCUUGCCCUCAAGCAUUUCAAAGUUCAGAAAUACAAUCAAGAAAAGAUAGGUCCUGCAGUAAUCUACACUAACACAAGCAUCCCACAUUCUUGACAAUGCCGCCAAAAUUAGAAUACACUAGAUAGGUGGUGAUCCGAAGAAUAUAAGCAGUAAUACUCGUCACCUUCAAGAAAAUGUAUGAAUACUAGGAACGCUCAAAUCAACAUUAGGAAAUGACAUUACCAUAGGCUUGCACAUUUAUCACAUCUCCACCACUGAAAAGUGAACUAAAUAUACAAAUCAAAGGGACUUUAAUAGGGUUGUAAUAGGGCUUAGGUAAAAGGCGGGAUAAGAAGGUAAAAAUAGGGUAUAAUAUGUCAAGAGAAUGUCUGAUAUCCACCACAUCACCACAACGCUUCAUCAGAGAAAUUUCACGAGCAAGGCAUUUUCAUUUGCCAUUUCCACUGUGCAAGUGUCAAAACUCUUCUCCUGUUCUCUUUUUUUUUUUUUUUGAACAAGCGGCUCACAAGGCGUGGGCACGUCUUGUAGGCCGGAGUCUUCUGCUCACGAGCUUUUUUUUUUUUUUAACGGAGCAGAUGUCUUGCAAGGCGUGGGCACGCCUUGUAGGCUGGAGUCUUCUGCCCACCAGCUCAUUGCCGACUUCUCCCCCUUCCCUUUUUUUCUUUUUAUCUCAGAUACACAGAGCACCGUACAACUUCUAUUCCGACAACACUCGCUACCUUAGAUUCAUUUGCCUUGCACAAACAACGGAAUUCAGACAUUUCUUGACGACACAAGGUUAAACAAGAAAGUCUAAAAAGGUCAUGGGUUAUCAAACACGGCUAAUCAAAUAAUAGUGAAGGAUAAAAGCUCAAAUAGGUUCACUACGGGGAGACAAGAUGAAGGGCAUGGUUUGUAGAAAGUUAAAGAAGGUUAAAUCCUAAAUGCCCUUAUCAUUUGAAAUGCAUCCAGUUCAACAAAAUGUGGUCUUGACAUGUACAAAAUAGCAAGUUCUAGAAUGCCAAUACCAUGUGUGAUACCCACUCAAUCAAACAAGAAUAGAGCGAACAAGGAUAAUGUGCUCAUACAAGGCCCAAAAGCUCCCAAAAGUUUCAAGAAUGAGUCAAGUCCAGCAUAUUCAAUAUUCAACACUAUUGUCAAGGAAAAACAAAAUGUAUAACUAGUAUGUAUAACCACAUAUCCGUGCACCUUGAUUGUGCAAUCCAUCAUAGCAACAUGCUCUAGCAGUUAACAAAUGUAGGACUAGAGAAGUCAACUAACUACACUUUUUUUCUUUUUUUUCUUCAUUUUCCUCUUCAUUUUUUUCUUUUUUUUUUGUGUUUCUUUUUUUUUUUUCUUAAAAGCAAAGCAAAAGGAGAUAAUAAUGGAAGUCAUCCCUCCACACCUAAUACCUACAUUGUUCUCAAUGUAGAAAAGAUGAAUGAAGUAUAAGGAGAAAAUGAGAGAAACUUCCCUGACCACCGAGAGGGUGCAGCGAGACACUAAGGCGGAGAAGGGUGGGGUGGCUAGAAUCCAAUGUGAGCAAAGAAAGUCGUCUGAUGAGAGAGAUAGUGAUGGUGGGGCGGGCAGCGGCGUGCGAUGGAUGGCGCGAGGGGGAGAGAGAGAGUUUCUAGCGGCGGUGGACAAGGGGGAAACCUUGGACUAAAACAAAACAAAGAAAAUUGAAAAGUAGAAGCUGAGACAAUGGAAAUUGAUAAAACCAUACAAGACAAGAAAAGAGAAAAGUAGAAAGUGGGAUUAGAGAGGGUCCUGGUCAAUCUUUGACUUUUGUUGGCGCAAAGGCUGGAAGGCGUGGGCGCGCCUUGGAAGCUAUAGUCUUCUGACCGUCAAUUCCAAAGCUUCAUUCCUUAGGCGUGACCAACGAAAGUGGGCAUGUCUAACUGCUAGCUUCCUGCCACAAAACAACAACCCACUAAAUGACACUAAUACUUAACAAAAAUUUCGAAAAUAUAAGAAAACUAAAACAAAAGAAGCCUUGGGUUGCCUCCCAAGCAGCGCCUUUCUUUAAUGUCUUUAGUUAGACAUCGUCAUGUUUAUUCACGGAGGAUAAAAUCGUGUAGCUCGUCUCAGUAUUUCAUCUUCUAUGUAUCCUUGAUAUCCCUCGUAAAUAGAGUAAUUCUUGAGCACACGAGGUAUGGUCUUCCAUGGAUUAGUAGAUGCCUCUAAACAAGUCGAUAAGAAUCUUAGUUCUUCACUUACUCCUCCAUUACGAACACUUAAUGGUUCGAGAUAUUUUUCCAUUGCAACUCUUAACUUAUUCCUGUCAUGAAACUCAAAAUUAUCUGGCAUAAUAAAAUCUAUUUCACUAACAGGAUUUAAAGAAUAAGAGUUCGAAAAAUAUUGACUAAGGAAUGGAGGAAAUGUCACCGCAUUUAGGGAUUGUUCACUGAAUUCAUUCACUUGAACAAUUUGAUAUUGGGAUCCUAUUUCUUCCACUUCAAUUCUCUUCUCAACUGCAUCUUUAGCUUCUUCUUCUUGAGACUCUUGCAGCUCCAUGUCAUUUGUCAGGAUAAUUGCACUCUCAUCAUCAUCAUGAUCGAUAAUCAUCUGUGAAGGCAAUUCUUCACUCAUUCGAGAAGUCAAUUGCGUUAUUCUAGAUGUCAUUUGAUCCAUUUGAUCUGCCAAGUUACGCAUGCUCGCUUGUGUCUCCUGAUGAAAUUGAUAUGUGUUAGUAGCUAAUAAUUCAAUCAUUUCUUCAAGAGACAUACCUGACAUAGAUGAUGGUUGUUGAGACUCUUGCUGUUGAAAACCUAUUGACCUUUGUUCAUAAUUAAAAUUGGAAUCAUCCCACCAUCCUUGAUCAUACCCAUUUGAAUAAGGGUCAUACCAUGUUUGAUAUUGAGGUGAAAAAUCUCCAAAAGUAUCGAUUGGAGCACCUGGGCCAUCUUGAAAUGCGGGAUAUAUGUCAGUUGAUUGACCUGAGGCAAAAUAAGUUCCACAAUUCGCAACAGCCUAUUGAUCAUUAGAAAAAACAUGAGUCUCAUAACCCCAUCUAGAAAUAAAAUCCACUCUAUCACCAAAAUACAGAAUAUUAGUAGCCAUAAAAAAAAGAUGAACUAAAAAAGAAACAAAUUAAUCAAGCGCCAGUCCUCGGCAACGGUGCCAAAAAUUAACAGGUGCCGAACCUGUGCAAUAAUAAAUCACUACUCGAGAGAAAUACAAAUUUUGCAUAUAGUGGUGAGUAGGGUCGAAUCCACAAGGAUUGGGGAUAAUUCGUUUCUUCUAGAAUUCAAAGUAUGGGGGUUUUCAGGAUUAAAUGCUAACUAAUUAAAUGUAAAAAAUAAUUAAUUAAAAGAAAUAAUUAGAGAAACUCUAGCCAAGGGUACACUUCAGAAAUGGUUCAUGCACUGAUAAUCGAUUCACAGAUAAUUCCAACAUUUAUUAAUAGAUUAGUUAUAAUUGUCAUGCACGCGAUAAACAACCAACCUUUCCUUAAUUUCUCGAUAGUUAAGGUAUGACCGUUAACUAUUUUUAUAACCCGGAAAUAACCCUAGGUAUGACCGUAGGAUUUAAUUUCUAGAUUGCAUUAAUAAUUAGAAAGGCCCAAUCUUAACUAACAAAUACGCUACGAGGGUUUGUUUAAACUAGAUCGUAUGUUCCCCUGACAUAAACCCAAUUACGCUAGUUGCUACUGGGAUGGAGAUAAUCGAAUAAUUACGGAUUCAACUACCCCCAAUUAGCAAAUAGCCUACGUGAAUAAUUAAAUAUUGCGCACCUAUUCAAUCAUACACGAUAGCUAUACCAAUAAUUAAAAGUAGAAAACAUAUAAAUACCAAUAAAUAAAGGAAAUAAUUAAAAUAAUUUAGAUCUUACAGUAAUUGCCGAACCAAAUCUUCAGUUGUCCUUUGACUAGAAUUAAGAAGCUAGUUCUCCAUUAAUGGAGAACCAGCCGUGCGGAAAUAAAACAAUCGGAGCUUUCUAAUGUUUUCAGAUGGGAAAAGGAAACUAAAGCUGAGCCCCCGAAUUACACGUGAAUCUGGCCCUUUUAUAUCUUCAGUAGCCGCCGCCCCCGAGAAAGCUAAUGUCUGACCUUAAAAAGCAAAAGCUAAGCUAAUGACUAAAUGCCCCUCCCGUAAAUCUGGCUUUUUUCCUCCUUUAUAGCGCUGCCAGGAGCCAAGAAAACGUUUGACCCAAUUAACGAAACCAAAGUUAAUCUUUUGGAGUUUUAAUCCCAUGCUUCUCACGGUUCACGUGGACCCAACCUUCUAAUUGCCCACUUUUGUUGCUGCCAAGCCCGCUGGUCCGGCCUUUAGGUGAGUCUCCUCAGUUUCUGGCGUGAGCAUGCUCUGAAAUGAAGGGUCUUCUGGAAAUUUGCCUCAAGAGAUUACUUUUAAUACCAACCACCUACAAUUCAUACAAAUAUCAAAUAUGAGUAAAAUCUUAAUACUUAGCACAGUAAGUAACCAAAAUUAGGACAAAAUAACAGUGCAAAAUGUGCCCAAUAACUGCUCUAUCAAGGAGGCAACAAAAUAAAUCAAAAUGUGGAAUCUCUUAUCUAUUUAAGUAGUUUUGUUAUGUCUUACUUGUACCUAAAACUAUUACGUUCUACAAUUAAAGCAUAUGGUUAUUGUUAUGAGCUUGUAACUUCGAUUCCUUAGCAUCAACUUGCGUUUAGUUUUAGCCGAGUAUCAAGCUAUGCAAAACAUACUUAGAUAAGUUUGGUAUACACACCGAAUUGCAUUCACAUAUUAUAAUUCCACCUAUAAACAGCAACUCUAAAUUAUAAUAUUUUUAAACAAUAGAUACAAACAUGAAAAUCGUUAAAAUUAAAGAGGUAAAUUAGUCAUUAGUUUUGCUUUUGUCGCUUAAGUUGUACAUCACUUAGUAUAGAAUUUUCCAUGUAGUAUAUUUCAAAGCACAUAAACAUAAUAAUGUUUGAUGAUAUAAGAAGAGCUUAGAUGAAAAUAUAUAAUAAUAUAAGAAAAGUCAUGUAAAUUGAAUAUAAUAAUAUUAGUUAAAGGUAUUUGCAUUUUACAUGGUAUGGGCUUCCUAAGGAAAUGUCAAGAAUAUUCUUAUUUGACAACUAAAAUGAUUGAAGUGACCAAAAUAAAUAAAUAUAAUAUGCAUCACAUUUUAACCCGUCAUGGUUUUGUGUUUUAUUACAUAAUCCCAAUUAUUUUAGUGCUAUACCACAUAACCCUCAUAUGAUUUUUAAAAUACAUAACCCCCUAUGGUUAAUUAAUAAUUUUAGAUUUUAUAGAUAUUUUAAUUGAUUUCAUUAUGAAAUACAAAUAUAGUCAUUUUGACACUUUAGUUCAAAUUAUGAGAGGAUUAUAUAAUUUUUUCAAACCACAAGAGAGUUAUAAAUUUACUAAUAUUUGGUUCCCAUGUGAGGGCCAUAUUUAUUGUCAGAUAGUCCAUUAGCGUAGGUCCAUAUGACAAUUUGGAAGUAUUGAUGACUUGAUGUCAAGAGGCUUGAACUAAAAGACUAUUUAAAAAAAAAAAUCAAUAAAACUACUUUCAUUUAGUCCAAACAAAAUACAAUAAAAAACGUACUAAAAAGUUUUCAAAUAAUUUAAACUUAAAGUUUGGUGCUACCUGGACUUUUCUAAAGUGCUAUAAAAACGCAGCAGGUUCACGACAGAAAACAGUUGACUAUUGAGAGGUUGUAUCCAGGAAUAUUUAUUAAGGAUUAAAAUUGAAUCCUACAAUUCUCAGACAGUUUAGUAAUUGCCCUUCACUUUCUUCGUCCUAUGAGUCUGGAGUGGAGUGGUGGUAGUGGUCGACAGUGGAGGGAGUAGAGUGGUGGUUGUGGAGAGGGAGGGAGGAGGGAAGAGGAAGAAGGGACAAUGUGUUUGGGGCCGGGGGAGGAAGAAAAGAAAAUUUUUUUUUUUAUAUUUCUUAAAUACCUAACUAUACAGAAGUUUUUUCACAAAUUUUAUAGUAAAUUACAACAAAAUUUUAUACAAAAAACCAAAAAACUCACCAUUUAAAUGGGGUACUGGUUUGACAAAAAAAAAAAAAAAAGGGGUAUUGGAUAAUCAGAUAACCCCCCUUCUUAUAUUAGCUAGGGUCACAAAGCUCAAGUUAUUUCCAUGAUUUCAAUGUGUUUCUCUUGGAUUCUAUCUCUCACAUAUAUUAAUUGCUGCGUUGGUUUUGUACUUGAUGUCCAUUUGGGGUAUAAGUUGGGCGAAUAAAAGUAUAAUUAGAAGGUGAAUAUAGGAACAGAUAUCUGUUACAAGGUUGCAGAAACCUUCAGAAGGACCCUGCAGAUGAUAAUCUUGCAAAAAAGGGUAGCCCCUAGAGGAUAUCUCUUAUAAUUUCAAGAUGUGAUGAUAAGGUUAGAGCAAUGGGCAUUAGCACACUGAUCGUUCGGACAUACGUUGGGAGCAUUGUUUAAGGUUUCCAUCAAUUGAGUAUGAUACGUGAAGACAAGACACUUCAAAUCACAAGAGCAACGGUUAAUUCCAAUUUUCACUCUUCAACUAUAUUUUUAUUUUCACUUUAAUUUCUAAAUUUUAAAGUGGAAUACUUUAUUUCUUAAAAAAAUAAAAUUUGUCUGCUUAAAUAAAAUGGUUGACGGAAAUAGGACAUAUUUUAUAUUUAAGUGAGAUACAUCUUAUGCUUUAAGAAUUAAAGUAGAACAAAUUUUAUUCAUAAAUAGAAUACUUUUUAUAUAUAUAUUUUUAGAACUAAACAGUGAAAAAUUUCACUUAAAUUCAAUAGAUUUUAUGUUUUAGAUAUAAAAGUGUCUCGUUUUCAAGUUUAGAUACCAAACUAGGGAUUCAACUAUAGUUAAACGGUGCAACAUAGAAUUAACUCCAAGAGGAAUUUUUUAGUUAUCUGGAAAGAGAAAUAUUUUAUAAAUCUGUCCCCUCCUCAUUAGUGGCUCAAAUUGAACACGGCAGGCUACUAGUGCCCAUAAUGCAUUUAACGUCAUCAUCGCUAAUACGGACGGAUUGUGGUGGCCGGGGUUGGCAUUUUGGGGGACAGUUGAUAGUGCCACUGGCGUGCUUCAAUUUGCCACCAUGACAGUGCCAUCUCAGCCGCCCCACUCUAAAAGAAAAGGAAAUGAAAAAAACUAAAAAUAAUAAUAGAUGUCUAAUGAAUAAUAACAAAUUGUAUUGCUGACGAGACCUUGGUCUAAUAAUUAAGUUGAGAUCCUCCUUCUUUUUUCCUAUUUGUUAAAUCUCAUUCAUUUUCUACUAAAAUAUUUUGAGGAAAGAGAAAAACAAAUUAUAUCUUUUGUGUAGUCGACUUGAACAAAAUACUAAAUAGCUUAGCUCGAUAUACUCGCAAAAAGAAGUGAAGAGACUUUUUGAAAUUAUAGAGAAAUUAUGUUGCAAAAAUAGACUUUUUUUUAAUAUUUUACUGUUGGAAAGAAAUUUACUUUCUUCUUUUUCUUUUCUUCUUUUUCCUCUGUUCUCGAGAAGGUAGUGUUAAAUUAAACUAGCAUGGCAUCAAAUAGGGCUGCAAAUGAAUCGAGCCGUUAAUCGAAAUCGAGCUCGAACUCGAGAUCAAAAUAUUAAACUCGUUAGCUCGCGAGCCGACUUACAAGUUCGAGUAUAUAUCUUUUUUUUUUAAUUUUUUAAUUUAAGUAUAUAUAUUUUUUAUUUUAAGUAUAUAUAUUUUUUAUUUUAAUAGUAAAAUUACAUAUAUAUCCUUAAUAUUUUAUUAUUUAUUAAAAAAUAUUAUUUUAUUUAUUUUUUAAAAAAUACAAUAUUUAUUUUUUAUUUUUUUCGAGCUCGAGCUCGAGCUUGAAAUUGUCAGCUCGUCGAGCUCGAGCUCGAGUUCAAUAAAAUUAAGUCAAGACUCGGCUCGAUUAGGUCAAAACUCAACUCGAUUCGACUCGUUUAAUUUGCAGCCCUAACAUCAAGUCAGUCUCAGCAAUCAAUAGCACUUAAAUGGUCCCAUGAUUAGGCGUGUCAAUUGAGAUUUUUGAGCUAGACUUUGGUAAGCCCAAGCUCAACUCACAAUAAAAAUAAUGUGUGUUUGGAUAUCAAUUUUUUUUAUCAAAAUAUUAUUUACUUGCAUCAUAAUUAUAAUUUUCAAUCAACUCUGUAUGUUCCUAAUAACUUUUUUAUCUUACAUACAUCAUAUCAUAAAAAGUGUUAUAAUAAUUAUUUCAAAUAAUCUCCUAUCCAAACACACUCAUCAUAAUUUUCUUAAAAUUUGCACUAAUGACAAAAGUUACAUCAUCAAUCAUACACCAAUAUCAAAGAACAUAUCUAAGAAGUACGGAGACUACAUAUUUGAAGAAUAAAUAAAAAUUAAAAUAAAAUAAUUGUAACUCCAAGAACAUUUGUGCAUGCUUACAAUCCAAAUGAAGAUGCUUUAAUCUAGUGUCAGUUUUGCUGAAAGGUAGGGAAAAUGAAAUAAAAUGUUCAAUUUGGAAUGAAACACACAUACAAUUAUCACUAUGUAGAUUCCAUAUUAACUUGGCCUAAUAAUAGAGUAGGUAAAAGUUCGCCCGUUAGGGGAUUGCUAUUAUUAUGGUAGAUCAACUUGCAUAAAAAAGAAAAAUUUUUAUAUAAAAACAUGGAUAUAGAUGCUGAGAAGGCCUUAGUUGAAUGGUUAAAAUUAAAACGCCAGAAAUUCGAGAUUUUGGAUUCAAAUUCCUUGUCCCCUCCUGCUUCUUAAGUCGCACAUCUCCCCUGAUGAUGAAAAAGUUUUUUUUUUUUUUUUUUUUUUUUUUUUUGUAAAUGGAUACAGAUAGAGGUCAGGUUCGGUCCAGAAGGUUGAUGUAUGUGUUGUAGAUUCAUCCAAAAGUUUGGCAUAUUUUGUUAUAGGAUCUAUUUUGCAAUCAUUCAACGUAAAAUAGUACACAAAAUUUGUACAUCAACCAUCAAUAAUACUCAUCGAGUACCUUUACGGUUGAGGAAAUAUUACACCGACAUAAUUGAUACUACAACUGGCAGAGAAGAGACUAAACAAGGAUUAACUUAUUUAUGGGUAGAUAAUCAGUCGCACUCCCAAGCCAAGCUGAUAUUGUCUACUUAAGAGGGGGAUUAUAAGUUCAAAUGGUUUUAUAUUUGAUAUUGUCUACCAGUUUAAAAAGGUUUAAGUCAUAACUAAGUAUUGUUGGACUGUCAUACUAAUAGCUUAGAACUAACUUGGAACCACCUGAAGGGAUAUAAAUUUCUAUCUGAGUUGUAAACUUGUAAUUUGUAAGUCUUGAAGGUCUUGAUCUUACACAUUUGAAUUUAAAAAAUUUGAAGUGGGUGCCACUACACCCUUCUAAUCUAAACGGGCCCCAUAUAUAACACAGUUGGGGGUAAUAUAUGUGCUCCCAAUUAUUAAAAAGCAAACAAAAACCUUACCAGCAUUUUGGUCCUAUGUGAGGGCCACAUCUAAUGUGAGAUUGUCCUUAAGCAUAGGUCCAUACUACAAUUUACAAGGAUUCAUGACUUGAUGUCAAGAGGGUUGAAUUAAGACUACUUUCUUGUAUGCUUAAAAAAAAGACUACUUUCUUGUACACCAAACAAAAUAUCGAAAAAACAUAUUUUCUAAAAAGUUUAUUGGGAUGAUUUGAACCCAAGGCUUGGCACUACCUGGACUUUUCUAAAGUGCUGUAAAUUUUUUUUGUUUGGGAUAUUCACAGCAAUGAUGGCUGGAUCACCUCAACCUACUUUAAUUUGCAGCCUGCCGACUUUUCUGCCCUGCCUUAAAAGAAAAGGAAAUUAAAAGUACUUAGAUAUUAAGAAAUGUCAAAUAAGAAACUUUACCUCUUGUGCAGUCAAAUUGGACAGAAAGCAGCUUCGCUCUAACCUAAACUAGAAGAAAGUAAAGUGGCUAUUUUGAAACUACACAGAUUGCAAAAUCUUAAGUAAUAGAUUACCAAAAGGAAAUUUACCAUCUAUUUCUUUUUCGUUCUGCUGAAAGUAGUUUAACCAGCAUGAUUUCAAGCCACAGUACUCAACACAACUUGAAUAGGCUCACGGCGAUGGAUCCCUUCGUGGACUUGACUCGAGUACGCAGCAGGUUCAGUGCAGUGAAGGGUUAAUCCAAGGAAUUAUAAGGAGAAAGUUUCAUUGAGUUCCUCACUCCACCACCAGUUUAGCAGUUACUCUUCACCUUCAGCGUCUCUGAGUCUGGCUCAUUUGUUUAUCAAUUUUGUUUGUUAUUCUGUCAGGCGCACAGAGUCUGCUGAAGUCAAGUCCAACGAGGAGUCCAUUAUCUUGAGCCUAGCUACUGGCUUCAAAUGAGCACAUUUUUUGAUGAAUUAUUUCAUUUUUAUCUGUCAAAAUAUAUAUAUAAUCUUUUAUGUAUGAAGUUGAAACUACUAAUUAAGUUCGUAUAUUUUCAAAAGUUAUCUUCUUAAACAUAUAAAACCAUUAUAUACAUGUAAUUAGGAAUACGAAAGUGAUACUUGAACUCCCAAAUUACUCUUUUGCAUUCGCUGAUGGCAUUUCAUUGAGUGAAUAGAUUAAUGUUAGAAAGGCUAACAUAGGAAUGCGAAUAUCACUCAUCACUACAAGAAAAUUACCAUUUAAUGACACUCAAAAAUGCCUCUUUUUGUAUGUUUUAGUGACAAUUUUUAAUCUAAUAGCAUUUCCCCCGAGUGUUGGCAAUAUCACUGCCACUAUAGUCUAGUGACACUUGAAAAGUGCCACAAAAGAGUUACUAUGAUAACAUUUUAACAUUUCAUUGUACUAGGGAUAUGUGUCAUGAGAAGAUGCCACUAUGUCAUUUUUUUUGGGUGUUUGCGAAUGCCAACAAUUUAAGUUUUGAUACAACUUUAAAUGCCACUAUUUAAAACUUUCCUGUCACUUUGAAAUGCCACUAAAAAAUUAAGAAAAUAAAAAAAUAAUUUGAAAUUAAAAAUCAAAGUACUCUUAUUGAUCCGGGUAAUUAAUUACAACUCAAGAAAAUGAAAGUUUCGCCAAUUAAACAAGUCACUAACUAAUAAAUCUAGUAAGAAAUUAUAUGACAACAAUAUAAACAAAUUCAUGCAUUUUACAAAUGAAACAUGUCUAAAGACAUUAAUCUUUUAAGCUGAUAACUUGGAAAAGAUCAUGUCUUCUUUGCUUCAUUAAUCUCUCAAAUGCUAUGUAAUCUGCAUUUAAACAAUACAAUGAAUAUAUUACCUCUUCUCAAGGAUUAGUUAGUAAAAAUAUUAACUCAACUCAAGAUAUUAGCAAUAGUGGUUGAAAAAUUAACAAUGAUCAAAGUGGGAAGUAAAAUGGGGCACCUUGAACUUGCCAUAGAGAUACUAAAGUGAUAGGUUGUCGAGCCUAUGCAAUAAUAAAUACCUGCUCAAACAAAAGUUAAUUUCUGCAGAUAGUAAUAAGUAGGGUCAAAUCCAUAGGGAUUGGGGAUAUUUGUCUCUUUUGGAGUUCAAACUAACAAUGGGGGGUUUUUAUAGUAAUGACAAUGAUUAAACAGUUCGAAUAAAAUCAAAUAGCUAACUAAAAAGUAAACGACAAGUCACUAAAAUUAGAUUAAUGAUAACUAAAGUUCUAGCCAAGAAAUAACUUCAGCAAUGGUUCACCUAAUUGAUCAUCAAUGCAAAGGCAAUUCCAAUUAUUUACUAAUAAAUAGGUUAUAACUGUCAAACAAGCGAUGACAGUCAACCCUUCCUUACUGUGUCGGUGAUUAAGGUAUACCCAUUAACCACUACUCUAAUUGAGAAAUAAUCAUAGGUACGCCCGUAAGAUUUAAUUCUCUAAUUGCCUUACGUAUUAGAGGAGUCCUGUUCUAACCAAAUAACGCACUACCAGGGUUAUUUUAUGUUAGCCCGCGUAUUCCCCUGACACAAACCCAAUCAUGCUAGUUGUCACUAUUUCAGGGCAAUUAAACAAUUACAGAUUUAACGCUCCAUUUGACAAUAGAUUACUAAAUUAACUAAUUAUCUGGAUCCAAGACAAUCAAUUAAUUGAAUAACCAUGAACACUGUAAUCAGAGAAUAUGCGAAUAUCAAUAAAUAAAAGAAAAAGAUAAAAUUAAAUCGAUCUCACAAUUUUUAGGCGAACCAAAGCCUCAGUUGUUCCUUGACUAGAAAAGGUAGUUUUGUUCAUCUUUAACGAAUAAAGCCCACAGGAGAUCGAAGCAACCGUAGCAGCCAUUGACUCCAAAAUUGAGAAAAUUCAAUUCGGUUCAGCAAUGAAGAAAAAGUCAAGAUUACAAAGAAUGCCCAAUUGCUUUUCUUUGCCUUCACAUCUGAUGGAAGCAAAAGCACAAUAAGAUGACAAGAGGAAAAGUCAAAAGAAAAGCUAAGCUAGAGGUCCUACCAUACGAAGAAAGAAAAACUACCCAAGAAAAGUCAAUGGAAAGCUAUUUAAUAUCUAGUUCCUACUGCUACUGUCCGGCGUCCGCGGCCAUGAAGAGACCGAAGAAAACUCUAGCCUUUUUAUCCUCUUUCCAUGUUGUCUUCCGCCAAAUUACCAAAGAGGGUCGUAUCCUCAUAUUUCAAAAAUGCCCUUGGACGCCUGCUACUUGAAUUCUUUUCCGAUGACUGUCAAAUUGGCCUUGGUUGUGGUAUUUUCAUUCUACUCCCUAAAAUAAAUGUAAAUUACGAAAAGUGAGUAGAGUCUAAUAACUGAUUCACAUCAAGUCAGGUAAUAGGGGAAAUUAACAAUAAAAUAAAUGAUAAAAUAGUAACCUAUCAAUUCCCCCCCACACCUAAACCCCUCUUGUCCUCAAGCAUAAGAACAAUAAACAAAUACCAAUAUUUGACAAUAGCUAUUGCUCCACCUACCAUAUUGCCAAGAUACCAAGAAAAAUAUAUCAAGCAUCAGCGAUCAAAAUCAAAGAAACAUCACUGUGAUUAGCUUCUAAACCACAAACUCCUUUAAUUGCAGGUUAACUAAUCUAAGAAGAAGGAAUGACGCACAACAUUUAUCAACAAAUGGUCUAACUAUUAACCAAAAUCUCAACAUUAAAUCCAUAAAUCGGUAGGCUGACUUUUAUUAUACACUAACACAACAUUCACUUCUUUUUUCAUGUUUUUCUAUUUUUCUGUUUUUUUAAUAGUAACACAAGACUUAGUCCCUGUCCAUUGGAGUUUUUUGACGCGAACUCCGACAUUUGUCAGAUGAAAGAGCUCGGUUACUCAGUUCCUAUCGCAUGUGACCACACACUCAUAGCAAUUACUACUUUUUGACGCGAGAAUUGACACUUUUGGUGAAAAUCCCCGAUUACUUGGUAGUAACUACUAGCGGAGUACAGUCAACUCUUAUUCACAGCUAAAUAACACAAAAAAUUCAAAAUAACACAAAAUCAAAAGAAAAUUUACAUCAGCUAGCUUCAUUUUCAAACAUGGAGAACGAAGGUUAAUAACCGGACCAAUUUACAUGAAAAUGCCAACAGUUAUUUUCUAUAUCUAGGAAAGUUAACCAAAAAUUAUAAAAGUCACACAGUCGUCGAUAUUCACCAUAGAGAUAUUCUUAGACUCAACCACAUCUACUUAAUACACUUCCAUUACUAAAACUUGGCAAUAGCAGAAAUAGAGACAACAAUCAAACAUCAAAUUUUGGCAUCACAUACGAGCUAAUCACUAAAAAGAAAGAAAGAUUGACAAAUAACAAACUAAAAUGAAAGCAAAAACAUCUAAAAAACUAAAUAGUAGAAAAACUAGCACAGCUGCCCCCUCACACCUAGACCCUACAUUGUCCUCAAUGGAGGAAUUAAAGCAAUUAAAGCGAAGAGGACAUCGAAACUUCCCUCUCGAGUGGCUACGAGGUAGGCGGGAACGGUAGAGGGAAACCGAUGUGGUGGAAGUACGCGCCCAAGUUCUUCACUGGUUGUCGAGGGAAAAAGUAGGAAUGGAUGCGAGAGAGAGGGUGGCGCGCGAAGUAGAUGCGACGACUGGUGGUAGAGGUUGCGCGAUUGGAGUGAGAGAGAUUGGAGUGGUGGCGCACGAUGGUAGAAAAUGAGGAAGAAAGAAGAAGAAGAAAGAAAAAAAAAAGAAAAGAAGGAAAAGAAGGAAAAAGAAAAAGAGAAAGAAUUUUUUUUUUAAUUUGCAUCUUGCAGAUCUAAGCUACAGUUAAACAAAUGAUUCUUUUUUUGUCUUUUUCGAAUUAAUUUAUUAUUUAUCUUUUUUAAAAAAUUUAUUUUAUUUUAUUAUUUUUUUAAAGAAAUUUUUUUUCCAAAUUCGAAAUUAGAGAUAAGAAGGAAAGCGAAAUAUUUCUUGAGAUUUGAAAACUUAUCUUUCUCGCGAAAAUAAUGCGGGCACAUUAUGAAGGCUAGAACCCUUUUGAUGAUGAGCUCUCCAUACGACUUGACGUAGGAGCGUCAUGAGGGUCCGAACCCUUCUGAUCAUGAGCUCUCCAUACGACUUGAUGCGAGCGCGUCAUGUCAGAGAGAUACCUACGGAUCAUCAAAAACGAGAAUUGAAGCCUGAAAUCAGUCAAACUCAAGGAAAACAUAUUUAAACUAAUAAACAAAAUCAAACAAAUAACUAAAAGAAAUUGGGUUGCCUCCCAAUGAGCGCCUUUUUUUAAUGUUUUUGGCUAGACAUUGAACAUUAUUCUUAAAUCUGGGUGUAACUCAAUUUUUCUUGUAAUCGAUGGCCCUCCUCCAGGAUCCAAAUAGCCUUUAAGUGCAUCCUUCUUUCUUAAUUUUCUACUCCUUUUCACCUCAUACAUUGCUUUCAUCCCCUUAUACUUGUUCUCAGUAAAUUUGAAUUUGCCUCUACAAGUAAACUCAGAAAAAUUCUUGCACAGAAAGAUUAAUAACAUGAAUAGCAAACCAGAGUAAGAGUUAACAAGAUGUUCCAUUGUAUCUAAAAUAUUAAAGUGGACUAGUUCUCCAUCAAAUUCCAUAGACAAUGUACCCUUAUUAACGUUAUUUUUGUCUGGGCUGUACUAAAAAAUGGUCUACCUAAUAGCAAAAGUAAAGGGUCGGGAGAAUGGUCAUCAUCCAUGUCAAGUACAUAAAAGUCAGCCGGAAAUACCAAUUCAUUAACUUUAACCAGCACAUCCUCAACCAACCCAUCAGGGUAUGCAUUUGUUCGGUCAGCUAAUUGGAUUAUUAUCUCAAUUUCUUUUAAUGGACCGAGGUUCAGAGAAACAUACAUAGAUUUAGGCAUUACGUUGAUCGAUGCUCCUAAGUCCAGCAGGGUAUUCCUAAUCAAAGUAUUACCUAUCUUAUAUGGGACAGUAAACCUACCUGGAUCCCCGUACUUCGGUGGAAGCUUCCUUUGGAGAACUGCUAAUACGUUCUCCCCCACGAUGACCCUUUCAUCUCCCCUCAACUGCUUUCGGUUGACACAUAGGUCCCUUAAAAACUUUGUAUACUUCGACACUUGAUUGAUGGUGUCUAACAGGGGAAUAUUGAUCUUUGUCUUGCGGAACACCUCCAGGAUCUCCUUUUCCUUAUCCUGCUUCCACAGUUUCUCUAACUUACUAGGAAAGGGAGGCGGGUUAGUUCUAACUGUAAUGACUGGAUUAGGAAGUACCUUUUGAUUUGGGCCAUUGCUGUCCUCCUUCUCAAGCUCAUUCUCGAUCCUUUCCUCAUCUUUGUCCUUGGGAAUCGUGAGUUCGGGCUCUUGAAUUUCCUUCCCGCUCCUUAAAGUCAUCGUACUUAUGUUCUUCAAGUUCAAUUUUAGGUUGAGACGCAAUUUUUCAUAAACUUGGGAUUCCAGGUGAUUGAUUGCCACUGCCAUCUGAUUCAUCUGAUUUUGCAUUACUUGUACCUAUUCCAAUUGAUUUCUUAUGUUCUGCAGUUCGGAGUCUGUCUUUUGCUGAUGUUGCACGGUGGUAGCCAUAAGUUGUUUCAUCAUUUUCUCCAAAGAUGGACUAGAACUUAGUGGCGGAGAUGGUCGGGGUUGGUACUGCUGCUGGUACCUUUGUUGUCUAUUUGACACAAAGUUAGGAUGCCUGUUCCCUCCAUAGCUGAGGUUAGGAUGGUGUCUUCAGCCGAGAUUAUACGUAUUCGAGUACGGUUCAUAGGGCAUUCUUGGCGCAGGCGCGUGAUCAGCCAUGUUCACUUUCUCUGCACUUUGUUCUUGAAUUAUCGGGCACAUAUCUGUAGAAUGACCCAUAGUAGUGCAAAUUCCACACACCUUGGCCUGAGAUGCGUUUCCUACAACCAGUUGCCUAACAAACGAGGUUAACUCCGUCAACUGCUGUCAGAUAGAAGAUGUCUCUACCUCAUUUACCUUGCGUAUCGGGACAUCCUCUCUCGUACCAAACUAUUGUGAAUUCUCGACCAUUCCCUCAAUUAGCUCCCAUGCUGCCCGAGGGGUCUUGUUCACCAGUGCCCCUCCACUCGCAGCAUCAAUGAUACUCCUGUAUCUGAAGAUUAGCCCCUCGUAAAAAUAUUGUAUGAGUAACUGCUCACUUAUUUGGUACUGAGAGCACUUGAUGCACAAUUUCUUGAAUCGCUCCCAGUAGUCGUAGAGUGACUCCCCUGGAUGCUGUUUGAUACCACAGAUCUCCUUUUUUAGACUUGCAACUUGGGACGCGGGAAAAUACUUGUCUACAAACUUUUUCUUCAACUAGUCCCACGUGGUGAUACUACCUGGUGGUAGGUAGUACAACCAGUCUUUUGCGAAGUCCUUCAAGGAGAAGGGGAAUGCCCUCAUUUUUAUUUGCUUUUCUGUGAUACCCGGGGGUUUCUACUAUUGCACACGAUAUCAAACUCUUGCAAAUGCUUAUAUGGCUCUUCACCUGACAAACCAUGAAAGGAUAGUAAAAGAUGAAUUAGACCAGAUUUGAAUUCAAAUGGAGUAUUAUCAUUUAAAUUUGGGAAAAUAAUACACAAAGGCUGUUGAUUUAAAUCAAGAGCAGCCAACUCCUUUAAUGUUCGUGCGUUUGUCAUAGUGAAUUCUUCUUGAUCCGAGUCACUUGAAGUGUCAUCAAACGAAUCUGUUGGUUCAACUUCUAACUCAGGUCUCUGAGAUGCAGCACUGGAGUACUUUUCCCUGAGUUGUCUGGUCUAUUUUUGUGUUCUCCGUGCGGUCUUCUCUAUCUCAGGGUCAAAAAUUAAUUCACUUGUACGAGAAUAACGAGGCAUACACUCAAAAGGUACUAGAAAAUUAGAACAAAAAUAAACUUAAAAAGAAACAAAUAACUAGCACCAGUCCUCAGUAACAGCGCCAAAAAUUGACAGGUUGUCGAGCCUGUACAAUAAUAAAUACCUGCUCAAACAAAAGUUAAUUUCUGCAGAUAGUGAUAAGUAAGGUCGAAUCCAUAUGGACUGGGGAUAUUUGUCUCUUUUGGAGUUCAAACUAACAAUGGGGGGUUUUUAUAGCAAUGACAAUGAUUAAACAGUUCGAAUAAAAUCAAAUAGCUAACUAAAAAGUAAACGACAAUUCACUAAAAUCAGAUUAAUGAUAACUAAAGUUCUAGCCAAUAAAUAACUUCAGCUAUGAUUCACCUAAUUGAUCAUCGAUGCAAAGGUAAUUCCAAUUAUUUACUAAUAAAUAAGUUAUAACUGCCAAACAAGCGAUGACAGUCAACCAUUCCUUACUGUGUCGGUGAUUAAGGUACGCCCGUUAAUCACUACUGUAAUUGAGAAAUAAUCAUAGGUACGCCCGUAAGACAUAAUUCUCUAAUUGCUUUACGUAUUAGAGGAGCCCUGUUCUAACCAAAUAACGCACUACCAGAGUUAUUUUAUGUUAGCCCGCGUAUUCCCCUGACACAAAUCCAAUCAUGCUAGUUGUCACUAUUUCAGGGCAAUUAAACAAUUACAGAUUUAAUGCCCCAUUUGACAAUAGAUUACUAAAUUAACUAAUUAUCUGGAUCCAAGACAAUCAAUUAAUUGAAUAACCAUGAACACUAUAAUCAGAGAAUAUGCGAAUAUCAAUAAAUAAAAGAAAAAGAUAAAAUUAAAUCGAUCUCACAAUUUUUAGGCGAAUCAAAGCCUCAGUUGUUCCUUGACUAGAAAAGGGAGUUUUGUUCAUCUUUAACGAAUAAAGCCCACAGGAGAUCGAAGCAACCGUAGCAGCCAUUGACUCCGAAAUUGAGAAAAUUCAAUUCGGUUCGGCAAUGAAAGAAAAGUCAAGAUUAGAAAAAAUGCCCAAUUGCUUUUCUUUGCUUUCACAUCCGAUGGAAGCAAAAGCACAAUAAGACGAAAAGAGGAAAAAUCAAAAGAAAAGCUAAGCUAGAGGUCCUACCAUACGAAGAAAGAAAAACUAUCCAAGAAAAGUCAAAGGAAAGCUAUCUAAUAUCUAGUUCCUACUGCUACUGUGCGGCGUCCGCGGCUAUGAAGAGACCGAAGAAGACUCCAGCCUUUUUAUCCUCUUUCCAUGUCGUCUUCCGCCAAAUUACCAAAGAGGUCGUGUUCUCAGAUUCCAAAAAUGCCCCUGGAUGCCUGUUACUUGAAUUCUUUUCCGAUGAUUGUCAAAUUGGCCUUGGUUGUGGUAUUUUCAUUCUACUCCCUGAAAUAAAUGUAAAUUAUGAAAAGUGAGUAGAGUCUAAUAAUUGAUCCACAUCAGGUUAGGUAAUAGGGAAAUUAAUAAUAAAAUCGUAACCUAUCAUAAAGGCAUUCCAACAAAGAAACCUCAACACUCGCCAAUAUUUCUAAAAUAAAAAAAGGAAAUAGUACCAUCAAUUUAUAUUUAAUCCUAAAACUUGAGAAAAAGAGUAAAUCAUCUAGUAUUUGAACCAUAUAGUACCUAAUGCUUGACCAUCUUUGAACCUACAACCACACCUUUUGGUCUGCGUAGAAAUUAUACAUCACAAAACUAGCAUCACAUACAAGGUGAAUGGGAUGUUGGCACAUUUCACCACAUAAUAAUUAACUGAUAACAACAUGCACUGCACUUUUUAUUAUUUUUUGGGGGCAUUGCACCAACAUAGGAUGACUUAAUGUAAAUGAAUUCUAAUUGAUACUUAGUUGUCUAAUCAUACCUAUCAUUACAAUUUAACACACAUUUUUGUUAGAAUAUGGCAAAUAAAGACACUUCAUACUAUAUGAAUUUCACUAAAAGUCCUACAAUUAUGUUUUUGAAAUGCUAAGUAAUAUGCUUUUUUUUCCUGGCCUACUGAUUGUGCUUUACAUUUCCAAGGUUUAUGCAAAGAGCAUCAUACUAUCUCUCUUAGUCAAGUAAUACAAUUCUUUCCCUUUCUUGAGACAAAUUUCCAAAAGCAUCUCUAAACCUAGCUUGGCAAAAAAAAAAAAAAGAAGAGAUCAUGUUAUUAACACUAUGAAAGUACAAUGAUACAAUGAUUGUGAAAGAAAGAAGAUUUUAACACUAGAGUAAUCAAUACAACUACUCAAAGGAAAGAAAAAAAUUGAAAUAACUGAUAUUUCUUGUCUUAGAAUUGUACCCAUAAUCACGAAAUAUAAAAUGAUAAAAUAGACAAAAACCUAUAAACUAUUGUUUUGUUCUAUGGAAUUUAGAGAGGACAAAAAGUACCUUUAAUGAUUUCUUGUGAUGGUAGAUAACAAUGGAAUUGAGAUGCUAGAUGAUAGGGUUUGUGGAUAAAGAGACUUGUAGAGAAUGCAAGAUUGAAAAAAUUUUAGUGAGUUUCAAUGUUUGAGGGAUUUACUUUGAUACUUAUCAGUUAAGAGAAGGAGUAAAUCAAGAAAGGAAACCUCAUCAAUUAGGCAAGAAAAUCUCAUCCACUUAGCAAACUGUGUUUUUAUUUUCAUUUUUUAAGAAAAUGCCAGUAAAACUUUUGAUCUAAUGACAUUCAAGUGCUAUUGAUUGUUAAAAUUGACUUCAUGCCUUAAUGGUUUAAUUUAACACUACUUUCUCGAGAACAGAGACAAAAAUAAAAAAAAGAGAAUAAAUUUCUUUUCAAAAGUAAAAUAUUAAAAAAAAUCUAUUUUUUUCACAUAAUUUCUUUAUAGUUUUCAAAGUCUCUUCACUUCCUUUUGCGAUUAUAUCGAGUUGAACUAUUUAGUUUUUUGUUCAACUUGACUACACAAAAAAUGUAAUCUAUCCUUUUUUUAAAAUAUUUUAGAAGGGGAAUGGUGAAAUUUAAGAAAUGAAGGAGAAAAAAGAUUUCAGCUUUAACUAUGACAUCAAUAUCUCAGCAAUACAAUUUGUUAUUACUUGCAAGACAUUUAUUAUUACUUUUAGUUAUUUUCAUUUUCUUUUCUUUUAGAGUAGGGCGGAUGAGCUAGCACCGUCAUGGUGGCAAAUUGAAGCACGGCAGUGGCACUAUCAACUAUCCCACCAAAUGCUGACCCCGGCCACCACCAUCCGACGUGAUUACCAAUUCAAAAGGAAAGAAAAAAUUAUAUCACUUCAUAAGCAGCCCGUAUUAGCAUGAUGUUAAAUGCAUUACGGGCACUAGUACCCCACCAUGUUCAAUUUAAGCCACAAAUAAAGAGGGGACCGAUUGAUAAUCUUUCUUGAUAACUGAAAAUUCCUCUUGGAGUUAAUUCCAUGCUGCAUCAUGUAAUUAUACUUAAAUUCCUUUUUUGGCAUCUAAACGAAAUGGAAAUCGGGUUUUCCAUUUUUGAAAUAUACGAAUUUGGUCCGAAUUCGAUAAUGAAUUUUCUGAAUUUGAAAUCAAAAACUGUAAGAGAUAUCCCAUAGGGGUUACUUUGCAAGAUUAUCAUCUGCAGGGUCCUUACUGACGGUUUCUGCAACCUUGUAACAGAUAUUUGUUCCUAUAUUCACCUUCUAAUUAUACUUUUGUUAUCCCAACUUCAACUCGAAAUGCACAUCAAGUUCAUAACCAAUGGAGCAAUCAAUAUAUGACAUGAGAGCUAUAGAAUCCAAGAGAAACGCAUUGGAAAUCAUGGGAACAACUUCAUGGUUUGUGAACUUGCUACGAGUACGGUUAUCGGAAUAAUUAAUUUCUUUGUUCGCCAUUAAAGAUGACAUUUCAUCAUAUGCUUAGUGUGGUACCCAGAAUCAUCCUCCUCAAGAUGAUCUCUCCCGGACACUUUCGAAUCUGAGUAGUCAUCUUGUAGUUUAGAUGUCCAGUGAGCCGAGGACAUUCAUAACAAGAAGUGAUUGAUGCGACACAUUACAAGCUUUUGCAGGUCUAACCUCUUGCACUAGUAGAUCUAGAGUCGACCUAUAGCUGCACCCUGCCCUAUCAAUGCGGCCUGAAACCCAAGGACACCUCUCACGUUUCACUAUAAUUACCCCUCUUUUCUUAGACCCCAGAGGUAACUGUUUCUUAAUUCUCACAUGUAACUUAUGUCUGAGCUGUUAACUCCUGCUAAGUUAAGCAUCGGAGCCAAAUUGGGGGAAUACUCCAUCUCUGCUUUUGAUAUCAUACAGGAAAUCCGAACUAGAGUUCAUCGAUCUCCAGUCUUCUUGGGAGUUUCGACCGUGACUCUACAAUUGGCACUGUUCGUAGGAAGUGAAGUAAAUACAGUUGCUCUACUUUCUCAUGACUAAGACUUGCUCUAAUCGUGGAAACAAGAACCCCCGAACUUUUGGGAGCCGUAUAGCCAAUCCAAGGGAUUAGGACAUACUAGAGAAUUCACAGCCUCAUGGAGAGGUCAUAGCUCGAGUGGCCAAGUUUGUGGCCUCCAGUUCAGGGUUUUUUGAAGAGAUUGUUAGGCAUAUGAAAGGUAAGGAUAGAGGCGAAUCUGUUCAGAGAUAACCCGAAGAGUCUUCUUUGUCUUCUUUCGAGGGUGACUCGGAUGACCAUCACAUACUCCAAGAGGAAGAAGGAAAAGAACCUUUCUAAAUUGCAAGGCAAAGUGCAUUCUAAAGUUUCCUCAGUUUUCGAGAGCACUGCUCAAGAACCCAUUCAAGAGGGAUGACACAAGUGAACGGUCUAGAUACGGAUCGACCCUUUACGGAGAUAACAUGCCCCCUUCACCCCUAACAUUAACGAAGAAGUUUUUCCAACGAACUUUGAAGAGGUGAUUUUAGUCCCGCUGGGUGAACCUUCCGAACUGAAGAAGUGUUUUGUCUUCGGCAAGGCACUGGGACGAGGUCACCUGCUUAGGUUACAGGAGGGGCUGAAUCCCCCGGUGUAACUUCGAAACUUAAGUUAGUUCGGUAGUGAAAAAGUAAUAUAGUGGAGAAGAUCAGUAUAGUUUUACCAGAAAUUAGUCAUCCUCCUUCUCAGUAGAGGUGUUGAGUAUUUAUAGAAGACUGAUUUGAAGAGGAACUGUUGGCACGAGUUCCGAGAGAUCUGAUACGGAUAUCAUAUCAAUUUGAUAUGAUAUCCCUGCGAAAAGGUGCGUCGGAACAGGUAUUAGAGUCAGGCGGCGCAUGUGUCAGAACAGCUCUCCGUCAAGUGUCAGAUGUGUCAGGGGUCACAUCAUCUUUCCACAGUUGUCAAGUCGUUUGGGCAUCACCUCGGCUCACGCUUCGAAGAUCUCCGCCGAGGUGAUAAACGGGUCAGGACUACCUCACUAAAUGACGCGCCGAGGUGGCACUUCCAGUAGUCUUGCAGGGUGAGGCCCCACCCUAUCCGGGCUGAAACGACCAUCCUCACUAAGCCCCCCAAGCUUCGAGAAGGGCGAGAUCGUGGUUUCCCGAGGUCGUUGCUUCCCGAAGUUGACAAGCGUGUAAGGCACGGGAUCCAGCAAUCAUGGCCAUGUGGAUGGGACUGCUGAGGAACUGACAUGAUGGCUGUCAAUCGUGACGGCAGGUUCAUGAACAGGCUCGAGAUCAGCAGGACGAACAGCCUUUUCAUUAAUGAGGAGAGAGAGAAUGCGCCCUCGAGAAUCUCAAAGAUACCGCCUCUUCAUUUUCCCCCUGGGUGCCUAUAAAUAGAAGCCCCUUUUCACCGUUUCACUCUUUACCAAAAAUCUAAAAUCACCUUAGAGCUCUGUUCCUGUGUCCUUUCACUUCGGCAAUUCCUCGAGGCAGAAAGACCCGACCCCUCCGAGGAGAGAACUGCGUCCGAUGUCGGGGAAGGAGUGCCGAGGCGUCUCACCGAGCCGGAACAUCUGGAGGGCAUCACGAGGAGAUCGAGGUCGAAGCCGAGGUCCUGUACAAUGAUGAUCUCGGGAACGAGGUCCCUAGGGACGAGGGCGUGCAAGAGCCUUCCACUCCUCCGAACUUGACAACACUUAAUUACGGCCAGAUGCCAGCCUUCAGUAGUAUUAUGGGACAAGCCUCCGUAGCCGAGGUGGUCCGCAAGUAUCAUUGGAGAAGGGAUUACAGCAUCUAUUUGCCCCAACCACACCAGUCAGCCGCAUUGCCACCGAAGGGUAGGGUGGCCAUCUACGUGGACCAACUGGAGGCCGGGCUCAGAGUGCCAACAACAAAGUUUCUUCGGGAAUGCUUGAGGUAUUGGGGGGUGAGGAUCACUCAACUCACCCCGAAUACCAUUCGUGUCCUCGUCGGCUUUCAACUGCUUUGCCGACAUCAGGAAAUAGAGCCCACUGUCAACCUCUUCUGCCGUUCUUACUCGCUUAAGAACAGCGGGAGCGAGAAGAGUUGGUUUUACUUCGGGAAUAAAGUUCCGAAGUUAGUGGUAGACGCCUCGAGCUCGAUAAAGGAAUGGAAAAGAAACUUUUUCUUCGUCCCGGCAGAAGACUUCCCACGGGGAUUCUGGUGGAGGCCUCCCACCUCAGUCAAAGAGACGUCCCCGGGCAUGUUAGAGGAGCGCAACUUCCAGAAGUUAACGGGGUCGGACCUCAGGAUUAAUUGCUGGGACUUUCCCGAAGUGGUGGUCGUAGAAGGCGGGAUCAGCCGAGUCUUGAUCAGCUCGGACCACCCCGUCUUCUUCUCUACUAGGUUUCAAAAACCUUGUACUUUUCCAUUUCCCUUUUUUGUUUAUUCUUCAUGAAUUCUAACUAACUCUUUUUCACACUAUGCAGUGGUGAAGGUUUCCGACCUGAUAACCUCGGAAAACAUCGAGGUGGUGAAGAGACCACCCAAGAAGCGUAAGGAUGCUGCUGAACCCUCCACCAGGCCUGCCAAGAACACCACUGCAGCUACGGGCGACCGCGAGCCUGCCGUGGUGAUAGUGGGCGAAGGCUCCCAUACCUCGACCACUCUCGGAGGUUCCCGAGCCUCGGCUAUUCCUGUCCCUAUUCGAGGGGUCACGAUAGCCACUCCACCUUGGGGUCAGGGCGUGACUGCGUUCCCGGAUAACCCCGUCACGAGGUCUUCGCUAUUCAACCUCUACCAUGUGCCUUCCAAAGCGGCCGGGGAGGACAAAAGGCACUCCGGAGCACAUUGGUGUCCCGAGUGGGAGGUGAACGUCAAUGACCGCUGCAAGAACCCCCUGGUCGUACAUGAGCUUCUGGUGCAUUCGGUGUUGCCGCGAGAUAACACUUAUGCCAGAAAGCUCACUCCAGGUGAGCUGAUGCAAAGUGCCUCGGUCUCAUGGGCCUCCACCACGGCCUUCUUUGUUGAGAUGAUCCAACGUUACGGACAUUUCAUGAAAAACUACGAGCCACCUGCCGAGUUCCAGAAGAAGAUUGCCGACCUGGAAGAGAAGCUGAGGGCAACCGAGCUGGAGCGCGACAAAGCCGAGGCAGCGAAGAAGAAGGCCGAAGUCGCGAACAAUUCCCUGAUAACUGCCCUUGAUGAGGAGAGAGAGAAGGGUCCAAAAAGAACAGUCGACCAAGGAGGCAAUAGACAAGGUCGGGGUCACUGCCGUGGAGGCCUUCCGGAAGUCGGAGUUUUUCACCCACGACCUCGGCGAGCUCACACGCCCAAACUUUAUGUUCGACUACACGUCGGCUGUUAACGAUGCUAUGCCCUUUCUCUCUUCUGAGCAGCUGGAGUCCCUUCAAAGCGCUCCUCACUACAACGAAGAUGCCAAGGAGCUGUGCGACCGUAUGGCCGAGGGCGUCCAAGCUGAAAAAGAUCUAGCCGAAGUUCAUGUUGAGUUCAACAAAUGACUUCAGGAGUUUGAGCUAGACGGUGAUGGCCUUGAAGGGAAUCAGUCCGGCGGAGGAGCUGAGGGACAGCAGGACGCCGAGGCGGCGAAGAAGAGACUAUGGGGGAGUAAGGCUCCGGGGCAGGGAAUGCUUAGAAGCAUCCCUUUUUUCCAUGACCUCGGUCUUCUACUUUUUGUACUUGUGCUUCAAUUCAAUUGACUUCAUAUUUUUGCAAUCUUUUUAAUUGAGUUCGGUUUUCUUUUCUUUACUGCUGUUGUCCCCUUAUUUUUCACUUGUAAUGAAAUGGGAAGAAGUGAGAAAUAACUCAAAACUUAAAAUUAAAAGUACGUACCCUUCAAGGGUAAUACAGUUUAAGAUUUUCAGCAUGCCGAGUUCGGAGCACCCGAAAUCCAUCUCGAUAUGCCAAUUUACAGUAUCCAUUUUGGCUGGACUCAACGACACGGUAUGGUCCCUCCCACUUGGGGUUCAGUUUACCCUGGGGUUUAGCUCGGCUGACCGAGUUCUUCCGGAGCACAAGGUCUCCCGGAUUGAACCGCAAGUGUCUGAUCCGAGCAUUGUAGUAGCCAGUUAGGAUAUUUUUUUAAAGAGCGACUUUGGCUGCAGCCAUAUCACGCUUCUCUUCGGCGAGGUCGAGGUCAACUCGCCGUUCAUCUUCAUUAACUUCAGCGGCGUACGCUGCCAUUCGUGGGUUCGGAGUGAUGAACUCGGCUGGGACGACAGUUUCGGACCCAUAAAUUAAAGAAAAUGGAGUUUCUUGGGUUGCUGACCUCGGCGUGGGUCGAUAGGACUACAACACGCUGGAAAUUUCUUCCAUCCAGGACGACCCAACCCGGUGGAGCCUGGUCUUGAGGCCAUAAAGGAGAGUGCGGUUGAAGUUUUCGGCCUGUCCAUUGGCUUGGGGGUGUCCAACCGAGGUGAAAUGCUGUUUGAUUCCCAAGUUUUCGCACCACGCUUUGAAAGGAUUAUCUGCGAACUGCCGGCCAUUAUCCGAGAUGACCACCCGGGGUAGGCCGAAGCGAUAAACCACGCUCUUUCAGAAGAAUUUUUGAACGGCUGCUCCGGUGAUACUUCUCAGAGGCUUUGACUCGACCCAUUUGGUGAAGUAAUCUACUGCCACCACUACGUAGGCGUAGUUGCCUGGAGUUCUAAGAAAUGGGCCGAUUUUGUCAGUCCCCCAUUGCUCGAAGGGCCAUGGCGAGGUGAUGGGAAUCAUGAAAUUAGUCGGCUGGUGGUGCUCAGGGGCGUGGUACUGGCAAGACGGACAACUAAGGACCAUGACCUGGGUAUCCACCCUCAUGGUGGGCCAGAAAUACCCAAGCAACAAAACUUUUUUGACGAGCAUCCUGUAGCCGACGUGAGCACCACAAAAUCCCUCGUGUAUGUCUUGCAGGAUUCUGUUACCUUCUUCCUGUGUAAUGCACCGCAGCCAAGGACCGAGGUACGACCUCUUGUAUAAGAGAUUUUGCCCAAAAGCGUACCGAGCUGCUUUGCGCUGCAGCUUUCUCAACUCAGCUCGGUCCUCGGGGAGCUCCCCCUGGCUGAGAAAUCGGAUCAAAGGCUCCAUCCAGAUGUCCCCAAGAUAGAUAGGGUACACGACCUCUCCUUUGUACCUCGGCUCGGCCAAUACUUCUAUGAGAACCGUCUUGUUCAGGUCAGAAAAAGAGGUAGAAGCGAGCCGGAGAGGGCAUCAGCCCUCCUGUUUUGUGACCGCGGUAUUUUUUGGAUUUCAAAAGACUCGAAAUGUGCCACCAAUUGGAGGACCUUGGAGAGGUAGCGGUUCAUCACCUCUUCCCUGGCCUCAUAUUCGCCCAGUAUCUGGCACACAACGAGUUAGGAGUCGCUAUAGACCAAAAUGUGCGCGGCCCCGAGUUUACGAGCUAGUUGUAGGCCGGCAAUGACUGCUUCGUAUUCGGCCUCAUUGUCAGAAGCGGCGAAGUCAAACCUUAAGGCGUAUGAACACACCUCUCCCUGGGGGUCUUCGAGGAGUAAGCCCGCCCUACUACCCUCACUAUUAGACGAGCCAUCCACAUGCAAAAUCCAACGUUGGAGCUCGGCGGCAGCCGAGGUGGUCUCCUUCACCUCAUCAAAAGUGAGUUCGGCGAGAAAAUCCGCAAGGGCCUGUGCCUUGAUUGCGGUACGAGACUCGUAAGACAAGUCGUACUCCCCCAGCUCGAUGGCCCAUUUAGUGAGACGUCCGGAAGCCUCUGGCCGUGAUAAAACUUGCCUGAGGGGUUGGUCAGUUCUCAAGCAGAUGUGGUGAGCUAAGAAGUAGGGCUUAAGCCUGGGGGCUGUAUGGAUUAAGGCCAGCACGAGUUUCUCCGCUUGACUGUAUCUGGUCUCCGGACCUCGGAGGAUUCGGUUGACGUAGUAAACUGGCAUUUGAACACCUUCCUUCCUUAUCAACACGUCGCUCACAGCUUCGACCGCGGCAGACAGGUACAAAAACAACUUGUCCCCUGGCUGAGGCGAGGUGAGUAUUGGGAGGUGGUGUAGGUACUCCUUUAACUGAUCAAAGGCCUGUUAACAUUCUUCAGUCCAGAAGAAGCUAUCUGCCUUCUUCAGAGUCUUGAAAAAGGGCAACGCCUUGGAAGCUGACUGCGAUAGGAACCUGUUCAGGGCUGCCAACCGGCCUGUCAGCCUCUGGACGUCACGGACGCACCGAGGUGAAGACAUUUCUUGGAUCGCUUUCACCUUAUCCGGAUUUGCUUCGAUGCCUCGCCUCGAGAUGAGGUAACCCAAAAACUUUCUCGAAAUUUCCCCAAAAACACAUUUCUUGGGGUUUAACAUCAUUCCCGUCUUCCGUAGGACCUCAAGGACCUCUUUCAGGUCAGAAAGGAAGAUGGAGGUCGUCCGGCUCUUGAGGAGGAUGUCAUCCACAUAGGCUUUAACAUUGCGGCCGAUCUGGGAUUUGAAAGCCUGGUUGACCAGGCGUUGAUAUGUGGCCCCGGCAUUUUUUAGUCCGAACGGCAUGGUGGUGUAGCAAUAUGUGCCUUGGUCAGUGUAGAAGGCCGUCUUCUCUUGGUUCUCCUGACUCAUUCCAAUCUGAUGGUACCGCUUGAAAGCGUCAAGAAGGCAAAGGAACUCGUAACCCAUUGCUGAGUCCACCAGGGUGUCGACUUUGGGCAACGGGUAGCAGUCUUUGGGGCAGGAUUUGUUUAGGUCGGUGAAGUCGACGCACAUUCUCCAAGCCCCGGUGUCCUUCUUGACCAUGACUGGGUUGGAUAGCCAGGUCGGAUAUUGGACCUCCCGGAUUAUCUUUGCCUGUAGGAGCUUGUCCACUUCUUCACCGACAGCUCGGCUGCGCUCAGGGUCGAGGUGCCUUCUUUUCUGUUUGACCAAACGAAUUUGGGUAUCGACGUUCAACUCAUGUACUAUAAGGUGAUGCGGGACCUCUUGGACCUCAUCUGCGACCUAGGCGAAGACGUCCUGGUACUUUCUGAGGAUGUCCACCAUACCUUUUUUGAUCGGGUCAGGCAAUCGGGUGCCGACGCGGAUCGUUCGCUCCGGCUUCAUAAGGUCUAGGAAAACCUCUUCCACCUCAUCUCCAGCCCCCAACCUCGGAGCCUUCUCAGCCUGCUGAGGGUCGAGGCAGUCUAUUGAGAGAAUGUUGGAUCUCUUCUCGGACCUCACAUCGGAGGUCGAUGUGGAGGCUGCUUGUAAGGUGGCGAGAUAACACUUCCGGGCAGUGCAGACGUCGCUGUUGACCUCGGCAAUUCCCGCGGGGGUAGGAAACUUGAAACUCAGAUGGUAUGUGGAAUAUACCGCUCGCAGAGCAUUAAGUGUGGGUCGGCCCAGGAACAAGUUGUACGGGGAGUCAGCCUUAACCACCACAAAAUUGAUUGGGAUGGUUCGACGGCGGGGGUGACGCCCCACAGUUACUGUCAGAGUCACCAUCCCUUCAGGAUGCACGAUGUGUCCCCCGAAUCCCACCAGGGGGUUCUUACCGGGGUCAUGUGUUCUUUGGCCAACUUAAAGCUUUCAAAAGUGCGGAGAUACAUAACGUCCACCGAACUCCCUGGGUCGAUGUAGACCUUCUUCACAAUAUAGUUAUUGGUGAGUAUUUCAAUCACCAAGGCUUCAUGGCUACUUGAUGCAGCCGGAACUAGAUCGGUGGGGCCAUAAGAAAUGACUUUAGAUAGGCGAGAACUUGACUCGGCUUGAUCCGGGUUAGCUUGCCUAUAGGUCCUUUUCCGGGAGUUCUGACUAUCCCCUCCCGUCGGACCUCCGGCAAUAGUGUUGAUGACUCCAGCAAUGUUUGACCCAUAUCCUAACCUCUGGCCUGAGGAUCCGUCUCGGGGAGGCCUUUUUGUCUUCCUAGGUUCCUCAGGGGGUCGGCAGCUGCUUCUCGACGUCCGCCUUUCGUUUCGGCUUUGGUCACCUCGUCCAUCACGCCGGUUAUCAUUACGCUGAUGACUUCCACCUCGGCGGACAAACUGCUUCAAGUGUCCCUGUCUGAUGAGGUUCUCGAUCUCCCUCUUGAGGUCGUUGCAAUUCUCGGUCUCAUGCCCGAUAUCUCGGUGAUACAGGCAGUAGAGGUUCGAGUUCCUCUUGUUUCUGCUACCAAACAUCCUGGGAGGUGCCUUCUCGAGAUUGUUCUGUUCCAUUACGAAUAACACCCAAGAUCGGGUGGUGUUCAGAGGAGUUAACUCAGACUCGGGGAUGGGUGACUUCCCCUUAGAAAUCCUGUCAAACACACUGCGGCGAUCUCGGUUAGGGCUUUGGAAGCCACUCCCUGUCCCCGCUUCACUUCGGCCCGCGUCUUUUCCCCUUCGGAGGUCAGCCCUCGGGCGAGCGGCUUGGACCUCUUUCUUCAUGCGGUUGAGGUCUUCUGCUUGUAUGUCCUUCUCGACCUUCAACCAUAGUUCGUGGAGCGUGCGGGGAUACUUCUUGUGGAUCCCCGUAUUGAAUACCCCGGCAACGAGCCCAUGGAUAAAAGCAGCAAUGGUAACCUGCUCAUUGGGGUCAGGUAUCUGUACGCUUUCCUCAUGGAACCUCUGGACGUACGAUCGAAGUGACUCUCCUGGGUUCUGUUGCAUAUUCAGCAAGUAAGCCGAGAUCCUGGUCGUAGGUCGGAGGAGACAAACCGAUGGAGAAAUCUCUCCACUAAUUCCCCCAGGGUUGAGAUGCUCCUAGGUUCUAAACCCCAGAACCAUUUUCGAGCUAUCCCCUGGAGGAACACUGGAAAAGCUCGGCAUAUGACGGGGUCAGGGAUGCAAUAUAGGCGAAAGGCCGAGAUAAAGGCAUGGAUAUGAUUCUCGGAUCACCUCGACUGUCAUAAGAUUGUAUCGAGGGGAGUUUGAAAUUUGGAGGAAGCCUUUCCUCGUUGAUAUCAUCAGUAAAAGGAGGGGCUCUCAUGUAGUCCAUCCCGGGCCUUCCUAGGGGUCGAGGUUCCUCCUUAGGUCGUCGUCCCAAGAGCCCUCGGGAAAAUGCCUUGGAUAAGGAGGCUACCUUAGAGGUGGCCUUGGAAAAUGCCCGUUUUGAAGCGCUUCGGCUGAGGCGCCUUCCAUCAGACUCCUCUUCAGAUGAACCUUCAGGAGAUCUAUCUGACUUCCUUUUAGAAGACUCCGCCUUCUGCUUGCCUUGCCUUUUUAGGUACCUCCCUAACUCCUCGAAGAUGUUGGGGUUCUCGGUUACAAACUCAACCAUACGGGUUAUGGCUUGUUCAUUUGCGGGCUGAGUCCUUGAAGACUCCUGCCCUUCGGAAAUAUCUUCCUGUUGAGCUACAUUGCUUUGCUCAGCCCCAAUAGUGAGAGCUUUCCUGCUCCUAGAACGUGUAGGCUUCAUAUUCUAAUAUCUUCACGUUCCCACAGACGGCACCAAUUGAAGAGGUGAUUUUAGUCCCGCUGGGUGAACCUUCCGAACUGAAGAAAUGUUUUGUCUUCGGCAAGGCACUGGGACGAGGUCACCUGCUUAGGUUACAGGAGGGGCUGAAUCCCCCGAUGUAACUCCGAAACUUAAGUUAGUUCGGUAGUGAAAAAGUAAUAUAGUGGAGAAGAUCAGUAUAGUUUUACCAGAAAUUAGUCAUCCCCCUUCUCAGUAGAGGUGUUGAGUAUUUAUAGAGAAUUGAUUUGAAGAGGAACUGCUGGCACGGGUUCCGAGAGAUCUGAUAUGGAUAUUAUAUCAAAUUUGAUAUGAUAUCCCUGCGAAAAGGUGCGUCGGAACAGGUAUCAGAGUCAGGCGGCACAUGUGUCAGAACAGCUCUCCGUCAAGUGUCAGAUGUGUCAGGGGUCACAUCAUCUUUCCACAGUGGUCAAGUCGUUUGGGCAUCACCUCGGCUCACGCUCCGAAGAUCUCCGCCGAGGUGAUAAACGGGUCAGGACCACCUCACUAAAUGACGCGCCGAGGUGGCACUUCCAGUAGUCUUGCAGGGUGAGGCCCCAGCUUAUCCGGGCUGAAACGACCAUCCUCAAACUUCAAAUUCCCAAAUGUUCCAUUCUAUGAUGGAAAAGGUGAUCAUGAAGACCAAGUCCAUGCCUUCUUAUCGGCAUUCAGACUGUAUGGGAUCCCCAACGCAGCGAUGUGUCGGGCUCUUCAUCAUUUCGUUAAGACUUAGUAGUUGAGAAAUUUAAUGGCUAGUCUUCUCAUGCAUGGUAUGCACCGAUCUUUAGAAUCGGCAUAGUAUGCAAGGGCAAACGCCACCCCCAAGUUUUUGAGAAUUUUCUUUUAGCUCCUAGGAAAUUUUAUAAAUUUUCAUUAAAAAUCUCUCUCUUGCACCCGUAGAUUAUCAGUUUUCAGUGUAAUUCUAUGAUUAUGGCUUGUAUGUUUUUUUUUUCCUCUUCUAGCGCUUAGCUAUUCAAUCUUGAUAUCUGAUUACAGCUCAAAAUUUUGUUAUCACUGCCUUAUUUUAACAAAAAAUAAUAAUAAAUUUAGUGACAUGAAACACAACAAUGAAGCUGCGUAUUCAUUACUGAAUCGAAAUAUGCAUUAGUUAUUUAUUAAUAGGGUUAUUAUUACUUUACCUCUUAACAUUCGGUGUCACUAUCAAUUUCUCCUUUAACCCUUUUAGUCAUUUUACUCCCAAGACUAAUGGUCAAAUUUAACAGAGUUUGUUAAUUAAAGUGAAAAGAUACAUUUAACCCUUAAAAUUAUUAUCACUUUACUCUCAUAAACUAUAGUCUGAUUAUCAAUUUACCCCAUAGAGUUAUUUUUUAGACAAUUUAUUGCACUAUUAAACCAAUUUAGCCAGUUAAAGAACUCUAGAAGAAAGUACUCUUUUUUUUGUAUAAUAAAAAUAAAAAAAAUGUAGAAUAACUCUUCUUGUUUUUAGUAUCAAGAAAAAAAAUAUCAAAUUGUUAAUCUCUUUCUUCUUAAUAAUCUUAUUAAUAUUGAAAAGAAAAGAAAGAUGUGGAGGAGGAGGGGGAGGGAGAGAGAGAGAGAGAGAGAGCUCAAUUCUUUUUUUAAAAAAAUAAAAAUAAGAAAAAAUUACGUACUUUUAUUAUUUUAAAAUUAUUUCAUUUUUUUGUUUACUACCAAAUUUCAAUCCUGAUCUUGAUAAUCUUAAAGUAAUACGAUAAUGUUAGACUCUUCUUUAUUUUCUUUCUUUACAAAAUCUAAUUUUCUUUCUCCUUCUUUCCUAUCUCCUUUUCUUUUCCUAGCAUUAAUAAGUGUGAAAAAAGAAAUUUGAGAGAUCCUUUUAUUUUUACGUUUUUGGAUCCUUUAAAGUGAAAAAAAGGAAGAAUAACCUUUCCAACCAUUUCAUUUUUUAAUUAUAUAUAAAAAUGGUAUAUAUAUUUUAAAAAUUUUGAUCAUACUAGUUAGAUUAACGAUGAGAUAAAAUGCUUAAAAAAUAAUGUUAAGAAUUAAAGCGAUUGUAUCAUUAUAAUUUCAAGGGAUAAAAUGGUAAUAACAAUAUGAUAAUGCUAUAAAAUAAAGAGGUAUUUUCUGUCUAAAAUUUCUUAACAUGUUGAGUUGAAUUACUUAUGAAGGUGAACUGACUAAAAGAUAAUAUUACGGGGCAAACUGAUAGUAGUGGUAUAGUUUAAGAGAGUAAAGUGAUAAUAACCACUACAAGAAAUUUGGCCUUUUGUAACAACAAAAAGUCAUGACUAAAAAUCAAAAAGUCGUCAUUAUAUGAGUAUAGUGACGACUUUUUCCAUUGUCACAUUGUUUUCACUAAUUCUAUAUCACAAAUGGGUACGUGUGACAACCCUUUGAAAGUCGUUACUAAAUCUUGUUAUUUAAUGAUGAGGACAAAGUCGUCACUAAUGAUUAUCAUUCUGUGACAAAUUUUCUUGUCACUAUUUCACAUAUUUUUUGUCAUAAAUGGAGCAAAAGUAGUAACAAAUUUGAAGUCUAUAGUGAUGACUUGAACUUGUCACUAUCAGUCCUAGUAUUCAGUGACAGGAAUAAUCGUCACUUAGUGAACUUGCAUAUAGGUUGUCACUGAACUUUAUCUUAACAAACUGCAAUUGUUCAUCAUUGUCACGGUAUUUCCGACAUUAUAGCGAAACUCAAUUUGACAAAAAGGCAUGGUAAACUUGCAUGCUAGUGACAACCUUCCUUUGAAAGUUGUCACUGAGUUUUGUCUUCAAGAGUUGACAUUGACCAUUACAAAUAUAGUAUUGCCAUGGCAUUUUCAACAAUUAUAGUAAAACAUUCAAUUUGACAAAAGGCAAAAUCAACAUAAAAGAUAUGUCGCAAACUCAUAUAUAUGAUCAUAACACAUCUUUAAAUUAAUAUAAACAAAAGUGAAUCACAAAUGUUGGGUCCCAAAUCCCACAUAAUCAGUUCAAGUAAUAAUAACCAAUACAUAUACUUCCCAAGAGAUAGAGUACUAGAUUUCUAAACUAAAGCAUAUAUUACAGCACCAAUGUCAGAUUUCAGUCAUCUCUAUCAGCAUAUCCAAUAGUCUUCUCAUGAUCACUAUGAAGCUGGACUGCAUUGAAAAUAAACUAUUAAAUGCAUUAGAGUAUACUUUAAUCAGAAAAUAUGCUAUUACAACCUUACACUACUGAAUUUGAAUGAAUAAUCAACAUAUGUUGCAAACAGGUCAGUACUUUUAACAGCAUAAUCAACAUAUUCGAGUUUAUUCUGAGAACAAGUUCGAAAAGCACAACUUUUGCCAUUCCACUUUUGCAUAUUGGCCAGAAAAAAAUCACUAAUACUAUACUCUUCAAAUUCAUAUCCAACAUGACAAUUACAUGGAAACUCAAAUUGGGACUUUGUGCCAGGCAAUUUCAUUUGUUGAAAUAGAUAAAAGUGGGAUGAUUGAGAUAAUUUAAGACAAUUACAUGAUCACUUUGAACAAUUCAAAUAAAGCCACACCAAUAAUUUAUUUUUCACAGUUAUGAACACAACUACAUACAACAAAUUCCUUCUAAAAAGUUUUGCAGGAAUGUUAUAAAUUUUGUUCCAUCUCAAAAUAUAGUUGAAAAGGAUGCGGCAUCUCAUCAAGAAUUUAACUAGCCAAUGCCGCCAUGUUCAAAACUCAAAGGUGCAAAGUUUAGUAACAUUUAACUUCCAAAUUGCAUAGCCCACGACCCUUUGAAGUCCCAGGUGAUAUAUCAUGUGGAAAACAGAUAUAUCUUAUGUAGUUUUGAAAAUGCUUUCAAUCAAAAACAUCCCUUCUAGUUUAAUAGCUGCACAAGAGAACAACUAAACUAACAUUUUUCUAGCUUCAGUUCUAAACCAACCAUUUACAAAAUUUAAAUGGUUUACAAAACGAAUAGCAAAAGAUAGGGAAUCGACUCACAGUGUUGUCUUGAAUUUUCAAGAAUCUACGCAAUCUUUAGAGGAAAAGACAAUCUUCUUGCCAAGAGAAGGGCAACCGAAAAGGGCUAGCUUUUUCAAGUCGUUGUGUGACAUCCAUCUGAAAAUCCAAUUCACAAGAUUGAGAUGGAGAAGAUACAAGCUAGGAAACUCAAUACAUUGAAAAUGCUUUACUAAUCUCUGUGACGUAUAAAACUUGCACCAGAAGAAGCUAGAGCAAGAACUUAUUAGAAGGCCAAGUAAUGGUAGACUGUUUCACUCCAAAUUCAACAGAAUAUGCAACAUACAAAGAAUUACCCCGGUACUUUAGCAAUCUACUCCACUCUGUAAUAGUACAAAUAUUGAGCACAACUUAAAAAGUUACUCAUUGCUUCACAUCAAAGUACCAAAAAAAUUUUUUCCCUCAGUUACCACGUCACUUGAUAAUUUUAUUGUGUUUUUGAAUGCAAUGACUUGUUAAAAUGAAAAUAGUCAAGCAUAACUACAACUUGAGCACAAAUGGCCAUUAAAUUAUGUGAUCUUCACAUGUAGCACAUAAUUGAAUUUGCAACGAAUUGCAAUGUACCCUCAAUAUUCUUGCAACAACGUCCUUAACCACUCUACUUGAUUUCAUCUACUUGAUUUGAAAAUAAAAGCAUGAUGUCCAUCCUCUUGUUUGCUUGCUAACUCACUUCCAUUUACAGUUUUUCUCUUCUUGCUUUCUCAAAGAUUAGUUACAAACAGGACAAAAAGGAUUAAUAGCAGGGCAGUAGUAGGCAAAAGCCAAAAAAAUGAACGGACACAAGCUGGCAACCUAGCAACAAAAUUUCAUCAAAACACUUGUUGUUCACAACAAACAAGAAAAAAAAAAAGGAACAGCCACUACAAAGGGAAGAGGAAGAUGUCAGGAAAUGGAAUAGGCAACCUUCUUGUCCACAAGUUUGAAGAAAGCAAGGUUCCAUCAGAUAUCCAUUCUUAAGCAUUGUAUAACUAAUCCUAAGUUUGAGAUAAAAAGUUAGAAUCUUCUUUCUGUUCCCCUCUUAAUAGUUAAUACAUUCAAGUAAGUAACCCAAAGAAAGCAGAACAUUCAUUAGUCCAUGCCAAAAAUACCAUUCCUACAAUUGCAUUAACAUGACUACAAGCAACUCACCAGGGCAAAUUAUAAUCUAAGUACACAAGAGAAAGCAUAUUACUAGAAAAUUUAUCCGAUUAUUCUCAUAAUGAGAUUGAAGAAUUCAAAAAAUCACAUUUGAUGUCUAGAAAUCAACCACUCAAUAUUUAUAGAUUAGCGCUUCAAUAUACAAACGCAAGGAAUUCAUAGAGAAUCUAGGAUGCCAAGAACGAGCAAAUUAUAUCUUUGCCUUAUGAAAAGAAUAAAAAUCCUUACUUUGCAAUCUCCUGAUUAUCCUUUUUUUUUAUCAGUAACAAGAAGUACCAGCGUAUAAUCCAUUAAACCCAGAAAAAAGGUGCCACCAAAUAUUUUUAAGAAAUUCCUUAGAUUGAUUUGAAGACCUAGAGCAACCAAAACUGUAGAUAGAGUCUCAAUCAACUAUGUAUCUCAACAUGCAUAACUUUCAACUGCAACAUCUGAGAGCCUAAAUUGCAAAUAACAUAAUUUAGCAAAACAUGAAUCUAAGAGAAGCAUGAACUUGGUGGUGCUGAACCAUAACCUCCAGAUCCACGGCCAAAGCCAGGCCUUCCACCAGAACCCCUGAAAGCAGGCUGGUUGCAAGAGCUCCACCUUUCUCACCACCAAACUUACCAGGAGGUCCACGGGGACCAGCACGAUACCCUCCCUGUGCACCAAAUUCACUAUCCCUCGUCCAAAAAGACAACAGCAGGGGAAGAAAGAGACAGAGAACAAGAGAGGAUAUGUUCUACUUCCUGAAUUACAAAUCUACCCGUCCACUAGAGAGACUAUCUUUUCUAAGAAAUGUUUAUGCAGCCUUCUGGAAAUGCUUGGAAAGCAGCUUCACAAUCUCAGUAAAUCCAACUUUCUCCUUGCCUUCAAAUAUGGUCUUCAGCUUCUCAUCACAGUAGAUCUCUUUCUUGUUGUUUGGAUUCUGAAGGUUUUUGGAUUUGAUGUAAUCCCAGACUUUCCUGACGGCGUCAGUGCGGGAAGUUUCAGGUGCGCCAAGGAACUAGCGGAGAGCAGGAGAGACAGGCUGCUUCUUCAGGAUGCCAUUUCUGCGGCCAGAAGUUUUAGCAGCGGCGGAUCCAGAAGUGGUGGAGGCGACGGAGGUCUUAGCGGCUGCCAUAAGUGCUCUGCAGCGGUUUCCGAAAACCCCAGCGGUCGACGCCAUAGAGAGAGACCCUAGAGAGAGAAGAAAGAGUGAGAGAGUGAGGGGACUGGGAGUCUGUGAGUGAAGAAGGCAGGCAGGGUGGAGGGAAAAUAUGAGAAAAGACCAAAAACGAUGUCGUUUCUGCUUCUUUUGUUCACGCACAUGUACUUCUUCAAUUUUCAGCUUCCCGCUUCCAUUUUAGCUAAGACCAAAAAAUAACACUUUCAUCCUCUUUUGUACGGCUAAUUGAUCAAAUUAUUGUUCGAAAAAAAAUCACAACAAUAAAGUUAUUAUUUUGAGCUUUUUUACUUCACAAGUUGUAUCUGGAACUUUAUUUGUUACAUUAAAACUUUGAAAAUUUAGUGUUUUUGGAUAAUUUUUGGAAAAUUUAGUGUUUUUGGGAUUAAUUUAGUGUUUUUGAAAAUUAGUGUUUUGGAAUAUUUAGUGUCUUAUUAAUAAUAUGUUUAUGAUUCAAAAAAAUCUUUUAAUGCAAAUAUUUUUGGUAUUGAUUUAAUAAUUUUAUUAAUUAUGUACGAAAUUGUGGUCUGACAAGACCUAACAAGCUGCUAGUUGAUCAAUUAACCAAAAUAGUUUGCUAAUACAUGCAUAAAACACUAAAUGUAUUUGGUACAAAUACCGAUUUAUAAACCAUAAAUAAUGUGAUUAUUGUAAUUAAUAAUAAACUCCAUCCAUGCGAUUGUCAAGAUUUUACUUAAUUUCAUGUUGAAUUUUAUUGUUCUUUGCCAUUAUUUUCACACUAUGCUAGUCAAUAAUUUUCCAUGUGUUGUCAAGACAAUUAGAUAGGGAAUCCAUGAUAUUUUUUAACCUUAGCUAAGUUCGGUACAAGUUAUUGGCUAAGUUUGGAACAAUUAUAAAAAUAUGUAUAUAUAUUUUAUUAAAAUAUCUUUCUCAUUUUGCUAAUGAAAAACAUCAACUAAAGUGUAAAGGAUAGGGUGCCAUAAUAGAAUUAAUGAAAUCGGUUUAUCACAUACGAGACUAAAUUGUAAAAGAUAAGGUGUCAUGAUUGAGUUAAUGGAAUCAAUUUAUUACAUAUGGGGCUAAAAUGUAAAAUUUAGGGUGUCAUAAUAAGAUUAAUAAAAUUUAUUUAUCGCAUAUAAGCCACAUUGAAAAAAUUAGGGUGGCAUAGUAGAAAUAAUGAAAGUGAGUUAGGAACAAGCACUUUAAAAAUAUGUUUAUGAUUCAAAAAAAGAUAUUUUAAUGCAAAUAUUUUUUGUAUCAAUUUAAUAAUUUUAUCAAUUAUGCACGAAUUGUGGUCUGACAACACCAAACAAUUUGUUUAGUUGAUCAAAUAACCAAAAUAGUUUACUAAUACAUGCAUCAAACACUAAAUCUAUUUGAUACAUGUACUGAUUCAUAAACCAUAAACAAUUUGAUUAUUGUAAAUUGUAAUACAUAACAAACUCCAGUCAUGAAAUUGUCAAGAUUUUUACUUAAUUUCAUAUUAAAUUUUAUUAUUCUCUUCCAUUAUUUUCACACUAUGUUAAUCAGUAAUUUUCCAUAUGUUGUCAAGAGAACUAAAUAAAGAAUUCAUGAUAUUUUUUAACUUUAUAAUAAGGUAUUAGCUAUGUUUGGAAUAAUUAAAAAAUAGGUAAACAUUGUUUUUUACAAUACAUUCCUCAUUUUGCUAAUGAUAAACACAACCUAAAGUGUAAAAGCAUAGGGUGCCAUAAUAGAAUUAAUAAAACUUUUCUUUAUCACAUACGAGGCUAAAUUGCAAAAGAUAAGGUGUCAUGGUAGAGUUAAUGAGAUUAGUUUACCAAAUACGGGGCUAAAGUGUAAAAGUUCGGGUGUCAUAACAUAAUUAAUUAAAUUUACUUGUAGCGUAUGGGCCAUAUAGAAAAAAUUAGGAUGGUAUAUGGAGUUAAAAUGUAAAAGUUAGGGUGUCAUAAUAGAAUUAAUAAAAUUUAUUUACAACACAUGGGCCAUAUUGAAAAAAUUAAGGUGGUAUAUGGGGUCAAAAUGUAAAAGUUAGGUGUCAUAGUAGAAUUAAUAAAAUUUAUUUACAACACAUGGGCCAUAUUGAAAAAAUUAAGGUGGUAUAUGGGGUUAAAAUGUAAAAGUUAGGGUGUCAUAGAAAAAUUAAUAAAAUUUAUUUACAAAACAUGGGUCAUAUUGAAAAAAUUAAGGUGGUAUAUGUGGUCAAAAUGUAAAAGUUAGGGUGUCAUAGUAGAAUUAAUAAAACUUAUUUACAACAUAUGGGCUAUAUUGAAAAUAUUAGGAUGACAUAGUAGAAUUAGUGAAAGUGAGAUGGGAAUAAAUGCUUUGGACAGUGACGACUAGUUGUUGUCACUAAUUUAGAACUGGCAACCAUAUUGUGACGAUAUUUUAAGUUGUCACUGUAGGACAAGUUUCAGUGACAACAUGUUUUCCAGUUGUGACAAUGGUGAUCUCCCGCCACACUGGAUAGUUGCGCGCCUUCCAUAUUGUAACGACUUAUCCCGUGUUGUCACUGUUGAUGGGUGAACCCACGAUCAAGUAUGACGACAUUAAAAGUCAUUCCUAAAGUUUCAAUUGUGACAACUUUCUCUCUUGUCGCAGAGAAUGUUGUCACAAAAGGCCAAAUUUCUUGUAGUGAACCCAUAUUAAUAUGACUACUCAUUUCUCUAUUCUUCUCAUUCAUACAAUCUUAAGGGCAAAAAGUUGACCAUUCUCAAAUCUCAAACUCUGAAAAGCAAUCAUAUUUGAUCAGGAUGUAAAUUGAAAAUACCCAUAUACAUACUAUUGCUAAGAUGUGUGAUAUUUGCACUCUUAUAUUAGCCUCUCAUAUUGAAAUUCACCUACUGAAUAAAAGGCCAUCUAUGAGUGUGAGUGGCAAAUUUGGGAGUGGAAAUAUCACUUUUUUGUGUCUAAUUAGAUGCACGUAUUGGUUUUAUAUGUUUAAGGAGAAAACUUUUGAAUAUAUACAAAAUUAAUUAUUAGAUUCAACUUCACAUAUAAAAGAUCCCAUGUAUUUAGGACCAAGUACAUAAAUUUGAAAUUUGGCAGACAAAAAAUUGAAAUAAUUAAUUAUUGAAUAGAUCACAUGUAUUUAGUUUUGAAAAAAAUUUUCUUGGCAUAGUAAAUAGAAUUUUGAAUAAAUCAACAUGUAAUGCUAAUGCAAUUAAUAACAAGUUGAACUUCACAGAUUAACAACAAAAUAGCAAGGUCAAAAAUAUUUAAAGAGGAAAACUUUAAAUUUUUGAUAAAACAAAAGUUAGGUGUACAAUUCAAUUUCAUUAAAUCUAAUGAAGCAUAAUAAAGAUCUUCAAUGAAAAUUUUUGAAAUUUCAUAGGGACUAAAAACAAUCAAAAACUUGGCUGUCCCCGCAGCUUCCCGACGCCCCUGAAAAAUUGGCCACAUGCAUGGUUUAUUGCCCCGCUCAAAACGAAUGAUUGGCAUUCUGAAAGAUUAUUUUGCUGAUGUCCAUGAAAAGAUUUAUGUGACAUCCUAUAAAACUGAUGGGGACAAAUAUUCAAAGAAUUUAUUGUAAUUAUUAUUAUUAGAAUAGGAAAGAAGAAUCUCUUAUCCAUCUGUCCCCUCCUCUUUGUCUGCAUUGAACAAUGUUCUGUAGUAUAAGCAGGAAUGAUUGUACAAUUUAAACUAGUAAAGCUAAAAUCAACCAAACAACUGAACCACUAACAAUACUUAAAAAGGAAACCACCAGCAUUUGGGCUGGUGGCCACCACCUAACUUGGUGAGGUGGGUGUGUUGUGCACCUUUUUGAUUCGGUGAUGGUUCAGUCCUUUCCGAAUUAUUUCUUGGCCUCCUUAGGUUCGCCCCCCUCCCCCUUAGUGUAGGAUAGAUUAGGUUAUACAAAGUUGUCGUAUCCGCCAAAAAAAAAAAGAAAACUAACAAUACUUAAAAAUGAAACCAGGUACCAUUACAUCUUUGUAAUAGUAGAUUGACAUAUAUAAUUUGAUAUCAAAGUAGAGAACAAACUAAACAAGGAUUUAUUUAAUUAUGGCAACAUAAUGGAUAGAACUCCCAAGCUGCAGAAGACAUACGUAAAAACCAUCAGAGCAACAAACAUAGAUCACUUGGGAGGCGUUAACAUGUUUCUGUACUAUAUUUAGUGCUUCGGAACCCAGACAAUGUGAUCCUCAGGAAGGAAAUGGCAGAUUGGAACAGUUCCUGGCUUCACCUUCAGCAGCUGAAAAGCCAAAUGCCUUGGGUUCCAUGCUGACGUAUCCCGGUGACAAACAGCUACAGCCUUGACUUUUGCUCCAUCGGCACCAACUAAAUUAACCAUAUAUGCAUCUGUAUUCUGUGUGGUGUGGCAGUAGAAAACUGCGUAGAAAUAGUUUUGCCUGUGGCAAGAAACUAUUUCUUUAUCGUUGUUGUUCAACUUGGAAACAGACACAAUACCAUAUUUCUGGACUUCUGGAUCUGUUUUCUGUGCUUCGUUAGAAAUUGCUAGAACAUCUUUGCCCAGCUUUGAAGUAGUGAAAUCAACCAUUGAUUCGAGAGAAGUCGCACAAUACUUGUCUUCUCCUUUCAUUGCGGGCACCUCGCAUUCUGCUAUCGUUUCCUUAAUAAUUCUAGCAUCUUGUGAUUGUGGAUUCAGUGAGUAUUUGUUCAAAAUUUCAGGAACAGAUUUUGAUGAGAAGGGAAUCGAAUUAGCAACCUGGCGGGGCAGGAAAGCCGUAGGACUUUUCACUGAUUCAACAAACUUCAUAUUCAUGCUUGAGCCGCGAUUGAGGUCCAUUUUCAAGAAAAAGACUUUCACUUUUGGGUCAAUAUGGAGCUCAUCUUCAGUAGGAUUUCCACAAUAAUGUUUGAAACUACAGCUGUCAUCAUAUGUUUUCAACCUGAAAUUGCCCCUUUCCGGCCACUUCCCUGUAUUUAUUGGAUGAGCAACAAAUUAGUACAACAUAUAAAUCCGGCCAGCUUUUAUUUCUGGUAAUGGACUACAAUGUCCCUGCGCAAAUUCUUCCAGCAAUAUCCCCCUUUUUAAGAUCCUUGUCAUAUGCUUGCUCAUGAUUAAUGGAAGAGUAAAAUUAUUAAAAGAAAAGCAUGUUAGAUCUUUUUCUUUUCUUUUUUUUUUAACACGGUACAAGAAAACCCCUGUAAUUAUUGAAGUACUUUUUCUUUUUGUUUUGUUUUAAGUGAAACUAGAAGUUUUCUAUUACAAUUUCUCCUUUUUUUUUUAAGGUUUUGAACUUGAUGAGUGUCUUUCAAUUCCCCCAGAAUCCAAGGGAAACAAACAAAGACGCAACUCGAGCAAUAGAAGCACAGUAAACGGUAGAUGUAGGAAAGGACCAUUUCUGAGACAAACCAUCUUUUAGCAGGUCUCUAACAGCUUUGGGCAUAGGAAUGUUUGGAAGCUCGGAUUUCCAGUAAGCUUCAAGAUCUGCAUGGUUUGCCCCAACUCCUAGCUGAAAUAUAUUUCACAAUACGGAAAAAGAGUUAUGCAGUCAGUUUGCACACUAUCCAAAGUGCGAGCAAAUUAUCUAUCUAAAAAUUAACGUAGCUUAACUUUUUCAGUAAUGUACACUCACAAAAAGAAAAGAGAGAAAGUAGAGAAGCUUCAGAAAUUCCAUAAUAGUUUAUGCGCACGAGCCACGGUAGGCUGCUAGUAUGCAAGACGGAGUGAAGAUAGUAAUAAAAGCCAAUAUAUUUGAGCGAGAUGGCACAAGAAACUGGGCAGCUUUAUUUAUAAGCGGAAGAGCCAAGUGCGAUUGCCAAUUGUUUGAGAGGGGGACAGUUUUGAUAUGGUGGCUGUACGGCACCAAUCAAGUUUUGACAUUGUUACUCUAAACAUGCACCUUAUCUACGAGUAGGCUUCUUGAGGGACAGUGAAGAUAAUACUGAAGGCAAAAAUACAUAAUUGAGAUUUCACAGGAAAUUGGCCGCAUUUUAGAUAAAUGAACUUAAUCAUCACCUACAAUUAAAUGUGUGACUAAGAAAACCGUCAUCUGUACCUUGAUUGUCACCAAGAAAACUGUCAUAUGUACUUUUAUUGUUACCAAAAAUCCGAUUGGUGAAAAUACUACCAACUUAUAACAUUGAGAAUUGAGUAUCUAGUAGUAUACCUAAAAAAGAAAAAAAAAUUCCAUUUGAGAACCCUAAGAACAUAAUACUAAUAUCUCCAAAGCUCAUCAAAAUUCAGCAUAAUCAUGCCACAUGUAAAAGUGGGUACAUGAUAUACAUGGAUGAGGAAAUUGUGGGCUAAUGUGGAGUGAUAGGUGCCGAACCUGUGCAAUAAUAAAUCACUACUUGAGAGAAAUACAAAUUUUGCAUAUAGUGACGAGUAGAGUCGAAUCCACAGGGACUGGAGAUAAUUCGUUUCUUUUAGAAUUCAAAGUAUGGAGGUUUUCAGGAUUAAAUGCUAACUAAUUAAAUGCAAAAAAUAAUUAAUUAAAAGAAAUAAUUAGAGAAACUCUAGCCAAGGAUACACUUCAGAAAUGGUUCAUGUACUGAUCAUCGAUUCACAGAUAAUUCCAAUAUUUAUUAAUAGAUUAGUUAUAGUUGUCAUGCACGCGAUAAACAACCAACCUUUCCUUAAUUUCUCGAUAGUUAAGGUACGACCGUUAACUAUUUCUCUAACUCGGAAACAACCUUAGGUACGACCGUAGGAUUUAAUUUCUAGAUUGCAUUAAUAAUUAGAAAAGUCCAAUCCUAACUAACAAACACGCUACGAGGGUUUGUUUAAACUAGAUCGUAUGUUCCCCUGACAUAAACCCAAUUACGCCAGUUGCUACUGGGAUGGAGAUAAUCGAACAAUUACGGAUUCAACUACCCCUAAUUAGCAAAUAGCCUACGUGAAUAAUUAAAUAUUGCGCACCUAUUCAAUCAUACACGAUAGCUAUACCAACAAUUAAAAGCAGAAAACAUAUAAAUGCCAAUAAAUGAAGGAAAUAAUUAAAAUAAUUUAGAUCUCACAGUAAUUGCCGAACCAAAUCUUCAGUUGUCCUUUGACUAGAAUUAAGAAGCUAGUUCUCCAUUAAUAGAGAACCAGCCGUGCGAAAAUAAAACAAUCGGAGCUUUCUAAUGUUUUCAGAUGGGAAAAGGAAACUAAACCUGAGCCCCCCAAUUACACGUGAAUCUGGCCCUUUUAUAUCUUCAGUAGCCGCCGCCCCCGAGAAAACUAACGUCUGACCUUAAAAAGCAAAAGCUAAGCUAAUGACUAAAUGCCCCUCCCGUAAAUCUGGCUUUUUUCCUCCUUUAUAGCGCCACCAGGAGCCAAGAAAACGUUUGACCCAAUUAACGAAACCAAAGCUAAUCUUUUGGAGUUUUAAUCCCAUGUUUCUCGCGGUUCACGUGGACCCAACCUUCUAAUUGCCCACUUUUGUUGCUACCAAGCCCGCGGGUCCGGCCUUUAGGUGAGUCUCCUCAGUUUCUGGCGUGGGCACGCUCUGACAUGAAGGGUCUUCUGGAAAUUUGCCUCAAGAGAUUACUUUUAACACCAACCACCUACAAUUCACACAAAUAUCAAAUAUGAGCAAAAUCUCAAUACGUAGCACAGUAAGUAGCCAAAAUUGGGACAAAAUAACAGUGCAAAAUGUGCCCAAUAAUUGCUCUAUCAAAUCCCUCCACACCUAGACAAUGCUUGCCCUCAAGCAUUUCAAAGCUCAGAAAUACAAUCAAGAAAACAUAGGUCCUGCAGUAAUCUACACUAACACAAGCAUCCCACAUUCUUGACAAUGCCGCCAAAAUUAGAAUACACUGGAUAGGUGGUGAUCCGAAGAAUAUAAGCAGUAAUACUCGUCACCUUCAAGAAAAUGUAUGAAUACUAGGAACGCUCAAAUCAACAUUAGGAAAUGACAUUACCAUAGGCUUGCACAUUUAUCACAUCUCCACCACUGAAAAGUGAACUAAAUAUACAAAUCAAAGGGACUUUAAUAGGGUUGUAAUAGGGCUUAGGUAAAAGGCGGGAUAAGAAGGUAAAAAUAGGGUAUAAUAUGUCAAGAGAAUGUCUGAUAUCCACCACAUCACCACAACGCUUCAUCAGAGAAAUUUCACGAGCAAGGCAUUUUCAUUUGCCAUUUCCACUGUGCAAGUGUCAAAACUCUUCUCCUGUUCUCUUUUUUUUUUUUUUUGAACAAGCGGCUCACAAGGCGUGGGCACGUCUUGUAGGCCGGAGUCUUCUGCUCACGAGCUUUUUUUUUUUUUUAACGGAGCAGAUGUCUUGCAAGGCGUGGGCACGCCUUGUAGGCUGGAGUCUUCUGCCCACCAGCUCAUUGCCGACUUCUCCCCCUUCCCUUUUUUUCUUUUUAUCUCAGAUACACAGAGCACCGUACAACUUCUAUUCCGACAACACUCGCUACCUUAGAUUCAUUUGCCUUGCACAAACAACGGAAUUCAGACAUUUCUUGACGACACAAGGUUAAACAAGAAAGUCUAAAAAGGUCAUGGGUUAUCAAACACGGCUAAUCAAAUAAUAGUGAAGGAUAAAAGCUCAAAUAGGUUCACUACGGGGAGACAAGAUGAAGGGCAUGGUUUGUAGAAAGUUAAAGAAGGUUAAAUCCUAAAUGCCCUUAUCAUUUGAAAUGCAUCCAGUUCAACAAAAUGUGGUCUUGACAUGUACAAAAUAGCAAGUUCUAGAAUGCCAAUACCAUGUGUGAUACCCACUCAAUCAAACAAGAAUAGAGCGAACAAGGAUAAUGUGCUCAUACAAGGCCCAAAAGCUCCCAAAAGUUUCAAGAAUGAGUCAAGUCCAGCAUAUUCAAUAUUCAACACUAUUGUCAAGGAAAAACAAAAUGUAUAACUAGUAUGUAUAACCACAUAUCCGUGCACCUUGAUUGUGCAAUCCAUCAUAGCAACAUGCUCUAGCAGUUAACAAAUGUAGGACUAGAGAAGUCAACUAACUACACUUUUUUUCUUUUUUUUCUUCAUUUUCCUCUUCAUUUUUUUCUUUUUUUUUUGUGUUUCUUUUUUUUUUUUCUUAAAAGCAAAGCAAAAGGAGAUAAUAAUGGAAGUCAUCCCUGUAGACACCAAAUUUUGGUGUAAUUUCAUUUGCUGUUUAUUUUUAAUUUUUUCAUUUUAGUUUUAUUCGAUUUUUAGUUUUAGUUUCUAGUUUUAUUUUUAUUUUUAAGCUGUUAGCAUAGAAUCUCUUGGAAAAUGAAUGAAAAUGAGAAAGUGAAAAGAAAAGAGGAGAGAAAAGAAAAAAAAAGAAAAUUGCCCACAAAAUAUGUUUUAUGUCUUCUAAAUUCAAUCUUUUGGCAUUUUGUUUAUUUUUGUUAAGUUAUUUUGAAAAAAAAAAAGAAAAAAAAAAGAGAAAAACGAUGAAAAUAGGAAAUGGAAAAGAAAUGGAAAUUGCACUUUAUUGUUCUAGUUUAUUUUUCAUCAAAUGUUAAUUAUUUUGUUUUGGUUAUUUUUUUUUAUUAUUAUCAAUUUUGUUUGUUUCAAAAAAAAAAUCAAAAAAUCAAAAAAUCACAAUUCUAUUUCUGCCGAAUCCAUUUCCAUUUUACAUUCCAGCACCUUCCAUCUCUAUGCCGACUUAUAACCACUAAUGCACUCCACUAUAUCACACACUAGUAUAUCAACUACCAUCCACCACAAUAUAUUUCUUUUCAAUGGCUUUUCAGCCGUGAGUGAGCAAGGCUUCCUGGGCCAACUUUAAAACAAAAACAUCUCCAAUUCUGCCGGAUGACAUCUGAGUCUCCACUCACACCCCAUUUCCCUUCAUUCGUGACUUGUUUCCCAUUUGAGCAACUCCAACAUUCCAAAACACUUCCUCUCCAGCCUCUGCCUUGGGACCAUCGACAGAAAGUGCGAGAGAGAGAGAGCGGCAACCGUUCAUCCGAGAGGGAAGAAAAGGAUCCGCGAGCGGCAAAAAUUUUUCUGGUUCCGUCCGUGAGUUGAAGUAAGACAGAGAGAAGCUGUGAGCGAGCUUCACCCUUCUGCACUUCUGUUCUACCAGCUGCAAUCAAGUUUCCAGCCGCAACAACCACCAUCUCCACCGACAACCACAGCCACACCAACCCAAAACAGAAAACCUGUCGCGUGCUUGUGAGCCGAGAGGAGGAAAACAUUUUCCAGAUUUUCGUGUGAAAGCUUGACUAGUUGUGAGUUAUUCUUUAAUGGGGUAUGUGUACACCUCUUGGCUUGUAAUAGAUAGAGCUUUGGCGAGCAAUUUGGUCCAUUUUCCCCUUCCCCUUUUGUUUUAAUUAGUGAAUGUAAUAAGUUCAUUAGUUUGGUUGCAUGCCUUUGUGUUACGUGUUACUUGCUUUAUUAGGUUUUGCAUCUAGUCGAGCAUGUUAAGUGUUACGUGCUACGUGUUUAUGGGCGUUUGGCAUGUCUACUAGCUUUCUGUAGUGUAGAUGAAUGGAAUGGAUGAAUGUACGUUUCCACUAGUCCGACGCUAGUCGGAAUUCAUAGAAUGGGCUAGUCCAACGCUAGACCCUUAGGGAUUUCCCCUCAUUAGCAUAAUCAUUUGCUUGUUCACCACAUAUCAUGCAUUUUUCUUAGUUUUAUCACUUGGCAUGCUCCUCGAACCCCCUUUCCCUUCAUUUUAGGAUUUUUGCAUAUCAUGAUAGUUGUAGGGUCCAUUUGCUUGAGGGUCCCUUUCUGAUAAGGGAAACGAGCGAGUGUGGCUACUCGAUAGCCUUAGCACACUAGUUUUGCCUUCUAAUCAAAGGGAAAAUCGAAGUCGACAAGUUAGGAGUCAUUCCCAUACCCGACCUGAUGCAUUCCCUUAGGUUCAUUCAUUCUCAUUUAUCACUCACUCAUUCUUUUCAAUUCACAUUUCCUUUCCUUAUUGUUCAUUUUGAUUUCUACUUCACGAAAUUGCAUUUAAUUACACCUAUAUGCACUUAUCACUAUAUUUCAUACACUUGCACACAAAUACUUGGAAUUUUCAUACAAUUGCACACGUGCACCUUUUCAUACACUUGCACACAAACACUUGGAUUUUUAAAUUUCUUUUCAUACACUUCCACACUUGCACAUUUGAGUCUCAUUUGCAUUAAUCGACCUCUAUGGGGUUUUCCUUUGUUGGCCGCCACAAUUCAUGUGGUUUGGGAUCAAAAGCCUCACGAGAGACAUCGUAGAAUUUAGGAUUGCAUUUUUCUCUCCGUUUUGCAUUCAUAUAGUCAUAUCCAACGUGCGAACAUAUAUUGGGUAGAAAAUUAGGAAAGGUAAGGUUAAGUCGCGCAACUAGCCUUGGCUAGGUCAAAGGGGUGCCUUGGAUUCUAUCCUUGCCUUCCCCUUUGUCAAACGUGACCCCCGAACCUUUUUCUUUGGCUUACGUGGACUAGGAGUCGUUUUAAAAAGGGUUUUACUACUUUGUCUUUAAAAAACACUUUUUGGGUGACUUGGUACACCCCAAAUCUAUACCAAGUGGCGACUCCGUUUUCAUAUUUAAAAAACCCUUUUUAAAAUUUCAAUUGGCCAAAUCGUCGCUUUCCAAAGUCCCAUGGCCUUUUUACCUUUCAUUUUGCACACGUUCACACCACACUUCACACACACAUCACUCACACAAUUCACACAUUCAAAAGUGGGGCGCGACAAUCCCCCCACACCUAAUACCUACAUUGUUCUCAAUGUAGAAAAGAUGAAUGAAGUAUAAGGAGAAAAUGAGAGAAACUUCCCUGACCACCGAGAGGGUGCAGCGAGACACUAAGGCGGAGAAGGGUGGGGUGGCUAGAAUCCAAUGUGAGCAAAGAAAGCCGUCUGAUGAGAGAGAUAGUGAUGGUGGGACGGGCAGCAGCGUGCGAUGGAUGGCGCGAGGGGGAGAGAGAGAGUUUCUAGCGGCAGUGGACAAGGGGGAAACCUUGGACUAAGACAAAACAAAGAAAAUUGAAAAGUAGAAGCUGAGACAAUGGAAAUUGAUAAAACCAUACAAGACAAGAAAAGAGAAAAGUAGAAAGUGGGAUUAGAGAGGGUCCUGGUCAAUCUUUGACUUUUGUUGGCGCAAAGGCUGGAAGGCGUGGGCGCGCCUUGGAAGCUAUAGUCUUCUGACCGUCAAUUCCAAAGCUUCAUUCCUUAGGCGUGACCAACUAAAGUGGGCAUGUCUAACUGCUAGCUUCCUGCCACAAAACAACAACCCACUAAAUGACACUAAUACUUAACAAAAAUUUCGAAAAUAUAACAAAACUAAAACAAAAGAAGCCUUGGGUUGCCUCCCAAGCAGCGCCUUUCUUUAAUGUCUUUGGUUAGACAUCGUCAUGUUUAUUCACGGAGGAUAAAAUCGUGUAGCUCGUUUCAGUACUUCAUCUUCUAUGUAUCCUUGAUAUCCCUCGUAAAUAGAGUAAUUCUUGAGCACACGAGGUAUGGUCUUCCAUGGAUUAGUAGAUGCCUCUAAACAAGUCGAUAAGAAUCUUAGUUCUUCACUUACUCCUCCAUUACGAACACUUAAUGGUUCGAGAUAUUUUUCCAUUGCAACUCUUAACUUAUUCCUGUCAUGAAACUCAAAAUUAUCUGGCAUAAUAAAAUCUAUUUCACUAACAGGAUUUAAAGAAUAAGAGUUCGAAAAAUAUUGACUAAGGAAUGGAGGAAAUGUCACCGCAUUUAGGGAUUGUUCACUGAAUUCAUUCACUUGAACAAUUUGGUAUUGGGAUCCUAUUUCUUCCACUUCAAUUCUCUUCUCAACUGCAUCUUUUGCUUCUUCUUCUUGAGACUCUUGCAGCUCUAUGUCAUUUGUCAGGAUAAUUGCACUCUUGACGGGUAUUUUACAUACGUGCAAGCUAAAAAAUACCGAAUUACACCCGUUCACUGCAAGUAUACAGAUCAACUAGUAGUUUAGGGUAUAUAUCGGGUCGAUUCCACAGGGAAGAGUGAACAAUUACCGGUAUUGCUAAAGCUUCUCUAUUAUUUAGACUAUCAAUAAAUUAUAACAAGUAAAACCUACUGAACUUAUGCAAGAAAAUAACAAAUGAAAGCUCCUUAGGUUGUGGUAUCCCUAACUACUCAUGCAAGUGCUAUUUUUUGAUCAUUGAGUACUACAUCUAAGCUAGUUAUGGUGUAAUUUCCUUAUGCAUUUGAAUCCUACUUUCGUAGUGAAUCAAUUAUACUCAUAACUAAUCCAUACCUAUUCUCAUGGUUAUGAAAUUAGUUACAAGUUCAUUUCUUCAAUGAAAUUACAUAAAAUUAAUCACCAAAACCCCAUAGGUGCACCUCUACUCUCGUGAGUGUACUCCCCAUGUUUAGCACUUAUUGAACUAAUAUUAAAUCUCAAUUUUCAUUGCAGAAAUAACACCUUAGAUAAUCACAAUUAAUGGUACCAGAUUAAUCAUGAUUUAAAGAGCUAAAGUGCUAAAUAACUUGCUCAAAUUAUGGCAGUCAAUUAGCCAAAUAAUAAAUACUAACAAUCAUAGAAAGUUCAACCAAACCCAAGGUAUAAACUUUAAAGACACAUAUUAAAUAUAAAAUCCAGAACUUGCAUAAUAACCAUAGUUAAGAAUCCAAUACAAAAGAUAAAGAAUUGGAGUAGAGAUAACCCAUGUCACUUGAGCUUCAACUCCUCCUUCUUCAUCUCCAUCUUCAUCCUAAUCUACCUAUUAUACAAGAAUGGAUUAACUACACUUACUACACUAUAUAUCCUACACUAAGGAAAUGGAAGAACUACAUUUCUGCACUUCAAGCUCUCUCCCGUAUGUUUUUUUUUUGUCUUCCCAAGUGUCUCUGCAUAUAAGCUGAUGAAAAUCUCCUUUCUAGUCCAAAAUUUCUGCUCUAAUGAUUCUCAAUUCUCCAUUUGUUAAGGAAGUCAAAAACAAUGACUUUUGACUUGGAAUAAGCCAUAUUGUAUGCUCUUUUUGUCUUCUGAAGCAUGUGCACCGAAUUCACUUGCAACUUAUAGCUGGAAAGUAGUCUGAACACAAGAGAAUUGACUGAACAAAUUGCAGAAUUUCGGCCAGAAAACGCGCCUACACAAAACGCGGUUACAAGUCACGUUUUGUGUACUCGCGUAUUCACUUUGGCCUUACUUCAUCUGUGAUUUUCUCUAUCAUAAAGGCCUAACUGGCUUUUGUACAAAACACAAAAGUUGUAGCCCUUUGAGUUAGCUUUUCAAUGCUUCAAGAAUCAUCCAAAUCGGAGCUUUGUAGCCUGAGAUAUGAUCAUAAUACUAAACACUGGUCAGAGCUCUGUUUUCCACUUUGGACAGCUGAGUUGAAUUUCGGUAUUUCAACUUUUGGGCUAUGAAAACGGCUGAAUUGGACUUUGAUGUUUUCAUACCAAAUUUAGAUCUCUUUCUUAGCUUUAAAUUGGUAUAAAGAUCACCUCAAUCUGAUCAAUGUAGCUCCAGAUAUAGUCGAAAUACUGAAGAGUGUCAAAACUGUCUUGACUUGCAUUUCCUUACUUAAACGUUUUUCACUUCAUUUUUCUUUUUACCACUUUGAAUUCAUCACCAAAUCUCUAUUUUUCACUUCAAUUGGCAUCCUUUGGUGGUUGAAUCAUCAUUCCUGCAUAAAAAUGAAGUUUUUACUAUUAAAAUCAAUAGAAAUGCAAUAUUAGCCACUUUUACCAAAAAUGUAUAUUUUUACCAAAACCUUAGUUAUUUUAAUUAUAAAACUAAAUAAUCAAACCAAAUUAACUAAUAAAAUGCACUUAAAAAUACGUAAAAUAAAUCCUUAUCAAAUACCCCCACACUUGAAUCAUUGCUUGUCCUCAAGCAAUAAAAAAAAUACAAACCAACAAUGAUCCAAAAUUUGAAAAUAAACAUAUGUAGCAUUUCAACUUCAUUUCCUAAAAACAAAGUAAAUAACCAUUAUGCAAUUAUUCAAUUAAGUUCAAGUACUCAUAAUAUCAAGUAAAGGAGAGCCAAUUAUACCGUAAUUAUAACAAGUUUAAUUCAAUUUCUCAUUCUUACUUAAUUUCAUACGCAAGUAACUCAUAUGGUCAAUAAUAUGCUUCCUAAACUCAUGAUCUUUUUUUUAUUCAAAUUUAAAAAGGGAUUUAUUUAUAUAAUAUAGCUAAAUAUUACUUAAGUUGUGAAAGUAUCUUUUUACGCGAGGAUCGACAUUUUUAGAUGAAGAUCACCGGUUACUCAAUACUUCACAUACUCAAGUUGUUUUGCAUACUCUUAAUUCAAGUACCGUUUUACGUGAAAGUCGACAUUUUUAGAUGAAGACUCCCGGUUACUAAGUACGAGAAUCAUUGGAGUAGAAUAAAUCUUAUUCAUUUUUUUUUCUUUUUUCAUUUUUUCUUUUCAUUAUUUUUCAUUUUUCUCUCUUUUUUUUUUUAGUAAAAAUAAUAAACAUUCCCUCAAUUGAUUAAUCAUGAGAGGAGUGUUGCAAUUACUGACCAUAUUUAUCACUUAACUUAUAAAAUCAAAUGAAGCGAAGAAAUUUCAUCAAAUAUGCAAAAAAAUAUAGGCAUAAUUUUCUCCACUUUAAAAGAUAUACUUUUUUACAAAUGCAAAAAUUAUAAUCACAUAAUAGUCAUUUCCAAGUUAAAUGAGAAAAGAAGUGCUUAAAUCACAUAUAUUUAUUUCAAAUGUAGAAGGAAUUUGAACUACUAAUGGUAUGGAACUUGUUACCCCUUGGAUAAAAUCGAAAAAACUUUAAACAUUUUUGGGGCAAGUUUGCAAUUUCGGACAAGAUUUUAGAAAAAUUGUGAAUUUUAACACAAGUCUCAUAUUUGCAACUAAUAAGUCAAUCACAUACAAUGUAUAUAAUCUCAAUUCUCCCCCCACACUUAACAUACACAUUGUCCUCAAUGUGUAAAAAGGAAAAUCAAGAUAAAGAAAGUAAUACUCCCCUAUGAUGUGAUUGAAUAUGAAGUAUCAAGGUACGUUGUUCACCUGUCUUCAUCGCUUCAUGAAUUCCAUUUGGUAACCAUUAGUGAUAUAAACUUAAAAAUGGAAAUUGAGAAACAAAAGUGAUAACAAAGGCUUAAGAAAACAAAAUGGCGAUCCGUAACUUCAAGUCUUUGUUUUGGUGAUGUACCUAUAUAAAAUACACAAUAAACUAUGCAAGGUAUAAUAAAAUACAUGAGGCAAAGAAAAAGAAUGCGCAAGAAUGUCAUGUUUCCUUCAUUCUGGGGCAGAAUUGAAAACGUUGCUUACGUUUUCAAAACGUGGCAUAAAACGUGGCUCGAUGGAGCGUUUUCAAAACGUGGCUCGAUGGAGCGUUUUCUGCCACAUUUUCUGUUGCAAAUUUUUGCAGAAAUGCCAACUUUGAAAAAUUACACAUCUUUCUCCAAUUACUCAAAAUGCAUCAUAGAUCAUUAUUUCGACAAAAUUAUCAAUGCACGCACAUGUAAAAUGAUCAAAACAUGCAUUCUAAACCUCUUUAAUGCAUCAAAAACCAUAAUUACUGAAUUUGAGGUGUUGAGAUCUUUGAUCAAACUUCGCAUUUUUCACCUCAUUUGGUCACUUUUGCAUCUUUUUCCAAAACCUACAAAUGAAAAAUAACAAAAUAACUCAAACUCAUACUUUAAACAUAAAAUCACUCCAAAGUAACACGAACUUAAACAAAUAUUGGGUUGCCUCCCAAUAAGCGCUUCUUUAAAGUCAAUAGCUUGACUAUUUCACCUCAUUUUUCAAGGAGGUUUAGUUAACGAAUAAUCCACCAUUUUUGGCCUUGGUGGAUCAUUGUAAGGUGACUUAAUAGAAAAAGUCACAUGAUCUAAUAAUCUGAGAGAUGGAAGUGACUUAUAUAUUCCAAAUGUUUCAUAGAUAUUACCUUGAAUAUGCACCACUUGAGAACUUACCAAAGGAAAUGUCAUGAGAGUAUCUUGGGCAGGAAUACCUUUAGAACCUAUACUUUCAAUGCACUCCUCAAGAGGGGUGAAAAACGAGUCGUUAAAACUCUCUUCUUGAGGUUCAAAGUUAGUUCCAAAGAUAUUAUCAUGUGAAAUGGAUAUUUGCUCAUUGAAACACAAUUGAGAUUCAUCAUUUUCAUUAAAAUGCAACCCAUUUUCACAUACAACAUUCCCACCAUUCAUGCUAGGAUCAUUUUGCAAAUUAUUAGAGGAAAUAACUUCACACAAUGCAUUCAAUUGCUCAAGUAUUCUACCAAAGUGAGAAGCGUAUUCAUCUAUUCUUUCCUCAAUCCUAUCAAAACGGUCGAAAGUUGCAUUUGCUAGCUUUUCUAUUGCUGAAUCAAAUUGAUUAGAAAAAUUUUCUACAGCUAGCUCCCAAGAUGCAUUAGAAUCAUUAGCUAAUGGUUCACUUUCUAACUCCCAAGGCAGAGGUGCAUUAGCUAACUUCUCUAUUGCCAACUCCCAAGAUGGUUUUGAUUCAUAUUGGACACUUCCAGGUUGGUAAUCAUAAAAACAUGAAUAAUCACUAUAAGUACAUUGAUCAUCCCAACCAUAAGCAGGAGAAUUGCUCCAAUUAGCACUAUAUUGAUCAAAAUAGGGAUUGUAAUGCUCUAAUUCAUCAUAAUAAUCCACAUUUUGUGCUUGUCUACAUGUAUUAGAAGCAUGAUAACCUCCACACAAGUCACAAAUCCAAUGAUAAGAAUUAAAAGCAUUAGCAUUCCUCCCUUGCUUAAUUUCAUGCAUAAUUGUGUCCAUUUGAACUUGUAACAUCAUAACAUCAAAUUUAGCCUUUAAGCACCUUAAACCAUCUUCAAAAGACAUACAUUCAGUAAAUUCUUGGUUACCUCUAUUGAAGGAGCUUUGCACUUGGUAACCAUCCAUUGCCAAUCUUCCACUUCUCAAACUUUGUCCUCCAAAUUGACCUACCCUUCUCAUUACCUAAAAUUGCUUUUAAACAACCUCAAAAGCAAAAUUAGUAAGAAAAAUAGGUAAUGAAACACAUACACAUAAAAUACAAAAAAUAACAGAAAAUAACAUUCAUAUUAUAACUAAUAUUAUGUCUAAACUAAUAAAGUUGCUCUUCACACCGAUAUUGCCAAAUCAUCCCCGGCAACGGUGCCAAAAACUUGACGGGUAUUUUACAUACGUGCAAGCUAAAAAAUACCGAAUUGCACCCGUUCACUGCAAGUAUACAGAUCAACUAGUAGUUUAGGGUAUAUAUCGGGUCGAUCCCACAGGGAAGAGUGAACAAUUACCGGUAUUACUAAAGCUUCUCUAUUAUUUAGACUAUCAAUAAAUUAUAACAAGUAAAACCUACUGAACUUAUGCAAGAAAAUAACAAAUGAAAGCUCCUUAGAUUGUGGUAUCCCUAACUACUCAUACAAGUGCUAUUUUUUGAUCAUUGAGUACUACAUCUAAGCUAGUUAUGGUAUAAUUUCCUUAUGCAUUUGAAUCCUACUUUCGUAGUGAAUCAAUUAUACUCAUAACUAAUCCAUACCUAUUCUCAUGGUUAUGAAAUUAGUUACAAGUUCAUUUCUUCAAUAAAAUUACAUAAAAUUAAUCACCAAAACCCCAUAGGUGCACCUCUACUCUCGUGAGUGUACUCCCCAUGUUUAGCACUUAUUGAACUAAUAUUAAAUCUCAAUUUUCAUUACAGAAAUAACACCUUAGAUAAUCACAAUUAAUGGUACCAGAUUAAUCAUGAUUUAAAGAGCUAAAGUGCUAAAUAACUUGCUCAAAUUAUGGCAGUCAAUUAGCCAAAUAAUAAACACUAACAAUCAUAGAAAGUUCAACCAAACUCAAGGUAUAAACUUUAAAGACACAUAUUAAAUAUAAAAUCCAGAACUUGCAUAAUAACCAUAGUUAAGAAUCCAAUACAAAAGAUAAAGAAUUGGAGUAGAGAUAACCCAUGUCACUUGAGCUUCAACUCCUCCUUCUUCAUCUCCAUCUUCAUCCUAAUCUAGCUAUUAUACAAGAAUGGAUUAACUACACUUACUACACUAUCCUACACUAAGGAAAUGGAAGAACUACAUUUCUGCACUUCAAGCUCUCUCCCGUAUGUUUUUUUUUGUCUUCCCAAAUGUCUCUGCAUAUAAGCUGAUGAAAAUCUCCUCUCUAGCCCAAAAUUUCUGCUCUAAUGAUUCUCAAUUCUCCAUUUGUUAAGGAAGUAAAAAACAAUGACUUUUGACUUGGAAUAAGCCAUAUUGUAUGCUCUUUUUGUCUUCUGAAGCAUGUGCACCGAAUUCACUUGCAACUUAUAGCUGGAAAGUAGUCUGAACACAAGAGAAUUGACUGAACAAAUUGCAAAAUUUCGGCCAGAAAACGCGCCUACACAAAACGCGGUUACAAGUCACGUUUUGUGUACUCGCGUAUUCACUUUGGCCUUACUUCAUCUGUGAUUUUCUCUAUCAUAAAGGCCGAACUGGCUUUUGUACAAAACACAAAAGGUGUAGCCCUUUGAGUUAUCUUUUCAAUGCUUCAAGAAUCAUCCAAAUCGGAGCUUUGUAGCCUGAGAUAUGAUCACAAUACUAAACACUGGUCAGAGCUCUGUUUUCCACUUUGGACAGCUGAGUUGAAUUUCGGUAUUUCAACUUUUGGGCUAUGAAAACGGCUGAAUUGGACUUUGAUGUCGUCAUACCAAAUGUAGAUCUCUUUCUUAGCUUUAAAUUGGUAUAAAGAUCACCUCAAUCUGAUCAAUGUAGCUCCAGAUAUAGUCGAAAUACUGAAGAGUGUCAAAACUGUCUUGACUUGCAUUUCCUUACUUAAACGUUUUUCACUUCAUUUUUCUUUUUACCACUUUGAAUUCAUCACCAAAUCUCUAUUUUUCACUUCAAUUGGCAUCCUUUGGUGGUUGAAUCAUCAUUCCUGCAUAAAAAUGAAGUUUUUACUAUUAAAAUCAAUAGAAAUGCAAUAUUAGCCACUUUUACCAAAAAUGUAUAUUUUUACCAAAACCUUAGUUAUUUUAAUUAUAAAACUAAAUAAUCAAACCAAAUUAACUAAUAAAAUGCACUUAAAAAUACGUAAAAUAAAUCCUUAUCAACUCUCAUCGUCAUCAUGAUCGAUAAUCAUCUGUGAAGGUAAUUCUUCACUCAUUCGAGAAGUCAAUUGCGUUAUUCUAGAUGUCAUUUGAUCCAUUUGAUCUGCCAAGUUACGCAUGCUCGCUUGUGUCUCCUGAUGAAAUUGAUAUGUGUUAGUAGCUAAUAAUUCAAUCAUUUCUUCAAGAGACAUACCUGACAUAGAUGAUGGUUGUUGAGACUCUUGCUGUUGAAAACCUAUUGACCUUUGUUCAUAAUUAAAAUUGGAAUCAUUCCACCAUCCUUGAUCAUACCCAUUUGAAUAAGGGUCAUACCAUGUUUGAUAUUGAGGUGAAAAAUCUCCAAAACUAUCGAUUGGAGCACCUGGGCCAUCUUGAAAUGCGGGAUAUAUGUCAGUUGAUUGACCUGAGGCAAAAUAAGUUCCACAAUUCGCAACAGCCUAUUGAUCAUUAGAAAAAGCAUGAGUCUCAUAACCCCAUCUAGAAAUAAAAUCCACUCUAUCACCAAAAUACAAAAUAUUAGUAGCCAUAAAAAAAAAGAUGAACUAAAAAAGAAACAAAUUAAUCAAGCGCCAGUCCUCGGCAACGGUGCCAAAAAUUAACAGGUGCCGAACCUGUGCAAUAAUAAAUCACUACUCGAGAGAAAUACAAACUUUGCAUAUAGUGGUGAGUAGGGUCGAAUCCACAAGGAUUGGGGAUAAUUCGUUUCUUCUAAAAUUCAAAGUAUGGGGGUUUUCAGGAUUAAAUGCUAACUAAUUAAAUGUAAAAAAUAAUUAAUUAAAAGAAAUAAUUAGAGAAACUCUAGCCAAGGGUACACUUCAGAAAUGGUUCAUGCACUGAUCAUCGAUUCACAGAUAAUUCCAACAUUUAUUAAUAGAUUAGUUAUAAUUGUCAUGCACGCGAUAAACAACCAACCUUUCCUUAAUUUCUCAAUAGUUAAGGUACUACCGUUAACUAUUUUUCUAACCCGGAAACAACCCUAGGUAUGACCGUAGGAUUUAAUUUCUAGAUUGCAUUAAUAAUUAGAAAGGCCCAAUCCUAACUAACAAAUAUGCUACGAGGGUUUGUUUAAACUAGAUCGUAUGUUCCCCUGACAUAAACCCAAUUAUGCCAGUUGCUACUGGGAUGGAGAUAAUCGAACAAUUACGGAUUCAACUACCCCCAAUUAGCAAAUAGCCUACGUGAAUAAUUAAAUAUUGCGCACCUAUUCAAUCAUACACGAUAGCUAUACCAAUAAUUAAAAGUAGAAAACAUAUAAAUACCAAUAAAUGAAGGAAAUAAUUAAAAUAAUUUAGAUCUCACAGUAAUUGCCGAACCAAAUCUUCAGUUGUCCUUUGACUAGAAUUAAGAAGCUGGUUCUCCAUGAAUUAAGAAGCUAGUUCUCCAUUAAUGGAGAACCAGCCGUGCGGAAAUAAAACAAUCGGAGCUUUCUAAUGUUUUCAGAUGGGAAAAGGAAACUAAAGCUGAGCCCCCCAAUUACACGUGAAUCUGGCCCUUUUAUAUCUUCAGUAGCCGCCGCCCCCGAGAAAGCUAACGUCUGACCUUAAAAAGCAAAAGCUAAGCUAAUGACUAAAUGCCCCUCCCGUAAAUCUGGCUUUUUUCCUCCUUUAUAGCGCCGCCAGGAGCCAAGAAAACGUUUGACCCAAUUAACGAAACCAAAGCUAAUCUUUUGGAGCUUUAAUUCCAUGCUUCUCGCGGUUCACGUGAACCCAACCUUCUAAUUGCCCACUUUUGUUGCUGCCAAGCCCGCUGGUCCGGCCUUUAGGUGAGUCUCCUCAGUUUCUGGCGUGAGCACGCUCUGAAAUGAAGGGUCUUCUGGAAAUUUGCCUCAAGAGAUUACUUUUAACACCAACCACCUACAAUUCAUACAAAUAUCAAAUAUGAGUAAAAUCUUAAUACUUAGCACAGUAAGUAACCAAAAUUAGGACAAAAUAACAGUGCAAAAUGUGCCCAAUAAUUGCUCUAUCAUGGAGGCAACAAAAUAAAUCAAAAUGUGGAAUCUCUUAUCUAUUUAAGUAGUUUUGUUAUGUCUUACUUGUACCUAAAACUAUUACGUUCUACAAUUAAAGCAUAUGGUUAUUGUUAUGAGCUUGUAACUUCGAUUCCUUAGCAUCAACUUGCGUUUAGUUUUAGCUGAGUAUCAAGCUAUGCAAAACAUACUUAGAUAAGUUUGGUAUACACACCGAAUUGCAUUCACAUAUUAUAAUUCCACCUAUAAACAGCAACUCUAAAUUAUAAUAUUUUUAAACAAUAGAUACAAACAUGAAAAUCGUUAAAAUUAAAGAGGUAAAUUAGUCAUUAGUUUUGCUUUUGUCGCUUAAGUUGUACAUCACUUAGUAUAGAAUUUUCCAUGUAGUAUAUUUCAAAGCACAUAAACAUAAUAAUGUUUGAUGAUAUAAGAAGAGCUUAGAUGAAAAUAUAUAAUAAUAUAAGAAAAGUCAUGUAAAUUGAAUAUAAUAAUAUUAGUUAAAGGUAUUUGCAUUUUACAUGGUAUGGGCUUCCUAAGGAAAUGUCAAGAAUAUUCUUAUUUGACAACUAAAAUGAUUGAAGUGACCAAAAUAAAUAAAUAUAAUAUGCAUCACAUUUUAACCCGUCAUGGUUUUGUGUUUUAUUACAUAAUCCCAAUUAUUUUAGUGCUAUACCACAUAACCCUCAUAUGAUUUUUAAAAUACAUAACCCCCUAUGGUUAAUUAAUAAUUUUAGAUUUUAUAGAUAUUUUAAUUGAUUUCAUUAUGAAAUACAAAUAUAGUCAUUUUGACACUUUAGUUCAAAUUAUGAGAGGAUUAUAUAAUUUUUUCAAAAAGUCUUGCAUCUCCUUGUUCCAAGAAUGCCCUUGAUUGCCUGCUAUUUGAACUCUUUUCGGAUAAUUGUCAAAUUGGUCCUUAUUAUGGUAUUUUCGUUCUACUCCCUGAAAUAUAUGCAAAUUACGAAAAGUGAGUAGAAUCCAGCAAUUAAUCCACAUCAAGUCAGACAAUAGGGGAAAUUAAUAAUAAAAUAAAUGAUAAAAUUGCGCGCUAUCAUUAGUCAUUAGUUUGUUUUUGUCGCUUAAGUUGUACAUCACUUAGUAUAGAAUUUUCCAUAUCGUAUAUUUCAAGGCACAUAAACAGAAUAAUGUUUGAUGAUAUAAGAAGAGCCUAGAUGAAAAUAUACAAUAAUAUAAGAAAAGUCAUGUAAAUUGAAUAUACUAAUAUUAGUUAAAGGUAUUUGCAUUUUACAGGGUAUGGGCUUCCUAAGGAUAUGUCAAGAAUAUUCUUAUUUGAAAACUAAAAUGAUUGAAGUGACCAAAAUAAAUAAAUAUAAUGUACAUCACAUUUUAACCCGUCAUGGUUUUGUGUUUUAUUACAUAAUCCCAAUUAUUUUAGUGCUAUACCACAUAACCCUCAUAUGAUUUUUAAAAUACAUAACCCCCUAUGGUUAAUUAAUAAUUUUAGAUUUUAUAGAUGAGUACUUUUGAUAUUUUAAUUGAUUUCAUUAUGAAAUACAAAUAUAGUUAUUUUGACACUUUAUUCCAAAUUAUGGGAGGAUUGUAUAUAAUUUUUUCAAACCACAAGAGAGUUAUAAAUUUACUAAUAUUUGGUUCCCAUGUGAGGGCCAUAUUUAUUGUCAGAUAGUCCAUUAGCGUAGGUCCAUAUGACAAUUUGGAAGUAUUGAUGACUUGAUGUCAAGAGGCUUGAACUAAAAGACUAUUUUUUUAAAAAAAAAAAUCAAAAAAACUACUUUCAUUUAGUCCAAACAAAAUACAAAAAAAAAAAACGUACUAAAAAUUUUCAAAUAAUUUAAACUUAAAGUUUGGUGCUACUUGGACUUUUCUAAAGUGCUAUAAAAACGCAGCAGGUUCACGACAGAAAACAGUAGACUAUUGAGAGGUUGUAUCCAGGAAGAUUUAUUAAGGAUUAAAAUUGAAUCCUACAAUUCUCAGACAGUUUAGUAAUUGCCCUUCACUUUCUUCGUCCUAUGAGUCUGGAGUGGAGUGCUGGUAGUGGUCGACAGUGGAGGGAGUAGAGUGGUGGUUGUGGGGAGGGAGGGAGGAGGGACAAUGUGUUUGGGGCCCGGGGGAGGGGGGGGGAGAAAAGAAAAAAAAAAUUUUUUAAAAAAGAAAGUUUUUUUUUUCAUAUUUCUUAAAUACCUAACUAUACAGAAGUUUUUUCACAAAUUUUAUAAUAAAUUACAACAAAAUUUUAUACAAAAAACCAAAAAACUCACCAUUUAAAUGGGGGUAUUGGUUUGACAAAAAAAAAAAAAAAUGGGGUAUUGGAUAAUCAGAUAACCCUUCUUCUUAUAUUAGCUAGGGUCACAAAGCUCAAGUUAUUUCCAUGAUUUCAAUGUGUUUCUCUUGGAUUCUAUCUCACAUAUAUUAAUUGCUGCGUUGGUUUUGUACUUGAUGUCCAUUUUGGGUAUAAGUUGGGCGAAUAAAAGUAUAAUUAGAAGGUGAAUAUGGGAACAGAUAUCUGUUACAAGGUUGCAGAAACCUUCAGAAGGACCCUGCAGAUGAUAAUCUUGCAAAAAAGGGUAGCCCCUAGAGGAUAUCUCUUAUAAUUUCAAGAUGUGAUGAUAAGGUUAGAGCAAUGGGCAUUAGCACACUGAUCGUUCGGACAUACGUUGGGAGCAUUGUUUAAGGCUUCCAUCAAUUGAGUAUGAUACAUCUUAUGCUUUAAGAACUAAAGUAGAACAAAUUAUAUAUAUAUAUAUAUAUAUAUAUAUAUAUAUAUAUAUAUAUAUAUUUAGAACUAAACAGUGAAAAAUUUCACUUAAAUUCAAUAGAUUUUAUGUUUUAGAUAUAAAAGUGUCUCAUUUUCAAGUUUAGGCACCAAACUAGGGAUUCAACUAUAGUUAAACGGCACAACAUAGAAUUAACUCCAAGAGGAAUUUUUUAGUUAUCUGGAAAGAGAAAUAUUUUAUAAAUCAGUCCCCUCCUUAUUGGUGGCUUAAAUUGAACACGGCAGGCUACUAGUGCCCAAAAUGCAUUUAACGUCAUCAUCGCUAAUACGGACGGAUUGUGGUGGCCGGGGUUGGCAGUUGGGGGGACAGUUGACAGUGCCACUGGCGUGCUUCAAUUUGCCACCAUGACAGUGCCAUCUCAGCUGCCCUACUCUAAAAGAAAAGGAAAUGAAAAAAUCUAAAAAUAAUAAUAGAUGUCUAAUGAGUAAUAACAAAUAUAUAUCCUUAAUAUUUUAUUAUUUAUUAAGAAAAAAUAUUAUUUUAUUUAUUUUUUAAAAAAAUAAAAAUAUUUUUUUUUUAUUUUUUUCUAGCUCGAGCUCGACCUUGAAAUUGUCAGCUCGUCGAGCUCGAGCUCGAGCUCGAGUUCGAGUUCAAUAAAAUUAAGUCAAGACUCGACUUGAUUAGGUCAAAACUCGACUCGACUCGACUCGUUUGCAACCCUAGCAUCAAGUCAGUCUCAGCAAUCAAUAGCACUUAAAUGGUCCCAUGAUUAGGCGUGUCAAUUGAGAUUUUUGAGCUAGACUUUGGUAAGCCCAAGCUCAACUCACAAAUAAUGUGUGUUUGGAUAUCAAUUUUUUUUUUUUUAUCAAAAUACUAUUUUACUUGCAUAACAAUUAUAAUUUUCAAUCAACUCCGUAUGUUCCUAAUAACUUUUUUUAUCUUACAUAUAUCACAUUAUAAAAAAUGUUAUAGUAAUUAUUUCAAAUAAUCUCCUAUCCAAACACACUCAUCAUAAUUUUAUUAUAAUUUGCACUAAUGAUAGAAGUUACAUCAUCAAUCAUACACCAACAUUAAAGAACAGAUCUAAGAAGUACGGAGACUACAUAUUUGAAGAAUAAAUAAAAAUUAAAAUAAAAUAAUUGUAACUUUAAGAACAUUUGUGCAUGCUUCCAAUCCAAAUGAAGAUGCUUUAAUCUAGUGUAAAUUUUGCUGCAAGGUAGGGAAAAUGAAAUAAAAUGUUCAAUUUGGAAUGAAACACACAUACAAUUAUCACAAUGUAGAUUCCAUAUUAACUUGGCCUAAUAAUAGAGUAGGUAAAAGUUCGCCCGUUAGAAGAUUUCUGUUAGCAUGGUAGAUUAACUUGCAUAAGAAAGAAAAAGUUUUAUAUAAAAACAUGUAUACAAAAAGGUUUAAGUCAUAACUAAGUAUUGUUGGACUGUCAUACUAAUAGCUUAGAACUAACUUGGAACCACCUGAAGGGAUAUAAAUUUCUAUCUGAGUUGUAAACUUGUAAUUUGUAAGUCUUGAAGGUCUUGAUCUUACACAUUUGAAUUUAAAAAAUUUGAAGUGGGUGCCACUACACCCUUCUAAUCUAAACGGGCUCCAUAUAUAACACAGUUGGGGGUAAUAUAUGUGCUCCCAAUUAUUAAAAAGCAAACAAAAACCUUACCAGCAUUUUGGUCCUAUGUGAGGGCCACAUCUAAUGUGAGAUUGUCCUUAAGCAUAGGUCCAUACUACAAUUUACAAGGAUUCAUGACUUGAUGUCAAGAGGGUUGAAUUAAGACUACUUUCUUGUAUGCUUAAAAAAAAGACUACUUUCUUGUACACCAAACAAAAUAUCGAAAAAACAUAUUUUCUAAAAAGUUUAUUGGGAUGAUUUGAACCCAAGGCUUGGCACUACCUGGACUUUUCUAAAGUGCUGUAAAUUUUUUUUGUUUGGGAUAUUCACAGCAAUGAUGGCUGGAUCACCUCAACCUACUUUAAUUUGCAGCCUGCCGACUUUUCUGCCCUGCCUUAAAAGAAAAGGAAAUUAAAAGUACUUAGAUAUUAAGAAAUGUCAAAUAAGAAACUUUACCUCUUGUGCAGUCAAAUUGGACAGAAAGCAGCUUCGCUCUAACCUAAACUAGAAGAAAGUAAAGUGACUAUUUUGAAACUACACAGAUUGCAAAAUCUUAAGUAAUAGAUUACCAAAGGAAAUUUACCAUCUAUUUCUUUUUCGUUCUGCUGAAAGUAGUUUAACCAGCAUGAUUUCAAGCCACAGUACUCAACACAACUUGAAUAGGCUCACGGCGAUGGAUCCCUUCGUGGACUUGACUCGAGUACGCAGCAGGUUCAGUGCAGUGAAGGGUUAAUCCAAGGAAUUAUAAGGAGAAAGUUUCAUUGAGUUCCUCACUCCACCACCAGUUUAGCAGUUACUCUUCACCUUCAGCGUCUCUGAGUCUGGCUCAUUUGUUUAUCAAUUUUGUUUGUUAUUCUGUCAGGCGCACAGAGUCUGCUGAAGUCAAGUCCAACGAGGAGUCCAUUAUCUUGAGCCUAGCUACUGUCUUCAAAUGAGCACAUUUUUUGAUGAAUUAUUUCAUUUUUAUCUGUCAAAAUAUAUAUAAUCUUUUAUGUAUGAAGUUGAAACUACUAAUUAAGUUCGUAUAUUUUCAAAAGUUAUCUUCUUAAACAUAUAAAACCAUUAUAUACAUGUAAUUAGGAAUACGAAAGUGAUACUUGAACUCCCAAAUUACUCUUUUGCAUUCGCUGAUGGCAUUUCAUUGAGUGAAUAGAUUAAUGUUAGAAAGGCUAACAUAGGAAUGCGAAUAUCACUCAUCACUACAAGAAAAUUACCAUUUAAUGACACUAAAAAAUGCCUCUUUUUGUAUGUUUUAGUGACAAUUUUUAAUCUAAUAGCAUUUCCCCCGAGUGUUGGCAAUAUCACUGCCACUAUAGUCUAGUGACACUUGAAAAGUGCCACAAAAGAGUUACUAUGAUAACAUUUUAACAUUUCAUUGUACUAGGGAUAUGUGUCAUGAGAAGAUGCCACUAUGUCAUUUUUUUUGGGUGUUUGCGAAUGCCAACAAUUUAAGUUUUGAUACAACUUUAAAUGCGACUAUUUAAAACUUUCCUGUCACUUUGAAAUGCCACUAAAAAAUUAAGAAAAUAAAAAAAUAAUUUGAAAUUAAAAAUCAAAGUACUCUUAUUGAUCCGGGUAAUUAAUUACAACUCAAGAAAAUGAAAGUUUCGCCAUUUAAACAAGUCACUAACUAAUAAAUCUAGCAAGAAAUUAUAUGACAACAAUAUAAACAAAUUCAUGCAUUUUACAAAUGAAACAUGUCUAAAGACAUUAAUCUUUUAAGCUGAUAACUUGGAAAAGAUCAUGUCUUCUUUGCUUCAUUAAUCUCUCAAAUGCUAUGUAAUCUGCAUUACAAUGAAUAUAUUACCUCUUCUCAAGGAUUAGUUAGUAAAAAUAUUAACUCAACUCAAGAUAUUAGCAAUAGUGGUUGAAAAAUUAACAAUGAUCAAAGUGGGAAGUAAAAUGGGGCACCUUGAACUUGCCAUAGAGAAACUAAAGGCAUUCCAACAAAGAAACCUCAACACUCGCCAAUAUUUCUAAAAUAAAAAAGGAAAUAGUACCAAUCAAUUUAGAUUUAAUCCUAAAACUUGAGAAAUAGAGUAAAUAAUCUAGUAUUUCCUAAUGCUUGACCAUAUUUGAACCUACAACCACACCUUUUGGUCUGCCUAGAAAUCAUACAUCACAAAACCAAUAUCUCUUACAAAGUGAAUGGGAUGUUGGCACAUUUCACUACAUAAUAAUUAACUGAUAACAACAUGCACUGCACCCUUCAUUAUUUUUUGGGGGCAUUGCACCAAAAUACACUACAAGAAAAUUGCGUUUCUGUGACAAGCGAAAGUCGUCACUAAAAAUUCAGAAGUCGUCACAAAAAAAGUCAGUGACGACUUUUACUGCUGUCACAGAGCUGUCACUAGUUCUAUGUCACAAAAGGGAGUCCAUGUGACGACUUUUGAAAGUCGUCACAAACGAUUUCGCUUUUGUGAUGACUCUUGUCGUCACUCAUUGUUGUACAUUUUGUGACGACUUUUAUUGUCACUAAGCUGGCUAAAUUCUUGUCAUAGUCAACCCUUGGAAUUGUCACAUUAUGCUUCCGUUCAGUGACGACUUUUGUUGUCAUUGUUUUCCAUCCAUAAAAAGUGACGACUUUCUAGUGUCACUAGUAAAACUUGUUGGCAGUGACAACUUUUUUAUUGUCAUUUAUUUUUUGUAAAAAGCAAUAAGCUAAUGUUAAUUACGCAACAUAGCUGCCAACAAUCACAAAACGUUCAUUGAGUACCAAGGAGAAAAAAAAAGCCAACAUACGAAAAGAAAACCAACAUUCAUUUCCAAUAGAAGAUCAACCCAAAUACAUAUAUAUAUAUAUAUAUAUAUAUAUAUAUAUAUAAAUGUUGCCUCAAAUGAGUCAUAAACCAUGCACCAUCCAAAAUAAGCCAUUCAGUUACAAUACUAGUGAUUUCCCAUCCACAAUAGAGAGUAGUAAAGUUCUAUACAAAAAUAUGAGCACGAUUCUCAUCUAGAACAAAACAUGAGCACGAUAGGCCUUGUAGUCUUCAAUUCAAAAACCAUCUUCACAGCAAUGACUGGCUUCUUCUUCUUGGGAAUCGUGUUAGAACCUACACGUUACCAAAAUUGAAGCAAUGAGCACUGGUGUUAAAACUGGAACUACACUUCUAGAUAGGCACCAUAUUAUAAAAACUAAUGUCACUCUAAUUUGAAAUUAUAGCAAUUUAAGUAAAUUGCUUAACACAAAAAUAGAGUGAAAUUAUAUAUAUUGAAUAGUAAGCAAGAACAAACCAUUGACAGUUAAUUGCGUACUACGAAAGUAUACAACUAAUCUAUUUCUCUAUUGAAUCUUUCUUGUGGACCAAGAAUAAAAGCGUAGCUUGAUAAAGGCACUAUUAAACUUUGUACAACUAUAAAAUCUCGAAAGUUACCCAAAGUAUAAAUCAAACAACAUUGUUGUGAUUAUUAUUCUGCAUUUUCAUGAAGAGCAUGUCCGAACCUCAAACUUUUAACUAUUCUUGAUCACAGAUGAAACAGGAAGCUAAAAAACCAACUUUUUUUUUAGGGUGGAUCACUUAAAAAAUGGAAUGACAAUUGAUUUAGGGGUGCAAAGUUUAUUAUUUAUUGAAAGAUUUUCUUCAGAGCUUAGGCAACUUCAGCUGUCAGUAUUAUGAGGUCCAUUAAUUGUGGAUGAGAUACAACAUGUGGUAGUAGCUUGGUGGAAGAUUCCACUAACACAGUAACCUUGGAAAUUAGCUCUGGAAUGGGACCUGUCCCAGAAGUGUUUUUGCUGAUCUACUUGUAUCUAGUAUAGGCUUUGCUUUACUAUGUAAAUCUACAUUGCCCCCCCCCCCAAAACACACAAAACACCAAAAACGCCACCAAAAGAAAGGAUCAACUAAGCAAAUGCAUAUAUUCAUUUAGCCCAAUCCGCCAUAUUUUUUGUUUCAAGAAAGCUCCAAUGUGGUGGAGUACAACUGAACCACGUUCAAGAGUUCUAAGAGAACUUUCUAGUUUACAUUGGAUAUUAUGUGCACAUCAAAACUCCUUAAUCUCUAUUAACAAGAACAUGUUCACUUCAGAAUGAGAAAGUAUUAUGUGCAUAUCUAAUCUCAGAUAUAGAUUUUCAGUGAUAAAAGGAUUAGGCCCUAACAAUAAACUAACCACAGAAUGAGAUGCAUUCAGGACAAACUUACUUCAGGACUAAUGUACCACUUGCUAUCAGGACUUCGAUGAGGAUGUGAAUCAGAAUUAAUGAGCCCAUAAAGCAAACCACGGCUCACAUUAAUCCUAUUCAAGGAGGCCAAAAUUUCAUCCACCCGAACAAAUGCAUCAUCGUCUGUCUUCAUGACAAAUUUUGCUGAAACAACCUGUGUCUGUUCAAAAGAUUUAAGUCAAAGAGGCACUCGAAACUUUCCAUGAGCUUUAAAGAGACAGGACAUUACCCCAAAUACGCAUAUAGCUAAAGUCUUCCAUGUGAUAAGGCUAUAGUAGUCAACAAAUGGCAUCAGUUGGAUGUCACCAUAAGUUUUCGCCUCGUUCCAUAGCUCCUCAUUCACCACCUGGUUUUUAUGCUACAAAGCAGAGGUGACACUUUCAUCAUAUUGUCCAACAAAUGGCAGGUUAAAAUUCAGAAGUCAAAUGCUUGGGACAUGACUGAAAAAAAUGGUAUAUGUUUAACUAAUACAAUGAACCGCUCUUCCAUGAAGCAACAAUUCUUUUGUAAAAAGAGACAAAGUUGUUCCCUUUAAUAGUGCCUAUCAAAGAAUCUCAUCUCUUCAUUAUGGCUCACCUGUGCUGUUGAUGCUAUAUUCUAGAAUCAAGCAUGUAAACUCAAGAACUACAGUGUGCAAAUGAAUUGCUAAAAAUUGGUAGAGUUUCAGGAUUUGGACAUGUCCUAAUCCUGUUUCUAGAAGUAAUAGUUCACAUCAAUGGCUGCAGAUAUGCAUGCAGCAGUACUUGUGAUACUUUCUCCCAUUUUGUAGGGCAGAGCAUGUCAUACCCUUCGGGGAAAAAAAAAUCUCACAAUGUGUAGUUAUUAGAAAGAAAGCUAUGAAAUUCAGAGGCAGUCCUGAUAUGCUAAUCAGAUUUACAAGUUCAUCAACCAAAACUUGAGACAGGGAUAGGGAAAGAUAAAAUGCAGCAAUGAGCAUUGAACGAAUGCCCUGUUACGGCCUGCUGUUAGACCACUUGGGCAUUUCAACAAACAGUAAACGAACAUGAAAAAUUCCAGCAAUUCUUUGCUCAAAUGAAGCCACGGUUGGCCCCAAAAUCAUCAGAAGUACAAGGGAUUUCAAAUUCAAUCAUGAUAUAACAUGCGCAUGCUAAAAUUUGAACAAUCAACGGGGCAAUUGCAAUAAACGAAGCCAUGGCAGACAUGCUUAAAGGACUUGGGAAGGAACUGAAAUUCAAAGAAAAAGGGGCGACUUAUAGUGCUCUUACUUGAGCGGUGGCGACGGCGAUUAUGACGAAGCCGAAGACGGUGAGUUGGAAUUGGAAGAUGACUAGGUCUGAUUUCGUCCAAGAGCCUUCAUCUAGUGUUACAGAGAACGGUAGCAGCCCAGGAGGUUGUGCGCGGUGUUGGCGAUGGCAGGCAGCAGCAGAGCGGACGCGGACUGGUGGUGACCUGGUUCUUCCUCCUCUGUCCGUUGCCGCGUCUUUCUCUCCUGAUCUUCCCGUCAGCCGCCACUCUUCCUUCACUCUGUUUUUUUUCUUUUCACGCUCAAGGCCUCCCUUCCAAGAACCCUAGCUGCUUCUCUGCUCUUCUGUUUCUCUUUUUCUCCUCUAAAACCUAGCCGCCCUUUCUCAGGCUUCCCCCUCAGCUUUUCUUGCUCACUUGUGCGCCGCCCUUUUUUUCUCCUCUAUUUUGUUCUUUUUUUCUUGUUUUGUUCUUUUCCCUCUGUUUUGUUCUACUGCCAAAGCCCUCCUCUAUUUUCCUUCACCUGAGCUGGUGCUAAAGAGCUCGACGCGUUUGCGGGUCAAUAGAGGGGAGAAAGGGCUAUCGUCAGUGGUGAAGGAAAUGCUGAAGAAUAAAUUAUGGUGCUGGAUAGCUCGGACUUCAGCGGCUGAUGGUGGUGGAUUGCGGCGGACUUCAGCGGCUAACGGUGGCGAGCGGCAUUUCGAAUCUACGGGAAGGAAGGGUUAGUUCACCAUAGGAAGGAAAGACUGAGAAUGAAAUUUGUCUAAGUGUUGGAAGAGAGAAGCGGCGAGACUUUUGUUUGUAUGUGAACAACCAAAACGACGUCGUUUUGUAGAGAUUUCAGCCACCCGCCUGGCGCCUCUUUCAGAUUUCAGACUGGCGCUCUUUUUUUUUUGACAUCUAAGCACGUCUUUGAGAUUCCAGGAUUCACGCCUUUAGCUUCAUACAUCUUUUUUCUUUUUUUUUUUAGCCAAAUUUUUUUUUCAGGUUUCUUUUUUCAUACUUAAUCUCUUUUUUUUCCUUAAUCUCAUCUAUAAAUAUCAAAUAAAUUAUUUGAUAUUGGUUUCUUUUUUGUGCAUGUAUAUAUAUGUAUGCUUGUUUGUGUCUAUAUACAUCUUUUUGGGUUUGGACAACUCAAUAUACAUAUUAUUUAAGAAAUUACCUUACAAUAAAACUUACACAAUAAAACAUGUUUCAAAAAUUUAACAUGCAUAGAAUCGCUUAUAUACAGUAUAACACUUCUUACUCAUGCUUAUCCUACUCUUUGUCUAUUACUUAGUUUUUAUAAUAAAUUAAAAGAAACAUGUAAUCAAAUAUUCUGUUAAAUGUGUUACAACUCUCAAUCUUAUUGCACGACAGAUAUUUUACUGAAUAAUUUUAAUUUCGUAUAUACCCAUUCCAUAUGAAAAUAAUUAUUACUUAUGAUGUAUUACACGUUAUACUAAUCUUUCACAGUGCUAACAUUAGACUACAAAUUAUAUUCAAUUACACUUUUUCAAAUUAUUUCAGUUAUUGAUUUUUGGGGGUUGUUAUAAGGAAUAAUAAACAAUUCGUGAAAACAUUUUUAUGCUCAGACAUGUCUAUUAUGUCAACUUAGCAAAAAUUACAAAUAUCUAAAAAUAGUUUGUUAUUAUAUCAUUUGCAUUUUGCUAAUACGUAAUGAAUAGGGGCUAAAUUAUAAAAUUAGGGUGUCAUAUCUUCGGUGCUUUUGCUCAUAUAAAAGAAUUGGGGGCUAAAUAAUAAAAUUAGGGUGCCAUAGUAGAAUUAGUGAAAUUUGAUGAAAAUACUAUAGAAUUGCUUAUAUACAGUAUAGCACUUCUUACUCAUGCUUAUCUUACUCUUUGUCUAUUACUUAGUUUUUAUAAUAAAUUAAAAGAAACAUGUAAUCAAAUAUUCUGUUAAAUGUGUUACAACUCUCAAUCUUAUUGCACGACAGAUAUUUUACUGAAUAAUUUUAAUUUCGUAUAUACCCAUUCCAUAUGAAAAUAAUUAUUACUUAUGAUGUAUUACACGUUAUACUAAUCUUUCACAGUGCUAACAUUAGACUACAAAUUAUAUUCAAUUACACUUUUUCAAAUUAUUUCAGUUAUUGAUUUUUGGGGGUUGUUAUAAGGAAUAAUAAACAAUUCGUGAAAACAUUUUUAUGCUCAGACAUGUCUAUUAUGUCAACUUAGCAAAAAUUACAAAUAUCUAAAAAUAGUUUGUUAUUAUAUCAUUUGCAUUUUGCUAAUACAUAAUGAAUAGGGGCUAAAUUAUAAAAUUAGGGUGUCAUAUCUUCGGUGCUUUUGCUCAUAUAAAAGAAUUGGGGGCUAAAUAAUAAAAUUAGGGUGCCAUAGUAGAAUUAGUGAAAUUUGAUCAAAAUACUAUAGAAUUGCUUAUAUACAGUAUAGCACUUCUUACUCACUUUCUUACUCUUUGUCUAUUACUUAGUUUUUAUAAUAAAUUAAAAGAAACAUGUAAUCUAAUAUUUAAUUUGAAAUGUGUUACAACUCUCAAUCUUAUUGCACGACAGAUAUUUUACUGAAUAAUUUUAAUUUCGUAUAUACCCAUUCCAUAUGAAAAUAAUUAUUACUUAUGAUGUAUUACACGUUAUACUAAUCUUUCACAGUGCUAACAUUAGACUACAAAUUAUAUUCAAUUACACUUUUUCAAAUUAUUUCAGUUAUUGAUUUUUGGGGGUUGUUAUAAGGAAUAAUAAACAAUUCGUGAAAACAUUUUUAUGCUCAGACAUGUCUAUUAUGUCAACUUAGCAAAAAUUACAAAUAUCUAAAAAUAGUUUGUUAUUAUAUCAUUUGCAUUUUGCUAAUACAUAAUGAAUAGGGGCUAAAUUAUAAAAUUAGGGUGUCAUAUCUUCGGUGCUUUUGCUCAUAUAAAAGAAUUGGGGGCUAAAUAAUAAAAUUAGGGUGCCAUAGUAGAAAUAGUGAAAUUUGAUCAAAAUACUAUAGAAUUGCUUAUAUACAGUAUAGCACUUCUUACUCUUUGUCUAUUACUUAGUUUUUAUAAUAAAUUAAAAGAAACAUGUAAUCUAAUAUUUAAUUUGAAAUGUGUUACAACUCUCAAUCUUAUUGCACGACAGAUAUUUUACUGAAUAAUUUUAAUUUCGUAUAUACCCAUUCCAUAUGAAAAUAAUUAUUACUUAUGAUGUAUUACACGUUAUACUAAUCUUUCACAGUGCUAACAUUAGACUACAAAUUAUAUUCAAUUACACUUUUUCAAAUUAUUUCAGUUAUUGAUUUUUGGGGGUUGUUAUAAGGAAUAAUAAACAAUUCGUGAAAACAUUUUUAUGCUCAGACAUGUCUAUUAUGUCAACUUAGCAAAAAUUACAAAUAUCUAAAAAUAGUUUGUUAUUAUAUCAUUUGCAUUUUGCUAAUACGUAAUGAAUAGGGGUUAAAUUAUAAAAUUAGGGUGUCAUAUCUUCGGUGCUUUUGCUAAUAUAAAAGAAUUGGGGGCUAAAAAAUAAAAUUAGGGUGUCAUAGUAGAAUUAGUGAAAGUUGAUGAAAAUACUGUAGUAUACAAUGAUGCAAAAAGUUGUCACAAAAUUGGAAUCGGGUAGACUUUCAAUGACAACAAGUUAUGUUGUCACUGUAGAGAGAGCGUUUGUGACGACUUUAUUUGAGUUGUCAUAAAUUCAUUUCCCGCGGCAUCAAAUGAGAUGCGCGCCAACUAUUUCGUGACGAGUUGAGAAUGACAACUUCCAAUGUUGUCACUGAUUAUGCUUGUGCUGUACUCAUCUGUGAUGACACCUAAUGUCGUCACUGAAUUAGGUUAUCUGUGACAAGAUUUUUGUUGUCACAUAAAUUUUUGUCACUGAAAAAUAUAUUUCUUGUAGUGAUAGGAUGACUUAAUGUAAAUGAAUUCUAAUUGAUACUUAGUUGUCUAAUCACACCUACCAUUACAAUUUAGCACACAUUUUUGUUAGGACAUGGUAAACAAAGGUACUUUAUACUAUAUGAAUUUCAAAAGUCAUACAAUUAUGUUUUUGAAAUGCUAAGUAAUAUGCUUUCUUUUCCUGGCAUACUGAUUGUUCUUUUCAUUUUCAAGGUUUAUGUGAAGAACAUCAUACUAUCUCUCUUAGUCAAGUAAUACAAUUCUUUCCCUUUCUUGAUACAAAUUUCCAAAAGCAUCUCUGAACCUAGCUUGGCCAAAAAAAGAAAAGAGAUCUUGUUAUUAACACUAUGAAAGUACAAUGAUACAAUGAUUGUGAAAGAAAGAAGAUUUUAACACUAGAAUAAUUAAUACAACUGCUCAAAGGAAAGAAAAAAAUAGAAAUAACUGAUAUUUCUUAUCUUAAAAUUGUACCCAUAAUCACACAAUAUAAAAUGAUAAAACAAACAAAAACCUAUAUACUAUUGUUUUGUUCUAUGGAAUUUAGACAGGAAAGAAAGUACCUUUAAUGAUUUCUUGUGAUGGUAGACAACAAUGGAAUUGAGAUGCUAGAUGAUAGGGUUUGUGGAUAAAGAUUUGUAGAGAAUGCAAGAUUGAAAAAAUUUUAAUGAGUUUCAAUGUUUGAGGGAUUUACUUUGAUACUUAUCAGUUAAGAUAAGGAGUAAAUCAGGGAAGGAAACCCCAUCAAUUAGGCAACAAAAUCUCAUCCACUUAGCAAACUGUGUUUUUAUUUUCAUUUUUUUUAGAAAAUGCCACUAAAACUUAUGAUCCAAUGACAUCUAUAUCUAUAUAAAUUUGAGAAGUGAUUUUUAGCAACAAACCUCCACACAUCUUCCCACUACCAAUUCUAUUUUUCUAGCAUUUCACAUUUAAUUUAAUUUAUAAAAUAUUCCUCUUAACUUUCACAUCUACUUUUCACAUUUGAAAUUGUUGGUUACUUUUUAAAAUCAUUUCAUUUCAAAUUGUUGGUUAAUGUGCAUGUUAUCCUAUUUGACCUUCAACCCAUCACGUUUUCGAUUGCCUUCCGUUAUUUAUGAUUCUACUCCAAUUAAAACUUCUAUAAGACCAUAACAAGAUAUAACAUCCUUUCAUACUUUCUUAUUAAUUUAAAUAAGUAAGAUUAUUUACAUUCCAUUUUUUGUUAUUCACACUUCAAUAAUCAUUUUGAUCAUAUAGUUUUCAUUAAUUAGACGGAAAAUGGAGUGCAAAUAACAGUUUCCUAAGUAAGAAGUGGCUUCCAUGCCUUUCUAAUUUAAAUAAAUAAGAAGUGGCUCCACUUAUAUAAGAAUUUGGUUUGAAAUUUAUUAGUGGGAAGGUAAAUAAAGAGAAAACAUUGCCAAACUUAGUAAAAGUAAAAAAGUAAAUGAUAAUAUUUUAUCUUUUAACUUAGUAAUCCUAAGUAAAAGAGCAAAAUUAAAUAGAAAACAAAAAGGAAAUAAUGUCGUGGAUUUAAAAAAUCAAGAAUGGUAUCAUUCAUGAAAUCUAAAUUAUGAAAUCACUAAAUAAAAAGCCCAAUCCUAGGAUUUAAUUACUCGAUUGCAUUAAUAAUUAGAAAAACCCAAUCCUAACCAACAAACACGCUACGAGGGUUUGUUUAAGUUAGAUCAUACGUUUCCCUAACAUGAAGCCAAUCACGCUAGUCGCCACUGGUAUUAAUCAAUUAAACAAUUACGGAUUCGAUCAAUUAAUUUGGCAUUAGUUCAUUAGAUUAAUUUGAAUAUCGGGCCCUUGACAUUUAAAUAACAUAACAAGCAUAAAUAAUUAAAUCAGAAAACGUACAAAUACCAACGAAUAAAAGAAACAAAUAAAAUUUAUUCGAUCUCACCGAUAUUUGGAACCGCGCCUUCAAGUUGACCUUCGACUAGAUGAGAAACUUAGCCACGCCUCAUGAGAAAAUCUCCAAGUAAUUUAAUUGAGGUCCAGGCCAUCAAAGGAGCCAAGAAAGAAAAGAAAACUAAAACUAUGCUAAAAGCUUCGAUAAGAACUAAUGAUAAAAAAACUAUUCAUUCCAGAUCUCUAUACGUCUGCUCCUUUUUAAAGCCAAAGAGGACUAAUGCCUCUCCUAGUGCGUGGAUCCCGCCGAAUUAAGAGUCAAAGCCCAAGAAGGGAACUCUGCCGAAUUGCUUCUUGCUUCCCAUCUCUGUACGUUACUUUCUUCUUAAGAGCCAACUGACUAAUGCCCUUUUCCUUUCCUCUGUGGUCCCUGCCGAAGUCAAAGGUCCAAGCCUUGAAAUUCUCUCUGCCGAAGUCUCUGGUUGUAGUCUUCUUAGUCAACAAAAAUAAAGGAAUAGGAGUCCAGUUCUUUUCAGCACUGUGGCCUGGCCUGUGGCUCGUUUGAAGUCUCAAUUAUUUCCAAAAAAACCCUCAGGUUUGGUAGUUUUCUGUUCCCUUUCUAAAAUUAAGUCCACAAACCAAAUAUAAGUAGAUAUCCGCAAUUAACACAAUAUUUGGCAGGGAUAAAAGGGAAAAUUACUAAUAAAAUUACUAACAAUUAGCACCCUAUCAAUUCCCCCCACACCUGAACCAUGCUUGCCCUCAAGCAUGAGAACAACAAUUGAGCACCGAAAUUUAAUAAUGGCUAUUGCUCCAACUACCGUAUUGCCAAGGUACCCAGAAAAACAUAUAUCAAGGUUCACAAGUUAAGAUCCAAGAAAAAUCACCUCAAUUAGCUUCCCAACCACCAACUCCUCCAAUUUAAAGCAAACUAAUCUAAAAAAAAGGAAUGGUUGCUCACAUUUAUCAGCAAAUGGUCCAACUACUAACCAAAAUCUCGACAUUAAGAUCACAAACCGGCAAGCUGACUUAUUCACAUACUAACACAAUCUUUAUUUUAUUUUAUUUUAUUUUUCUUUUUGUUUUGUUUUUGUUUCUUUUUCUUUUUUUCUUUUUUUUUUGAGUAACAAAAGACUUAGUCUAUAGCCCUUAGAGUCUUUUGACGCGAACUCCAACAUUUGACAGAUGGAGGAGCCCGGUUACUUAGCUCCAAUCGCUAUGCGACACGCACUUAUAGCAAUUAUUACCUUUUGACGCGAGAAUCGACACUUUAGGUGAAGAUCCCCGGUUGCUCAGUAGUAACCACUAGCGGAGUACAAUCAACUCUUAUUUAUAACCAUAUAGCACAAUAACUAAAAAUAACACAAAAAAUAACAGCAGCUAGCCUCAAAUUUCCAAACAUGGAGAACUAAAAUUAUUAAUUGGACCAAUUCACAUGAAAAAUGCCAACGAUCAUUCCCUAUGUCUAGAAAAAUUAACCAAAAAUUGAAAAAGUCAAGCAAUUAGCGAUAUUCACCAGAGAGAUGUUCAUGAACUCAACCACAUCAACUUGAUACCUUUUUAUUAAUAAACUUGGCAAUAACAGAAUUAGAGAUAACAAUCCAGCAUCAAACUUGGUAUUCAUAUGAAGACUGACCACUAGAAAGAAAAAAAGAAAAGAAAAUAAACGAAAAAGGAGAUAAAUAUCAAACUAAAACAAAGGAAAAGCCUUUAGAAACUAAAAACAAAAAUACUAGCACCCAAACUGAUCUCCCCCUCACACCUAAAUGACACAUUGUCCUCAAUGUGAUAAUCUAACAGCAAAAGGAAGGAGAAGGGCAACGGUACUUCCGUGAAGUCGUCAAAACAGGGGCGGGUCAGGCAGGAAUUGAAGAGCAAGACCCGCAUGGUGUACAAGUGCUGCCAAAUUCUGCUCCAGGUAAUGCAAGUUGACGCCAACGUGGGCCACUUGAGUCUCCAGUCUUGGUGGUUCCAAUGUUAGAUAAAAGCAGGGUCAAUGUAGCCCAGAAUCGCAGCAAGUGCUCCAAUGAACGAAGUAAUUGAAAUCUCUUGCCAGAAGACUCCCAAACACAGCAAUUAGACCCAAAUAGUGCCCAAUUGGACACAAUCAACAAAUUUCAGCAAUUAGACAUAACUAAAAUUAGCUAAUGACCCAAGAAAUGGGCAACGCCAGCAAUAGUAGUUCAAAAGUCGGACAAUAACUGAAUCACAAGGUUCGUUAUUUAGCAAUCAAACAGGCAGCCAACCAAAUAAAAUCCACAACUGUAGGCUGAAUGCUCCAAUCAACACCACUGGUGCACUCCACAAAAAAUAAAACAACUCAAACGGCCAACCCAAUCAACAACAUGUGCAAGUUAGCCACCCAAAGACUAGACAAAUAUCCCAACAACACAGCAAAUUGAAUGAAUAUGCACUGAGUCUCCAAUUCAGUCAAAAUAAGAUCAAGGGGCACGAUACAGAAACUAACAAAGCAGAAGUCAAGUGAUACCAACAGGGACCCCAACAGAGCAAUGAAUUCAACCAAUUGGAGCAAGUGAAACUCAACAAAUGUCACAAAUUGGACAUUCAAUUACCCACUUCAAGAUACCAAGCCUUAAGAAUUUUAAGAAUCCCAGCAAACAAGCAAUUCCAGCAACUACCGAUUAGAAUUCGAGAAAAUUUAAGAAUUGUAAGCAACACCGCAACCAGUAUCACUGGUGUAUACACAGGAAGGAAUUAAAUCAAACGGUCAACAAUUCAAUAAAUAUCUGAAAAUAUCCCCACAUAUGGUAGCAAUUAAACCCAAAUCUGUCCAAAAUUUACCCUAGAAAAUGUCCAAAUCAACACCCUCUUUUAUCCAUCAAGAAACCCAAACACAAAAGCUCAAAUUCCAGCAAUUUAAGGACCCGAAAAAUACUAAUCGAGGCAGAAAUUUCAAUACCUCCACCUGUCAGAACUUGACAGGUGGUGACGCGCGGCAAGGAGAUGGCGGACAGUAGCAGCAGGUUGCGCGAGGUGGAGCAGCUGCGUGAUGGUGAUGCGAGGAGAAAGAGAGUGCGAGAUUGCGGUAGGGAAAGCUAGCUGGCGACCAGCGUGAGAAGGAGAGCUGGUGGUGGUCAAAGGCGCUGGUGAGUGGAGGUGGCGGGUGGAGCUUGGAACGGAGGAGCUCAGCGAGCUGUGGGUGGACGGUCGUGGGCAGGGGAGCAGCGGCGGCCUUUGGAGCUGCUGAAGGUGGAGACGAGCUGGUAGUGCAGAGUUGGUGGUGAACAGCAGCGGUGGCAGCUGGGUUGCGCGCAAGGGGCUGCUGGACAGAGCAACGGGCAGCGGAUGGCGUGCGUCCGUAGCUUUGGGAGGCAGCGGCGGCAACUGGCACGAGCAUGGCUGGCAGGAAUGGCGGCGUGCACAGAGGAAAAAGAAAGAAAGAAAGGGCGAACAGGGCAGCGGCGAAGAAGAAAGAAAAGAGAAAGAAAGAAGAAGAAGAAAAAGAAAGAAAGAAAAGAAAGAAAGAAAGAAGAAGGAAAAAAAAAGAAAAAAAUAGUUUUUUUUUUUUGGGAAAUUUUUUUUUUAUUGCACACUCAAAUUUCAAAACUCGAAUUGUGAGAACCAAAACUGAAGGUGUAAAACGGAAAAUGUUUUUAUUUUGAAUUUUUUAUUUUUUAUUUUUUAGUUUUUGGGUCGUCAAACACCGCGUGGGCACGCCAAGAUUGAUAAACGUCCACUGACCUUAGGAGAUACAAACACCGCGUGGGCAUGCCAAGAUUGCACUUCCUGAUCACAGUAGAGGAAAAUAUUAAGACCGACUACCACCCAAAUGAGAAACGACAAAAUGAAAGUAAUGAACAACGAAAAACAAUAAAAUUAAUAUUUGGGUUGCCUCCCAAAAAGCGCAUUUCUUUUAUGUUUUUGGCUAGACAUUGCCAUAUUUAUUCACGGAGGAUAAAAUCUCGUGGCUUGUUUUAGUGUUUCAUCCUCUAUAUAGUCCUGAUAGCCCUCGUAAAUAGAGUAAUCCUUCAGCACACGAGCUACGAUCUUCCGUGAACUAGUAGAUGGCGCCAAAUAAUCAAGCAGUGAUCUCAAUUCUUCAUCCACUCCUCUAUCAAGAGCACUCAAUGGUUCAAGAUAUUUGACCAUAGCUACUCUUAACUUAUUUCUGCCAUGAGACUCAAAAACUUCCGGUAUAACAAAAUCAAUCUCAUUAACAGAAAUCAUGGAGUAAGAGUUAAGAAAAUGCGGGUUAGGGAAUGGAGGUGGUGUCAUCACAUUUGAUGAUUCUUCACUGGAUUCUUUCACUUGAAUGGGUUGCGGUUGGGGUUCCAUUUCUUCCUUUUCGGCUUCUUUUUCAACUGCAUCUGUAGAUUUCUCAUUUUGACACUCUUGCAUCUCCUCAUCACUAGUCAAGCAAAUUGCACUCUUGUUUUCUUCAAAAUCAACAAUGGUUUUCGAGGGCAAUUCUUCAAAUUGAGAAGCCAAUCGAUUUAUUCUGGAUGUCAAUAGACAUAUUUGAUCUUCCAGAUUACUCAUUGCAUCCUUCAUCAUCUCAUUUCUCAUUUGUGUCUCCUGUUGGAAUUGAUAUGUAUUAGUAGCUAUUGAUUCAACUAUUUCUUCAAGAGACAUACCUGACAUAGAUGAUGAUUCUUGAGACUCAUACUGCUGAAAAUUCAUUGGCCCUGUUGUAUAAUUAUAAUUGGAGUUAUCCUACCAUUCUUGAUCAUACCCGUUUGGAUUAGGGUUAUACCACGUUUGAGACCAGGGUGAAAAAUCUCUAUAAUUAUUGAGUGGGACACUCAGAUUAUCUUGAUAUUCGGGGCACAUACCGGUUGAAUGAUCCCUGGCAUAACAAAUUUUACAGGUUGCAGCAGCCAUUCUUUCUCUAAUAGAGUUUAGUGCCUCUGAAUAUGCAAACUUAGCAAAAAAACAAGUCUCAUUGCCUUCCCAGGAAACAAAAUCCAAUCUAUCACCAAAAUACGGAGUGUUAGAAGCCAUAAACUAUAUAUAAAAAAAUAAUAGAAAAAUAAAUAAAAAAAUAAAAACAAGAUGAACUCAAAAAGAAAUAAAUUAAUCUGGCACCAGUCCCCAACAACAGCGCCAAAAAUUGACAGGGUGUCGAACCUGUGCAAUAAUAAUUACCUACUCAAGAAAAUUACAAAUUUUGUAUAUAGCGGUGAGUAGGGUCGAAUCCACAGGAACUGGGGAUAAUUCGUUUCUUUUAAAGUCCAAAGUAUGGGGGGUCGAAUCCACAGGGAUUGGGGAUAAUUUAUUUCUUUUAGAGUCCGAAGUAUGGGGGCUUUUUUUGGAGAAUAUAAAAUAACUAAUUAACUAACCAAUAAAACAACUAGUAGAAAUAAAUAGAAAUUAAUCAAUAACCAAUAUGACUCUAGCCAAAGGUGCAACUUUUUAGACACCGUCCAUUCAACUGAUCAUUGAUGCAAAGAUAAUUCGAUUACUCAUUACCAGAUUGGUUAUAGUUGUCAUACACGCGAUGAACAACCAGCCUUUUCUUAAUUUCUCGAUAGUUAAGGUACGACCGUUAACUAUUUCUCUAACCAAGAAAUAACCCUAGGUACGACCAUAGGAUUUAAUUACUCGAUUGCAUUAAUAAUUAGAAAAACUCAAUCCUAACCAACAAACACGCUACGAGAGUUUGUUUAAGUUAGAUCAUACGUUUCCCUAACAUGAAACCAAUCACGCUAGUCGCCACUGGUAUUAAUCAAUUAAACAAUUACGGAUUCGAUCAAUUAAUUUGGCAUUAGUUCAUUAGGUUAAUUUGAAUAUCGGGCCCUUGACAUUUAAAUAACAUAACAAGCAUAAAUAAUUAAAUCAGAAAACGUACAAAUACCAACGAAUAAAAGAAACAAAUAAAAUUUAUUCGAUCUCACAGAUAUUUGGAACCGCGCCUUCAAGUUGACCUUUGACUAGAUGAGAAACUUAGCCACGCCUCAUGAGAAAAUCUCCAAGUAAUUUAAUUGAGGUCCAGGCCAUUAAAGGAGCCAAGAAAGAAAAGAAAACUAAAACUAUGCUAAAAGCUUCGAUAAGAACUAAUGAUAAAAAAACUAUUCAUUCCAGAUCUCUAUACGUCUGCUCCUUUUUAAAGCCAAAGAGGACUAAUGCCUCUCCUAGUGCGUGGAUCCCGCCGAAUUAAGAGUCAAAGUCCAAGAAGGGAACUCUGCCGAAUUGCUUCUUGUUUCCCAUCUCUGUACGUUACUUUCUUCUUAAGAGCCAACUAACUAAUGCCCUUUUCCUUUCCUCUGUGGUCCCUGCCGAAGUCAAAGGUCCAAGCCUUGAAAUUCUCUCUGCCGAAGUCUCUGGUUGUAGUCUUCUUAGUCAACAAAAAUAAAGGAAUAGGAGUCCAGUUCUUUUCAGCACUGUGGCCUGGCCUGUGGCUCGUUUGAAGUCUCAAUUAUUUCCAAAAAGACCCUCAGGUUUGAUAGUUUUUUGUUCCCUUUCUGAAAUUAAGUCCACAAACCAAAUAUAAGUAAAUAUCCGCAAUUAACACAAUAUUUGGCAGGGAUAAAAGGGAAAAUUACUAAUAAAAUUACUAACAAUUAGCACCCUAUCAACUAGCUAGCGGAUAAUAGAAGAGGAAAAUGAUGAUGAUUUUUAAUAAUUUUGAGAACUCUAAAAACAUAUAUUAUAGAGAUUUUUUUUUCAAUUUACGUUAAAGUUUAUGAAAAAUGCUAAUCUAAAUGCAGCCAACAAUUUUAGCGGUACACGAUAUGAUAGGAGAAAGAUUUUUUUUUUCUAAAAAUGGAAGAAAAUAAAUUGGUUAUAAUUUGUUUUUUAUAUUAUAAAUUUUGAUAUAUGGGUAUAACAUAAUAUAUUUUGUCACCUACCUAAAGCAUGAUAUUAUGUCCUUUAUAUCAGAUAUGCAACUAGAGCCCUCCGAGGAUAGAAUAUGUACAAGUGAUUGUAUGCGCUAUAUCCAAUCCACCAUGAUGGCCCACUUAUUUUAUUUUAUUUUUUUGUAAUUCACCAAAAAUUAAUUAAACUUUUACAUUGCCUGAAAAGAACUAAAAGAGCCAAUACUUAUAUGGCUUGCAGUAGUAGGUUAUGUAUAUAGUAAUUAAUCUAGCAUGCCUUUUGUUUUAACAAAGGAAUUAUUUCAUUGAUGAGCAGGUACUGUCUUGAAUGAAAAUCAGUACCUGACUUCCAUUCCUUAAAACUUUAUGUUUGUGACCCUGCUAAAAAGGUAUUUUCUCAUUGCCAUUGCAUUAACUACAGGGAAAACCUCUGGAAGUGGCAGUUUCAGCAAAUUACCAGAUUCAAAAUUUCAAAUAUAUAAUGCCAGAGCUCAAGUGAACGGCCAUGGUAGCAGUUUCAGCAAACUACCAGAUUCAAAGUUUCAAAUAUAUAAUAGAAAAUCACAAGUGAACGGCCAUGGUAGCAGCUUCAGCCAACUACCAGAUUCAAAGUUUCAAAUAUAUAAUAGAAAAUCACAAGUGAACGGCCAUGGUUUCAGCUUCAGCAAAUUACCAGAUUCAAAAUUUCAAAUUUAUAAUAGAAAAUCUCAAUUGAACAGCCAUGGUAUCAGUUUCAGCAACCUACCAGACUCAAAAUUUCAAAUUUAUAACAGGAAAUCUCAGGUGAAUAGCCAUGGUACAAAUCCAACUAAAGAUCAACUCUACAAUGACAAAAACAUUACAAUAUUCUUCCUUGGAAAGGAUUUGCACCGCGGCUCAAGCAUGAAUCUGGAGUUUGUUGAGUCGCUAAAGAUUACUACACUAUUCCUGCCAAGACAAGUUGCUGAUUCCAUUCCCUUUUCCUCCAAAUCUGUUCCUGAGAUAUUGAACAAAUUCUCACUGAAGCCACAAUCAGAAGAAGCCGAAACUAUUAAGAAAACAAUUGCAGAGUGCGAGAUGCCUGGAACAAAAGGGGAAGACAAGUACUGUGCGACUUCACUCGAGUCAAUGAUUGAUUUCACUACUUCCAAGCUGGGGAAAGAUGUUCGAGCAGUUUCAACUGAAGCAGAAAAAAUAGAUACCAAAAUCCGAAAAUAUACUAUUAAGGAUGUUGCCAAGUUGAACACGGCUGAUAAAGUCGUUUCUUGCCAUAAGGAAAAGUAUCCGUACGCAGUAUUUUACUGCCACACAUCGCAGAGUAAUGCAUAUAUGACCAAUUUGGCUGCUGCUGAAGAUGAAGCUAAAGCUAAAGCUGUGGCUGUUUGCCACAAGGAUACAUCACAAUGGGACUCAGAGCAUUUGGCCUUUCAGUUGCUAAAGGUGAAGCCAGGAACUGCUCCAAUCUGCCAUUUCCUUCCUGAGGAUCACAUCAUUUGGGUUCCAAAGUAAUAAAUAUUCUGCAACAAUAUUGCCGGCAUCCCCUGUCCGGGAGUGUAUCAAUAUUUGUCAAUUUAACAUGGCAUUUAUAUUUGCUGCAGUGUGGGAGUUCCAAUCACAUGCUCCUUUUUUUGUUUUUUUGGUUGUUUCAGUCGCAUGUUCUUCCCAUGAUUAAAUGAAACCUUGUUUAGUUUCGUCUCUAAUGGUUGUACUAUGUCGAUGUAAUAUCACCCAGAUGGAAUGGUGUCUGGGUAAGUAUUAUUAAUGGUUCAAUUGUCUGUGGGCUGUUUUUCAAUGUGUUUGUGGGUUGUUUCUAGAUGUGCUACUUUAGUUUUAGACUGUUUAAUAAAAAUUGUUUUUCUAAAACACCUCAAAAAUAGGAUUGUCUACCGGUAUGCUCGAAUUGGGCAUGGGGCCUCACAAAUUCCAUUUUAAACCAGUUUGCCUUUAGAGUAUGAACAAAUUGGAAAAGAGUGUAAGACAAAUUUAAAAUGACCAUUUUUUAAGGUCAAAUAUACUCUCAUGUCUUCUUAAUUUUCGGUGUUUAUAUACUCUUUUUUUUUUCUUUUCGUGGUGAUAAAAUGGUCACAGCUAUAGCAGGUCACCUUAUCGUGGGUGAGACGAGGUAAAUUAUGCUAAUAAGUUCUUUUCAUGAUUUGAAUGUCUUUCUCUUGGAUUCUAUGAUACCUAAUGUAGAACAGGUUGCGCAAGGUUUCAUGGACAAAAUGGAGCGUGCAAAGAAUCACAAGACAAGGCCAGGAGGGACAAACUUCUGAGCAUGUCCGGCGCCAAACUUCGUGGAAAUCAACUUGCAAGGGUGAUUGGUGUGCCAUGACCAGCGCUGGUCGUCAUCGGCAACUUUAUUUUUAUUUUUCUUUUCUUUCUCUUUUUUUUUAAUGUAAUUUCAUUUUUUUUUCAAUUUAGAACUUCUAAUUUAUAUGUAGGGUCGUACUAGGUUAUUUGAUGCUGUUAUUUUGAAUAAAUUAUUUAGCACUUUUGCUUUUAUAAUCAAUGAUUAACUAGCCAUUAAUUGUGAUAAUUUCAAGGUGUUAAAUUUGCAAUGAGAAUUGAAAUUUAAUACUAGUUCAAAAAAGUGUUAUACUUAGGGAAUACACUCACGGGAGUAGGGGCACACUUUUGUGAUUUUGAUGGUUUGUUCCAUGUAAUUUUAUAGAAGAAAGGAGAUUGUAAUUAAUUUCAUAACACAAGAGUAGAUAUGGAUUAACUACAAGUAUAGUUGAUUUACUAUGAGAGUAGAUUUCACAUGUAUUAGGAAAUUAUGCCAUAACUAGUCAAGAUAAUAAUAUUCAAUUAAUUGAUAAUUUCACUUGUAAGAAAAGUAAAGAAUUCUACAACCCUAAGAGCUUUCUAUUGUCAUUUUUGUGACUGUUAUUUUAUGUUUGUAGUGUAGAUUUAAUUUUCUUGUAUUUGUGAUAGUCUAAAUAAUAAAAAAUUUAAAAAUUAUUGGUAAUUCACAAUCUUCCCUAUGAAAUCGACAUUUAAUAUCCUCUAUAUUCGAUAAACGAUAUGUAUACUUAUAGAAAAUAAAGUGUUUAGCUUUUAUUAAAAUUUAGUAUAUGGUAGAACCUCACUAAGUUUUUGACACCGUUGUCGGGAAAGCUUUGGUUCAAUAUCGGUACUAAGAACAAUUUUAUUAGUUUAGAUAUUUUUACUUGUUUUUCUUGUAUUUAUUGUGUCAAGUUUUUUGUUUGUUGUACUUAGUGUCUUGUUGAGUCUUUUAUUUUGUGUUUAAUGUCUUGUUUUUGUUUGUGUCUUUUAAAUUAUUCUUCUUGACUAAUUUUGCUUUUUAGAUUGCUUGAAAGCACUUUUAGGUUCUAAGGAGGAUUGUUUAGUAAACAAACGUAGAUAAAAUUUUGAAAGAAAAAAAGUUCAGAAAUGUACUACAAUUUUCAAAAUUACAACUAUGGAUGUAAUCAAAAGAUAUCCGAAGAUAUGCCUUUUAAAGAUGGUUUAAGUAACUUAAAGGUUAUCAAGAUUAAUUAAAAUUUUAAAAUUUUAUAAAAAAUCUUUUAUGUGUUUAUGAAUUAGACUUUUAAAUUAUGAAUAAAAUUGUAACUAAUGCAUGAUAGUUUCUUUUCCUUUCCUUUCUUAAUCCAUACAAAAUGAAUGGAUUUUGAUUUUCUCCACUCUCCUUUUCUUUUGUACUAGAAUUCUCUCCUUUACUUUCCUCCCCUCCCCUUUCCUUCAAUCCAAACAGAGCCUUAAGGCUUUGUCAAAUUGGCUAGUAUACCGUGAAGACGCAGACAUUCCAAAUGUCUACAUCUAUUGGCCCAAAUCACAUGUGGUCUCCAAUUUGUAUCUUAGGUGAGGAAAGAAUAAUCUCUUGUCUAUUUGUCCCCUCUAUUAUUUUAUUGUUUAUGGUUUCAAUUAUGGCUGUACUUCGGGGAAUACUUACUGUCAGUGUUUUUUUAAUUUGGAGCUGAUUGAAUAGUUCAACCGGUUUGAUCGAGAAUGAGGUCAUUAUUCAAUCCGAGUUAUUCACAUAAAUCGAGCAAUUAUUGGUCUAGUAAAAGAUUCAGUAUGAUGGGGAAAUCAGGUUCUUCAAUAUUCUUUCAUACUUCUUUGUAUCUUCAUAAUUUAUAUACAUGUUUAUAAUAUCAUGAUAACUUCAUUCACUUUUCAUUUCUUUUUUAAUUACGAUACAAUCAAUCAAACCUCUCAAACCCUAAACACCCCCGGCCCCGCGCGGGAAAAAAAAAUUUGUGGUGUGCUUUUUAGUAUCUUAUUCGGACUCAGUUAUAGAGUCCCAUUGACAUAGCUACUCUAGUGCAAAAUGAAGGCGUCGGACAUGAGCACGGCGGGGCAAAGUGAAGAGCCUGAGUAACAUAGGUUGCAGCUGGUUCCAUCGACUUAAUAUAACGAACUUCAAGAUUGAAUGGGACUCUUUGCUCGUUGUUUACUUCUCAAUGAUAAGCUUGACAAGAAUUUCAUGGGUUCACGAUCAUCUUGUAGUAUUCAUGUCGGGAACCACUUCUGAAGCGUUUUGUUUUUGUUAGUUCGGUGGUAAGUUUCGUUAAUACGAGGUAAGUCAACUUUCUGCAAAAAGAUAAAAGUUCACCUGAAAAAAACACAGAUACACUUGCCAGUAUGAAUUUAGCACAACCUGACUGGUACUUACAUGAUCUGAAAACCGGUAGGUGAGUUCAGGGUUGGUCUGGAAGAGUUGAUGUAUUUGACGUAGAUUCAUCAGAAGUUUGAUAUGUUGAUGAUCGUACACAACGUAAAAUAGUAGAUAUACAGAUCAACUACAUACAACCAAUAUUUUGAAAAUUGGAUUGGAUCGGUUGGUUCGAUCGAUUGAACUGCAAACCGAUCAUGUCUCCGGUCCGAUUUACUUAAAAAUUCAAAGAAUUAAUUGAACCGGUCAAAACCGGGGAGGUUUAACCGAUUUUAUUAAGUAUUUAUUUUUUAAAAUAAAUAUUUUAGUUUUAUUCAAAAUGUUUAAUACUAAAAUGAAUAAAAAAUUAUUAAACCUUUAAACCGAAAUCGAACCGAUUGAACCGUAAAUCGAAAGAUUUUUCGUUUCACUCCUCUGUCCGGGUUUAAAAACAUUGCAUACAACUGAACCAAUAAAAAUACUCGAUUCCCCUAGUACCUUUACAUUUGGAGAAUAUUACACUGACAUAAUUGAUAAUUAAUACAACCAGAAGAAACGAGACUAAACAAGGAUUUAUUCAAUUAUGGGAAGAUAAUUAAUAGAAGUCCCAGGCUGCAGAAGACCACACACAAAACAUCAAAGCGACAAAUAUUGAUCACUCGUGCGAUAUCAACAAGCUGCUGCUGCGGAAUAUUUAGUGCUUUGGAACCCACACAAUGUGAUCCCCGGGAAGGAAAUGGCAGAUUGGAACAGUUCCAGGCUUCACCUUGAGCAGUUGAAAAGCCAAAUGCCUGGGGUCCCAUGAAGACGUGUCCUUGUGACAAACAACCACAGCCUUGACUUUUGCUCCAUCAGAACCAACCAAGUUAACCAUAUAAGCAUCGAUGUUCUGGAAGCUGUGGCAGUAAAAAACCUGCGUAGACAUAGUUUUGCUUGUGACAUGCAACCAAUUCAUCAUCAACGAUUGCUUUAUCAUUGUUCAGCUUGGAAACAUCCACAAUACCAUAUUUUUGGAUUUUUCCUGCAUUUUUUGGUGCUUCAUUUGAAAAUGCUAGAAUAUUUUUGCCGAGCUUUGAAGUAGUGAAAUCGACCAUCGACUCGAGAGAUGUCGCACAGUACUUAUCUUCCCCUUCAAUUGCAGGCUCCUCGCAUUCUGCUAUGGUUUUCUUGAUAGCUUCGGCUUGUGCUGAAUGUGGGUUCACUGAGAAUUUAUUCAAAAUUUCAGGAACAGAUUUGGAUGAGAAGGGAGUGGAAUCAGCCACCUGGCGGGGUAAGAAGGCCGGAGUAUCAUUCACUGAUUCAAUAAACUGCAUAUUCACGCUUGAGCCGCGAUGGAGGUCCUUUUUCAAGAAGAAAGCUGUUACUUUUUGGUGAUAAUGGAGUUGGUCUUCGGUAGGACUAUAAUGCGCAAUGUAUUUAUAUAUUUUCAACGGGAUUCUGUCUGGUCUUACGCUGAAACUGCCAACUCCCGGGGGCUUUCCUGUAGUUAAUUGAUGAGCAACAAGGUGAAAUACCAAAUAUUUGAGGGACCAAAUUUAACAUAUUUAAACUAAUAGUAAUAUCCAACAUAGAAAAGCUUCACAGUUUUGUGGGGUAAGAGUUUAAAUUUAUAGAAAAUAUAUCUAAAUUUUUUUACAGCUUAGACCCUCUUGCUGAACCUCUAAUUGUAGCGAAUAUUGGGAACGGUUGUGAGUUGUGACACUUUCUUUGGGUUUGAUAACUGGGAUUCUGCUGGACCACUAUAUUUGUAUGAUCUUGUGAACUAAAUGUAGUGUACAUGAUUAUGUAAAAUUCAAGAUAUUUUACUCAUUUUGUCGGUAAAAGCUUUUACACAGUGCAUGAAUAUGAAAUAAUUAUAAAACAUUUAGCCAAAUCCCUUUUUUUAGGGCAAAUUCCACUUUAUCUCCCUGUAGUUUAACAUUUUCACAUAACCCUCUUAUGGUUUGGAUUAAAAUAUCAAAGUGACGGGAAUGAUCAUUCUCAACGGAGUCACCUAAAAUGUCAAAAAUACUCUUAUGUAAAGUUGAAAAUUAUUUAUUAACCAAGGGGGGUUAUGUGUAUAUUUUAAAAACCAUAUGAAUGUUAUAUGGUAAAAUAUUAAACCGUAAGGGGGUUACAUGGUAAAAUAUAAAAAUCAUACGGGGUUCAUGUGUCAUGUAUUUAUAAGGGUAAUUUUGACAUUUUUAGAUUCCGUUACGAAUGACUAUUUCCGUCACUUUGACACUUUAAUUCAAACCAUGAGAGAGUUAUGCAUACCUUUUAAAACCAUAGGAGAGUUAUGUAAAAAAAACGCUAAACCAUAGGAGAGUAAAAUGUAAUUUGCCCUUUUUUUAUAAUUAAAUAUUAGAUUUUUCUAACAGAUACCUAAUCAGCACUCCAUUUAUUAUGCUAACAAUUAUUAUACUCUUUUACAUUUAAACCCAUCCCUACACUUAACUUUAUUUUUUAAAAAAGUUAAGAGAUUAACUCAAUCUUAAUGAAUGUCCACUCUCGUUGGACAAACCCUUAACUCUUUUACCCAUUUCAUUAUUGGUCCUUGAAUGGGACAAUUGAAAUAUAAAGACCAGAUUUAUUGUGUUUGUGAGCAUAAUUUUGUGAUUUUUUUUUGGUUUUCCCUUUAGUGAAACUAGAAAUUUGUGGUGUAAAUUUUCUCAAAAUUCUUUAGCUUUUGAAAUUGGUUUAGUAUCUAUUAAAACCCUUGAAAUCUUGGGGAAACAAACAGGAAAUUGGGCGAGCAAUAGAAGAAGCGGAAUAAAUAAUAAAGAUUGGAAAGGAGCAGUUCUCGGACAAACCAUUGCGUACGAUAUCUCUGAGAGCUUUGGGCAUCGGACUGUUUGGAAGCUUGGAUUUCCAAUAAACUUCGAGAUCUGCAUGCUUUGCUCCAACUCCUGUCUGGUAUAAAUUUCACGAUACCCAAAAACAAUAUAUCAGCAAUUAAGUUUCCAGGCAGCCCAAAAUUAUCACGAAGUUAAAAAUUGAUAGCCUGUAACUUUGAAAUAUAUAUACACACACACUCACAGAAACAAGUGUGAGAAAGUAGAGGAGCUUGAGCAAGUCCAUAAUACUUAUGCCACAGUAGAAUUCGGCUAUGUAAGGCUGAGUGAAGAGAUACUAAAACCAAAAUGUUGAUGUGAGAUAGCUCAAGAACCUUGGCAGCAGUAUUUAUACAAGUGCAAGAGCCACAGUGGCUUGCUAAAUAUUUGAGAGGGGAAAAGUUGUGACAUGAUUAAUGCUGCACAGUUGAGCAUUUAAGGGUUUGUUUGUUUCGAUUGAAAAAUUUUUUAAGAAAAUGUUUCCUCAAUUUGUGCUUUUUAGCUCAUUUUAAACCCCAGAAAAUGAUAUCUCCUGGUAAAAUGUUUUGCAUGAGUGUGCGUAAAUAAUUCCAGUUACAAACUUACUGAAGUUAUUUUCCACCCUCGUAUCUCGUCUCUUUUGGCUUUAGUUACCUUUAUCAACACAAGAAGUCAAAGGCUUAUUGGAAAUUGUACAGUGGCCUGAUUCACCAACAUCAGUCGGCAAUUCUGUAUACCAAUAACAAUGUCCAGCCUUUGCUUUGGAAAUUUCAAUCCACGAUGAAAUCUUUUAGAUCUUUAAAAGAAUUUUGAUAGUAAAAUAUUCUUGCGAGUCUUGACUUUAUUGCAUUAUCAUCCUCAAUUUCUUGUGGCAGAUAAUGGCUAAUUUGGAAAACUAAUAUUGAUCAUUCAUGUGGCUAUUGCUGUAUUCUCUUCUUGGUCGGAGAACAAUAGCGCGAGUGGUGUAGGUGGUGGAGGACUGGACAGGAGUGGUUGAUAUGUUGACGAACUGAAUUAAUUAUUCAUCAGGACGGGUAUUUUCUAGAAGUAACCAAACACAUGAAAAUUAGAAAUAAAAGAAGAAAAAUUUUUCCAAAAGAUGACUUCCAAUGAAAUUAGUUUCCCAGAGAAAAUAAUUUAUAUGGUACCGAAUAGAUCCUUAGUCACUGUACCUUUCAAUUUUCAUGAUAUGCAACAAUGGAGUAUUUUCAUAAUAGUCAUCAUCGUGCCUACAUCAGUUGAAAAGCUUUGCUGAUAUGAUCUCAUAAAUGAAUGAUUGGCAGAAGAUAUUAUGCAACAUUCUAAAAAGUUGAUUAAAAAACAUAUUAUUUUUUUAUUUCUAACUUUUUUUCUAUGCCAAGUUUAACCAAACAGAGCAUAAGUGCAUCCACAUAAUAUGGGACCUGUUUGGCACCUAGGUUUUUAAAGUAGUUUUUUCUCUACAAAUUUUUAAAAAAUUUUAGAUAUAUAGGAACCUUAAAAAACUUUUCAAAGUUUUUAAAAAAUAUAGCUCAAAAUAACUAAACACAGACAAAAAAAAUUUUUCCCUUCUUUUCUUUCUUUUUCUUCCUCUUCACACCUAGACCCAUCACCAUCUCUGCCAUUGGCCCGUGCUGACAGGCACCUCCAUCACCGCUAGGGCCUCUAUCUCUCUCCCUCUCUUCUUCUUUCUUUCUUUCUUUCUUUCCUUUCUCUCUAUCUCACUCCCUUUGCCUCCUCUCUUCUCCUCCUUUCCGCUACCAUCCCCUUCACCAGACCCCUCCCCUCCCCUCCCCUUGAAGGGAGAGGGGGUGGUAGGUGAAGGAAGGGAAGGAGGAGGAGGAAAGAGGGAGAAAGAAAGGGAGGGAGAGAGAGGAAGAAGGAGAAGAGAAAAAAAAAGGAGGUGGGGAUGGAGUUGGAUGGUGCCAACGGUGGAGGGAGUGGAGUGGUGGUAGUAGUUGACAGUGGAGGGAGUAGAGUGGUGGUAGUGGGGAGGAAGGGAGGAGGGAAGAGGAAGGAGGGAGAAUUUUGAGGGGAGCCGGGGAGAAAGAAAAGGAAAAGAAAAAAAAAAAGAAAGUUUUUUUACACAUUUCUUAAAUACCUAACUAUACAAAAGUUUUUUUCACAAAUUUUACAGUAAGUUACAAUAAAAUUUUAUACAAACAAUAAAAAAACUCACCAUUUAAAUGGGGUUUGGAUAAUCAGAAAACCCUUCUUCUCAUAUUAGGGUCACAAAGUUCAAGUCAUUUCCAUGAUUUCAAUGUGUUUCUCUUGGAUUCUAUCUCUCACAAAUAUUAAUUGCUCCGUUGGUUUUGUGCUUGAUGUUCAUUUGGGGUAUAAGUUGGGCGAAUAAAAGUAUAAUUAGAAGGUGAAUAUAGGAACAGAUAUCUGUUACAAGGUUGCAGAAACCGUCAGAAGGACCCUGCAGAUGAUUAUCUUGCAAAAAAAAAAAAAAGUAGCCCCUAUGGGAUAUCUCUUAUAAUUUCAAGAUGUGAUGAUAAGGUUAGACCAAUGGGCAUUAGCACACUGAUCAUUUGGACUUAUGUUGGGAGCAUUGUUUAAGGUUUCUAUCAAUUGAUUAUGAUACGUGAAGACUAGACACUUCAAAUCACAAGAGCAACGGUUAAUUCCAAUUUUCACUCUUCAACUAUAUUUGUAUUUUCACUUUAAUUUCUAAAUUUUAAAGUGGAAUACUUUAUUCCUUAAAAAAUAAAAUUUGUGUGCUUAAGUAAAAUGGUUGACGGAAAUAGGACACAUUUUAUAUUUAAGUGAGAUACAUAUGUUUUAAGAACUGAAGUAGAACAAAUUUUAUUCAUAAGUAGGAUACUUCUUUUAUAUAUAUAUAUAUAGAGAGAGAGAGAGAGAGAGAACUAAAGUGUGACAAAUUUCACUUAAAUUCAAUAGAUUUUAUAUUUUAGAUAUAAAAGUGUCUCAUUUUCAAAUUUAGGUAUCAAACUAGGGAUUCAACUAUAGUUAAACGGUGCAACAUAGAAUUGACUCCAAGAGGAAUUUUUAGGCAUCAGGAAAGAGGAAUCUUUUAUAAGUCAGUCCCCUCCUUAUUGGUGGCUUUAAUUGGCCCAUAAUGCAUUUAACAUCAUGGCUAAUACGGACGAAUGGUGGCGGCCGGGGUUGGCAUUUGGUGGGAUAGUUGAUAGUGCCACUGGCGUGCUUCAAUUUGCCGCCGUGACGAUGCCAUCUCAGCCACCCUACCCUAAAAGAAAAGGAAAUGAAAAUAGCUAAAAAAAAAUAAUAGAUGUCUAAUGAGUAAUAACAAAUUGUAUUGCUGACGAGACCUUGGUCUAAUAAUUAAGUUGAGAUCCUCCUUUUUCUUUCAUAUUUCUUAGAUCCCAUUCAUCUCCGGCUAAAAUAUUUUGAGGAAAAAGAAAAGCAAAUUGUGUUUUUUGUGUAGUUGAAUUGAACAAAAAACUAAAUAGCUUAGCUCGAUAUACUCGCAAAAAGAAGUGAGGAGACUUUUUGAAACUACGGAAAAAUUAUGUUGCAAAAAUAGACUUUUUUUUUAAUAUUUUACUGUUGAAAAGAAAUUUACUUUCUUCUUUUUCUUUUCUUCUUUUUCCUCUGUUCUCGAGGAGGUAGUGUUAAAUUAAACCAGCAUCGCAUCAAGUCAGUUUCAGCAAUCAAUAGCACUUAAAUGGUCCCAUGAUUGGGCGUGUCAAUUGAGAAGUUUGAGCAAGACUUUGACAAGCCAAGCUCAACUCACAAUAAAAAUAAUGUGUGUUUGGAUAGCAAUUCUUUUUAUCAAAUACUAUUUUACUUGCAUAACAAUUAUAAUUUUCAAUCAACAUUGUAUGUUCCUAAUAAUUUUUUUUUAUCUUACAUACAUCACAUCAUAAAAAAUGUUAUAGUAAUUAUUUCAAAUAAUCUCCUAUCCAAACACAUUCAUCAUAAUUUUAUUAAAAUUUGCACUAAUGACAGAAGUUACAUCAUCAAUCAUACACCAACAUUAAAGAACGGCUCUAAGAAGUACGGAGACUACAUAUUUGAAGAAUAAAUAAAAAUUAAAAUAAAAUAAUUAUAACUUUAAGAACAUUUGUGCAUGCUUCCAAUCCAAAUGAAGAUGCUUUAAUCUAGUGUAAAUUUUGCUGCAAGGUUGGGAAAAUGAAAUAAAAUGUUCAAUUUGGAAUGAAACACACAUACAAUUAUCACUAUGUAGAUUCCAUAUUAACUUGGCCUAAUAAUAGAGUAGGUAAAAGCUCGCCCGUUAGAAGAUUUCUGUUAUUAUGGUAGAUUAACUUGCAUAAGAAAGAAAAAGUUUAUAUAAGAACAUGGAUACAGAAUGCCAAGGAGGCCUUGGUCUAGUGGUUAAAAUUGAAACUCUAGAAAUUAAAGAUUUUGGGUUUAAAUUCCUCUACCCCUCGCGCUUCUUAAGUCGUAUCUCUCCCCUGAUGAUGAAAAUGUUUUUUUAAAAACAUGGAUACAGGUAGAGGUCAGGUUCGGUCCAGAAGGUUGAUAUAUGUGUUGUAGAUUCAUCCAAAAGUUUGGUAUAUUUUGUUAUAGGAUCUACUUUGCAAUUAUCAUACAACGUAAAAUAGUACACAUAAUUUGUACAUCAACCAUCAAUAAUACUCAUCGAGUACCUUUACGUUUGAGGAAAUAUUACACCGACAUAAUUGAUACUACCAUUGGCAGAGAAGAGGCUAAGCAAGAAUUACUUAUUUAUGGGCAGAUAAUCAGUCGCACUCCCAAGCCAAGUUGAUAUUAUCUACUUAGAGGGGGAUUAUAAGUUCAAAUGGUUUUAAAUUUGAUAUUGUCUACUAGUUUAAAAAGGUUUAAGUCAUAAUUGAGUAUUGUUGAACUGUCAUACUAACAGCUUAGAACCAAUUUGGACCCCUGAAGGGAUAUAAAAUUUCUCUCUGAGUUGUAACUUGUAAGUCGAAGGUCUUGAUACCUUUGAAUUUAAAAAACUUAGUGUGUGCCACUACACCCUUCUAAUCUAAACGGACCUUCCCUCUAGCCCCAUAUAUAACACAGGUGUGUGUGUGUGUGUGUUGGGGAGGGGGGGGGGGUGUAAUAUUUGUGUUGCCAAUUAUUAAAGAGCAAACAAAAACCUUACCAGCAUUUUGGUCCUAUUGGAGGGCCACAUCUAAUGUGAGAUUGUCCUUUAGCAUAGGUCCAUAUUACAAUUUACAAGUAUCCAUGACUUGAUGUCAAGAGGGUUGAAUUAAAACUAAUUUCUUGUACACCAAACAAAUUAUCAAAAAAACCUCAGGGGAAACGCCAUUAGAUUAAAAUUUUAUAACUAAUUUAUUAUAAUACCCCCGCCCCCUACCCCAUUAGCCCCGCAGGCAUCCGCCUCCAUUGUCAUCCUUAAGUGCCACUGGGUUAUUAUGGUAACAUUUUAGCAUUCCAUUAUAUCAGGAAUACGUGUCAUGACAAGGUGCCACUACAUCAUUAUUUUAUGAUACUUGCAAAUGCCAUCAAUUUGAGUUUCGAUACAACUUUAAAUGCCACUAUAUUAAAACUUUCCUGUCACUUUGAAAUGCCACUAAAAAAUUAAGAAAAGUAAAAAAAAAAAUUUGAAAUUAAAAAUCAAAUUACCCUUAUUGAUCCUGGUAAUUAAUUACAACUCAGGAAAAUGAAAGUUUCUCCAUAAAAAGAAGUCACAACUAACUAAUAAAUCUAGUAAGAAAUUAUAUGACAACAAUCUAUACAAAUUUAUACAUUUUACAACCGAAACAUGUCUAAAGACAUUAAUCUUUUAAGCUAAUAACUUGAAUAAGAUCAUGUCUUCUUUGCUUCAUUAAUUCUCUCAGAUGCUAUCUAAUCUACAUUUAAACAAUACAAUGAAUAUUGUCUCUUCUCAAGGAUUAGUAAGUAAAAAUAUUAACUUAAGAUAUUAGCAAUAGUAGCUUUUAUACUCUAUUUUUUUUUUGGUGGUAACAAAAUGGUUGCAGCAAGUCACCCUAUCAUGGGCGAGAUGAGGUACCUUGUGCUAACCGAGGGAGUGUUUUUAGAUUGGUUGUGGAGGAGGGAGAUGAACAAUUCUAUAUAUCAACAAUAAUGUCCAGCAUUUGCUUUGGAUGAGAUCUUUUAAAUCUUUAAAAUAAUUUUGGCAGCAAAAUAUUCUUGUGAGACUUGGUUUUUGCAUCGUCAUCUACAAUUUCUUAUGACUGAUUAUGGUUGAUUUGGAAAGCUAAUAUUGAUCAUGUCGCUAUGGUUUUAUUCUUUUCUCGGUCGGAAAAUGAUAGCUGGGUGGGAGAGGUGAUGGAGGCUGGAGAGGAAUGGUUGAUAUGGUGAUGAGCUGAAUUAAAUUACUCUUUACUCGCCACGACAGCUAUUCCUAGAAGUAAGCAAACACAAGAAAAUUAGAAAGAAAACAAGAAUUAUUUUUCCGGAAAAUGACUUCCGAUGAAAUUGUUUUCUCAGAUAUAACUAUUUACAUUGUACCCAAUAGAUCCUUAGUGAAAAGAAAAAAAACUCCUAGAAAAUUAGUCUGAUCAAAAGUUUGGGAUACUUCUACGUGAGAAAAAAAAAAAACCUGUACUGUUCAAUUUUCGUGGUAUGCACGACUGGAGUAUCAACAUAUAUAAUAGUCAGCAUCUUCCCCACGUCAGUGGAAAAAUUUUUGCUGAGGCGAUGGUGGCUUUUUGAGGACUACAUAGUCCAUGACCCCACUCAUAAAUGAAUGAUUGGCAGGUGAUAUCAUGGGAGGUUCUAAAAAUUUGAUUGAAAUAUAUAUAUUUUCUUAUUUCCUACCUUUGUCUUUUAAUCUGGGCCAAGUUUAUGCAAACAGAGCCUAAGUCUGCCGACACAAUAUGUUUUCUGGAUGAUCAGAUAACCCUUCUCAUAUUAGGGUCACAAAGGGUUAAGUUAUUUCCAAUGUGUUUCUCUUGGAUUCCAUAGCUCUCAUAUGUUAAUUGCUCCAUUGGUUGUGUACUUAAUGCUCAAUUGGGCUUGGAGUUGCGUGAAUAAAAGCAUAAUUAGAAGGUGAAUAUAUCUAGGAACAGAUAUCUGUUACAAGUCUGCAGGAACCCUCAGAAAGGACCCUGAAAAUGAUUAUCUUGCAAAAAAAAAAAGAGUAACCCCCCCCCCCCCCCAAGGGGAUAUCUCUUAUCAUUUCAAGAUGUGGUGAAUAGGUAAUUAGAACAAUGGGCAUUAGCAUACCCAUUCGGACUCUUGCUGGGAGCAUUGUUAGUUAAGGUGCCCUAUGCUAAUGGGUUAAGUUCUUUUCAUGAUUUGAAUAUCUUUCUCCUGAAUUCUAUAAUACCUCGCAUAUAUUGAUUGCUCCAUCAGUUUCGUACUUGAUGUGCGUCUACAUAAAAGUAUAAUUAGAAUUAGGUUAAUAUAGCAAAGAUUAUAUAAAAUACUACUGUUUUAAUCAGUUGUAUUGUAUGCACAAGAAUUGCAAUCUGUACUUCCAAUAUAUGUGCGCUCCUAAGGAUGAACUUCAUCUUUUCCAUAUAUGUGCGCUAAUGUGAUGUCCAGAGCACUAGAUUUUGAUUGCAGGAACCUUCAAAAAUAUCUCAUAAUUUCAAGAUAUAUAUGACGAACAGGUCAGAACAAUGGACAUUAAUCACAGCCAUUCGAAUUUUGUCGCGGACAACGCUUGAUGCUUUCUUGAAAUUGGCUAUUGCGCCCUAGCUAGAGACGUAGACAUUUCACAUCACCUGUGGAAUUUUCUUUUUGGGCUCCAAGAUGAAUCUUGGAAUAGGAAAGAGCAAUCUCUUAUCCAUUGGUCCCAUCCUCCUUUACUUAUAUGUGGUUUAAAUUGAUAGCAGAUGGCCAUAGGCAUAUACAAUCGAAAUGAAAAUACCUUCAGCAAAGACAUCAUACGAGGCAAUCAAAGUGUUGAGAUGGAACUAGAGGACGGGUUAAUUUUGCAGAAUUUUGAAGGAAGAUGGUUAGUUGGCACUCACUAAUAUAUAGUAACGCUGGAUGAGCUGAAAGUCCUCAAAGUAGUGGGGAAUUGAACAACCCAUAGGAUAAGGUUUAUUAUUCCCAUUAACUUAUUUUAAUAGGCAUUACUCAAAUACAAAAUAUGGGUAUCCUGUCUAGGGGUUUGAAACCCUUUUUUCUUACCAAACACCCCUGAGUAGCGCAGUACCGGGCUUAGGGUAUCAUUAGAGACUGGAGAUACUGGAAAGAAGCAUGGUGUCUGCUUCUAGUGUCCUAGCAGACUGAGCUGUUUGCUGGGGCUUAAAUCUGGGUUGCAGCAGCUUGUUCCACAACUUUGUAUUAUGAACUUAUAGAUUGAACUUAAAUCUGGAUAGAAAGGUAGUGACGUUGUUUACUUGCCCAUGGACUCUACAUCAUGAAGUUAGUCAGUUGCAGCUCAUUAAUUUUGCUGGGAUAUAUCAUUGUUAUAGAGAGGCUAAUAAACCUGCGGACUUGCUUUCUAAUAUUGGGUGUUCCAAAGGGCUGCCAAAGAUUUAUUCUUUUGAAGCAGAACUUCCACGUUUGGUUAGAGGAGAAGUUAGAGUUGAUAGAUUAGGCUUACCAUCAUCGUGUAAGAAAUGCUAGUUUUUUUUUUCUUUUAAUUUUGUUCUUUUAGUCAGUUACUCGUGUAAUUUCUUGGAGGUAAGGUUCAUAUCCCCAUCCUUAUAAUCUCUUUGGUUUUAUUAAUAAAAUUUGAGUCAAAAUCCUAUCCUCGUGUACGGGGUUUGCAUUGAAAAAAAAAAAAAGAAUUAGACUUUUUGCUCAUUGUAAACUUUAUACACAAUUGUUCAAUUUAGACUCACGAAUUGUCUCCUUUUAUACACAAUUGUUAAAUUUAUCUCUGUAUCUUUAUCUAUCCAAAAAGAAAAAAAAAGUUUAAUGAGGACACUAAAUUUCUCAAGUAAUGAGCUUGACUCGGUUGCAAAAAGAAUUGCAUAGGAUCAUGAUCACCUUUUAGUGUUUAUUAGGUGUUGUUUUUUCUAGUCCGGCGUUAAUUUUUGUUAAAAAAAAAAUAGGCAAGCUUUUCUAGAAAAGAGUAAUGACUUUCUUAAAGAUCGAAGUUAUCAGCAAUUAAGUUUCCCUACUGCCCAAAAUUACCACGAAGUUAAAAAUUAAGAUAGUGGAGGAGCUUGAGCAAGUCCAUAAUACUUAUGCCACAAUAGAAUUCUGCUAUGUAAGGCUGAGUGAAGAGAGUACUAAACCUAAAAUGUUGUGGUGAGAUAGAUCAAGUACCUUAGCAGCAGUAUUUACAGUGCAAGAGCCACCUUGGCUUUCUAACUAUUUGAGAAGGGGAAAGUUUUGACAUGGUUAAGACCGAAUAGUUGAGCAAUUUAGGGACUGUUUUGAAAAUUUUUCAAAAACGAAAUAUUUUCCUUAAUUUGUGCUUUUUAGCUCAUAUUUAACCCCGAGAAAAUGGUUUCUCUUAAUAAAACCUCUUGCAUAGGUGUGUGUAAAUAAUUUCAGUUACAAACUUACCCAAGUUAUUUUCCACCCUCGCGUCUCUCAUCCCCUGGGGCCUUAGUCACCUUUAUCAACGUAAGAAGUCGAAGGCCUAUAGGAAAUUGUUCUGACGGGAUUCACCAACAACAUGAAUCGGCAAUAACAAUGCUUUUGCUUGGGAAAUCUCAAUCCAUGAUGAGAUCUUUUAGAUCUUUUAGAUCUCAAUAAUUUUAGAUCAAUCAUGUGGCUAUUGCUUUAUUCUCUUCUUGAUUGGAGAAUGAUUGUAGGGGUGGAAUAGGUGGAGGAUGCUGGGGGAGGAGUGGUUGAUAUGGCGACAAAUUGAAUUAAUUAUUCAUCAGGACAGGUAUUUUUCAGAAGUAACCAAACACAUGAAAAUUUCAAAGAAGACAAGAAUUUUUUUUUCCUUGAAAAUGACUUCCAAUGAAAUUUUUUUCCCAAUAAAAAUAAUUUAUGUCGUACCAAAUAGACCCUUACUUUCAUCAUCUUCAUACAUAAUAGUCAUAAUAUUGCCUACAUUUGUUGAAAAAAUUGUGCUGACGUGAUGGUGGCUUUUUGAGGAUUAGCAAAAACUCGGUUCGACAAAGAUCGACAACGCCACUUGUAGACUGAAUGACCCAUAAUGUGCCACGUUCUCUUUUCAUUCUUAGCUUCUUUCUUCCUCAUAAAAUCUAUCAAUGACAGGAUGCUUCAAGGUUUUCCGGGUUAGUGACAAUUUAUCCCUUUAAAAUAUAUCUUGACUUUCACUUUAUCCAUUAAUCUUUAUUUUCUGUCAUUUCACCCCUAAGAGACAAAAAUACCCCUCUAUUAUGCUAAGUUUUUAUUUUUAAAUUUUCUACUUCCUAUAAUCAUUGAACUUUAACCUGUGAUUUGGUUUUGACUACUCUAAUUGAUGGUGAUGAUAAAGUUUCGCAUGAGAAGAGUACAUAUAUUAGGGAAAACACUAAUAAUGAUUAUUUAAAAAAAAAACAAAAAAGGAUCCUAAUAAGCAAAAACUCAUUAGAGGAAAAACAACAAAAAAAUGUCCAAUGCUGACAUGUGAAGGUGUGAGUAUAAAAAUGGGUAAUUGACUUUGAAUAAUGUAACUAUAAGGAAACAGAAUAAAAAUUUUUUCUUAAUUUAUUAAAUUGAAAAAUAGAUGAAAUUGAUUGGUAUUUUUUUUUUUUUUUGUAAAUUAGAGAAUGGACAUCCUAAAUUUUUUCUAUUGGAGAAAUUUAUUAUUUUCUUAUAAGUAAAAAUUUGAUAAAAGAAAUCAAAUUUGGAAUAAAAAAAAUGGGGAGAAAAAAUGAAAAAAAAAACUUACAUAGUUGAGGGAUACUUUUGUCUUUCGGGGGGUUAAAUGACACAAAAUAAAGGUUAAAUAGUAAAGUGAAAAUCAAGGCAUACUUAAGCGAAUAAAUUGCAAUUAACACCUCUCCGUCUCCUCUCCUCAAUCCAUCCAAUUACCACCACCAUUAUGAACACCGCCUCCUUACCUCUUCCAUCCCACCCAACUCCAUUACUCUCAUCCCUUUCCUUUGUUCCUCCACUGACACUUCCUGCAACUCUCCCAAUCUGAAAACUCCUUGUCCUCCAGAAGAUUCUCCUCCCCUUCCUUCUUUUUGAGACAAAUUCUACCUCUUAGUUGUUUCAUCAUCUCCCCCAUCAAAUCUUCUAGGAUGCAAGACUAACAGUAUCUCUUUAGUAGAUAUGCAUAUCAAACGAAAAAUAAAACUGAUGAAUUUUCUUCCCUUGGAAUGGCGAACAAAGAAAUGAAGUUAUUCCCAUAACCGUACUCAUAGUAAGGUCACAAACAAUGAAGUUUGUUCCCAUGAUUUCCAGUGUGUGUCUCUUGGAUUCUAUAGCUCUCAUGUCAUAUAUUAAUUGCUCCAUUGGUUAUGAACUUGAUGUGCAUUUGGGGUUGAAGUUGGGAUAACAAAAAAGUAUAAUUAGAAGGUGAAUAUAGGAACAAAUAUCUGUUACAAGGUUCCAGAAACCGUCAGUAAGGACCCUGCGCGCAGAUGAUUAUCUUGCAAAAAAAGUAACCCCUAUGGGAUAUCUCUUACAAUUUCAACAUGUGAUGAAUGGGUUAGAGCAAUGGGUAUUAGCACACUGAUCAUUCGGACUUAUGUUGGGAGCAUAGCUUAAGGUUUCUAUCAAUUGACUAUGAUACGUCAAGACUAGACAUUUCAAAUCACUAGAGCAACGGUUAAUUCCAAUUCCCACUCUUCAACUAUAUUUGAAUUUUCACUUUAAUUUCUAAGUUCUAAAGUGGGAUCCUUUAGUCCUUAAGAAAAUUUUUUUUGUCUACUUAAGUGAAAUGAUUGUCGGAAAUAGGACAUAUUUUACACUUAAGUGAGAUAUAUUUUAUAUUUUAAGAAAGAAAGUAAGACAAAAUUUUCUACAUAAGUAGGAAAUACUAACGUAUAACAAAUAGGGGUGUUCAUCGAAAUCGAAUUCGGUAAUUUGAAAUUUUGAAUUCGGAAUCUUUUGAAAUUCGGACAUUAAGAAUUUCAACCAAUUUCGAUUUUGAUUUCACAAAUAUCGAAUCCGAAUUGAAUUCGGAAUUCGGUUCACCGAAUUCAUGAGGAACUUUUUGGAGUUUUGUUUUGUAUUUCUAAUUUUUUUAUUAUAAUUAUAUAUAAGUUUUGCUAAACUAAAUGCUAACUUUUGUAUAAUAUAUGUUUAUAAUUAUAAGAUAAUAUACAACUAACUUAAUAAGACUUAUUAUCGUGUUGUUAUAUAAUAUAAUUAUUAGUUAAAUGUAUUAUUAUAUAAUAUAAAAUUUAUGUUACAUAUACUAUAUAUGUAUAUAUAAAUAACAUAUGAAUUUGAAAUCGAAAUAGGUAUUCGAUUUCUGAUUUCGAAUUCAAAAAAUUCAUUACCGAAUUGGAACCAAAUUAAUAUAUUUCAAAAACGGAAAACCCGAUUUCCAUUUCGUUUAGGUGCCAAACUCGGAAUUUAAGUAUAAUUAAAUGAUGCAGCAUGGAAUUAACUCCAAGCGGAACUUUCAGUUAUCAGGAAAGAUUAUCAAUCGGUCCCCUCUUUAUUUGUGGCUUAAAUUGAACAUGGUAGAGUACUAGUGCCCGUAAUGCAUUUAACAUCAUGCUAUACGGCUGCUUAUGAAGUGAUAUAAUUUUUUCUUUCUUUUUGAAUGCGUAAUCGCGACGGAUGGUGGUGGCCGGGGUCAGCAUUUGGUGGGAUAGUUGAUGGUGCCACUGCCGUGCUUCAAUUUGCCACCAUGACGGUGCUACCUCAGCCGCCGUACUCUAAAAGAAAAGGAAAUGAAAAUAACUAAAAGUAAUAAUAAAUGUCUUAUAAGUAACGACAAAUUGUGUUGCUGAUGAGAUCUUUAUCUAAUAGUUAAAGUUGAAAAUCUUUUUCUCCUUCAUUUCUUAAAUUUCACCAUUCCUCUCUUAAAAUAUUUUAAAACAAAAAACAGAUUGCAUUUUUUAUGUAGUCGAGUUGAGCAAAAAAUUAAAUAAUUCAACUCGAUAUAGUCGCAAAAGGAAGUGAAAAGACUUUGAGAAACUCUAAAGAAAUUAUGUAGAAAAAUAAAUUUUUUUUAAUAUUUUACUUUUGAAAAGAAAUUUAUUCUCUUCUUUUUCUUUUUGUCUCUGCUCUCGCGAAAGUAGUGUUAAAUUAAACCAGAACUAAGGCAUGAAGUCAAUUUUAACAAUCAAUAGCACUUGAACGGUUUCAUGAUUAGCUGUGUCAACUGGGAUUUUUGAGCUAGACUUUGGUUAGUCCAAGCUCAACCAAAACAUUCUUACGCACAUAGAAUAAAUGCACAAAAACUCCCCUGUAACAUUUUUAUGAGUUUCACUUUGCAUUCACAUUUUAUGAGUUUUAAAUAGGCACGAAGUCCAUCUUGGUACCAAAAAAAAAAAAAAAGAGCUGAUUAAACAAGAUAGAAACAGGCACAAGAUCAAGAUUUCAUUUUUGUAGGAAAAAUCCCUUGAAUUUAUCUGUUUUAGGGUGUCAGAAGAUGGGCCACCACUUCAUGUAGGAUUUAAGGACAGUCCUUAACUUUCAAAAAAAAACGUUGCACAAAAGCGAGAUAAAGCAACACAAGGGCCGCCGCAAAUGGAAUGACGGACCAAGGGUUAUUAAAAUAAUUCCUCAUUAGAUGAGUCCUCCAGAUGCUCCAACGCCGGCUAGAGCACUCGUUCGCUAGCUUGAAGAAAUCAUAUAGCUUAACAAAUUUCUUGUCCUUAUUUUUUUGGUUAAUUAGUUACUUACGUGUUAUCAUGUGAGUAAUUCUUAUUGUUUAAAUUUAACUCCAGUUUUGUUUCUUUUUUUUUUUAAUAUAAUUUUACGAACACAUAUGUGAAUGCGACUAGAUUUUGUUGGUAAUUAAAAAUUCAUAAAUUAUCCUAAAUUUACUUCAAAUUAAUAACAUUGUGGAUUGGAUUUACUCUUGCCGGCAUUUUAGGGACUAAAAUCGAGCAUGUACCAAAUAUUUGGGGCUAAAUUUGUUUUUUUUUUUUUUUAAACUUCAAAAAUUAAAAUCGCGCAAAUGCCAAAGAUUGAGGGUCAAAACUGCAUUGUCCCUCGCUAAAAAAAGUCCAAAAUGUUUUAAUAAUCUUUUGAUUAUACCAAAUUAGAGCGGUCACUACCUACAUAACAAGUGACGCAGCCAGAAUUUUUUCCUUGGGGGCCAAAAUUUUUUCGAAUAAAAUUAUCUUAAUAUGUUAUGUUCAAAAUAAUUUUUAUUUAUUUAAAUAUAUGACUUCUUAAAAUAUCAAAUAUUAACUUUAAUUAUAAAGGUAUGUCUAUUUCAUAAAUAUGUAGCAUAGUCAUAACUAAAAUUAAGACAAGAAAUAACAUUUGAUUAAAUAUUUUAUAACAUCACAAACCACCUAAAAUGCACAUUAUGAGAAGAUGCUCUAAUGUGUCACUUGUGCAAAGACAAAAAUAUAACUAUGCAAUAUAAAUAUAACUAUUUUCAAUUAAAAAAAGAUAAAAGUUAUGUUAACAUACCUUGAAAUCUCAUCCUCUUUUAUUGAAAGUAAAUUGAGCAUUACAUUCUCUCACAAAACUAAAUUCCUGUAUAAUUGAAUCAAUGCUAAAUUUUUGAACAACUUCCUUUUUUUAUGUACAUUGUUAGGCAAUCAUUCACGAAAUUAUCUUUUAUCUUGUUUUGGAGCUUUAUUUUGAUUAUCUUCAUAAUUGAAAUUGUCUAUCCUAUAGACUAUAGAACAAAGCCAGGAUUUUUUCCUUUGGAGGGGGACCAAAAUUUUUCUGAACAAAAUUAUAUUAAUAUGUUAUGUUCAAAAUAAUUUUCAUCUAUUUAAAUACAUGACAUCUUAAAAUAUCAAAUAUUAACUUUAAUUAUAAAGGUAUGUCUAUGUCAUAAAUAUGCAGCAUAGUUAUAACUAAAAUUAAGACAAGAAAUAACAUUUGAUUAAAUAUUUUAUAACAUCACAAACUACCCAAAUUGUACAUUAUGAGAAGAUGCUCCAAUAUGUCACUUGUGUAAAAACAAAAAUAUAGCUAUGCAAUAUAAAUAUAACUAUUUUUAAUUAAUAAAAGAUAAAAGUUAUGUUAGCAUACCUUGAAAUUUCAACCUUUUGUUUUAAAAGUAAAUUGAGAUUUACGUUCUUUUAUAGAACUAAAUUCAACUAUAAUUGAAUCAGUGCUAAAUUUUUGAACAACUUCUGUUUUUCUAAUGUAUAGUGUUAGACAAUCAUUCAAAAAAUUAUCUUUUAUCUUGUUUUGGGGCUCUGUUUUGAUUAUAUUCAUAAUUAAAAAUACCCGUUCUAUAGUUGCAAUUGACACGGGAAGAGUGAGGACAAAUAUAUCAAUAUAUCAACAACAGGAUAGAUCACUCAAUUUCUUGUCUUCACCAAACCUUCAGUAUAUUUGUAUAUGGGUUAACAAGACGAUAGAUCACAAAUUUUAAAUUUUUUAUCAAUUAGGCUAAGUUGUAUAUUUGUAUAUGGACCAAUAAAGUAAUUAUUUUGUUUUAACCCAUUGAUAAUUAUGAAUUGAGUCUUUUAUUAUAAUAUAUAGAAAUGGGUCAAUUUACUAUGGAUCAUCAAAUUAUAUGUUUAAUUUUUUGAACGUUAAAUAAUUAGCACAAUAAAAAAUAAAUAAAUUUUUUUUGAAGAAAAACGGAUAUAUAUAUACAUAUAUAUAUAUAUAUAUAUAUAUAUAUAUAUAUAUAUAUAAACUCUCAUAAUAUAAACUAAAAUUGUAAAAAAUUAGGAGGGGUCAACUUUGUCUUAUACAUAUAUUUACAUAUUAUGAAUUAAAAUUUUCAAAACCCCCCUCAGCCCACCUUGACUUCGUCAUUGUACAGAAUGGCUUUGAUAAGGGGUGGAGCAUGGAUAUACUUGUCCUGAACAGAGUUUUACAUUCUUAAGAUUGCAUCCAUCAUCCUGAACUAGGACGAAUUCGACCUCAGCGUGCAAAAUACCAAAGGACAUUUUCAUCAUAUGCUUAGUGUAGUACCCAGGAUCAUCUUCCUCGAGAUGAUCAUCUCUCCCGGACAAUUUUUGAUAUGAGGAGUCACUUUGUAGUCUAGAUGUCCAGUGAGCCGAGGACACUUACAACAAGAAGUGAUUGACGCGACACCUUACAAGCUUUUGUAGGCCUAUGCUCUUGCUCCAGCAGAUCUAGAGCCUACCUAUAGCUGUAUCCUAUCCCAUCAAUGCGGCCCGAACCCCAAGGACACCUCUCAUGUUUCACUAUAAAUACCCCUCUUUUCUUAGACCCUAGAGAUAACUGUUUCUUAACUCUCAUACUCGGUAACUUAUGUCUGAGUUGUUAACUCUUGCUAACUUAAGCAUCGAAGCCAAAUUGGGGGAAUACUCUACCUGUGCUUUUGAUAUCAUACAGGAAAUCCGAACUAGAGUUUGUCGAUCUCCAGUUUUCUCAGGAGUUUCGAUCGUGACUCUACAAUUGGCACUGUCUGUGGGAAGUGAAGUGAAUACAAUUGCUCUACUCUCUCAUGACUAAGACUUGCUCUAAUCGUGGAAACCAGAACCCCUUAACUUUUGGGAGCCGUAUAGCCGAUCCAAGAGAUCAGGACAUACCAGAGAAUUCACAUCCUCAUGGAGAGGUCAUAGCUCGAGUGGCCGAGUUUGUGGCCUCCAGUCUAGGGUUUUUGGAAGAGAUUGUCAGGCAUAUGAAAGGUUAGGAUAGAGGCAAAUCUUCUCAAAGAUAGCCCGAAGAGUCUUCUUUGUCUUCUUUUGAGGGUGACUCGAAUGACCAUCACUCCAAGAGGAAAAAGGAAAAGGACCUUUCUAAAUUGAAAGGCAAAGUGCAUUCUAAAGUUUCCUCCAUUUUCGAGAGCACUGCUCAAGAACCCGUUCAAGAGGAAGGACACAAGUGAAUGGUCUAGAUACAGAUCGGCCCUCUAUGGAGAUAACAUGGUCCUUUCACCCCUAACAUUACCUAAGAAGUUUUUCCAGCAAACUUCAAAUUCCCAAAUGUUCCAUUCUAUGAUUGAAAAGGUGAUCAUGAAGACCAAGUCCAUGCCUUCUUAUCGGCAUUCAGAUUGUAUGGGAUCCCCAACACAGUGAUGUGUCAGGCGCUUCAUCAUUUUGUUAAGACUUAAUAUUUGAGCAAUUUAAUGGCUAGCCUUCUCAUGCAUGGUAUGCACCGAUCUUUAGAAUCGGCAUAGUAUGCAGGGGCAACCGCCAUCCCCAAGUUUUUGAGAGUUUUCUUUUAGCUCCUAGGAAAUUUUAGGAAAUUUCAUUAAAAAUCUUUCUCUUUCACCCGUAUAUUAUCAGUUUUGAGCAUAAUUCUAUGAUUAUGGCUUGUAUGUUUUUUUUUUCUCUUCUAACUCUUAGCUAUUCAAUCUUGAUAUCUGAUUGCAGCUCAAAAUUUUUUUAUCAUUGUCUUUUUUUAACAAAAAAAUGAUAAUAAAUUUAGUGACAUGAAACACAACAAUGAAGCUGCAUAUUCAUUACCGAAUCGAAAUAUGCAUUAGUUAUUUAUUAAUAGUAUUAUCACUUUACCUCUUAACAUUCGGUGUCACUAUCAAUUUCUCCCUUAACGUUACCUUUUAGUCACUUUACUCCCAAGACUAAUGGUCAAACUUAACGGAUUUUGUUAAUUAAAGUGAAAAGAUACGUUUAACCCUUAAAAUUAUUAUCACUUUAUCCUCAUAAACUAUACCCUCAUUAUCAAUUUACCCCCUAUAGUUAUUUUUUAGCCAAUUUAUUGCACCAUUAAAUCAACUUAGCUAAUUAAAGAAUUCUAGAAGAAAGUACUCUUUUCUUUGUAUAAUAAAAAUAAUAAAAAAUUUAGAAUAACUCUUCUCCUUUUUAGUAUCAAGAAAAAAAAUCAAAUUGUUAAUCUCUUUCUUCUUAAUAAUUGAUAAGUGGAUAUUUUAUGUAUUUUUAGUAUGUUUUACCAGUUAGUUUUGGUGUGUUUUAUAUAGUUUUAUAGUUAAUUAACUAGGGUUUUGGUCAAAAUAUCUAUGUUGCGGUUUAAUUGGCAAAAAUUACAUUUAUAUAAAUUUUAACGGAAAGAACUUCAUAUUUUUGUAGGUUUAAAGACUCAAUCAUCAGUUGCAGUGAAUUGAGAAGAAAAUUGGAUGAUAAUUGAUGAAUUGAAGUGGUUUAAAGAAGGCAUGAAGUACAAAACAUUCAAUUGAGGGAAUUCAAGUAAAGACAGUUUCGACACAUCUCGAGCUAUAUCUCGACACAGUUUCGACAGUAUCUUGGUAUUUCGGCUAUAUCUCGAGCUACAAUGAUCGGAUCGAGGUGAUCUUGAUACCAUUUUUAAGCUAAGAGAUAUAUCUACAUUUGGUAUGAGACAUCAAAGUCCAAUUCAGCCAUUUUCCUAGUUAAAAAGUCGAAAAACAUAAACUUAUCUGGAUGGUCGAAAGCUGAAGCCCAGAAUUGACCAGUUUAUGGUAUUUUGACGAUAUCGCCAUUCACCGAUCUCCAAAUUAGAUGAUUCUUGAAGCAUUGGAAUGCUAAUUCAAAGGGUUACAACUUUUGUGUUUUACACAACAGCCAGUUCGAUGGCUAUAAUAGAGAAAAUUGUAGUUGAAAUGACGUCAAAAGUGAAAAUGCGUAUGGCAACCGAAUUUCUGCAAUUUACUUAGCCAUUUUUCUCAUAUUCACACUACUUUCCAGCUAGAGUUGGAGAGAAAACGUAGGCUGCAUAUGUUUCUGAUGCACAAAGGAAGAAAAAUAGCUUAUUGUCAAGUCAAAAAUAUACAGUAGAAUCAAGAGGUUGGAACUUUGUUCUGUUGACUUGGUUAACACCAGAUUUAGAGAAUUAAAGGGGAGAAGAAAAAUACGGUAGGUGAAUGGAGAAUAUCAGAAUUUGAGGAUAAAAACUGAGGCUGGUCAUAUUCUCUUGAGCUAGCAAUUUUUGUAGAAGCUUGAGGAGUGCGGAAAUGUAGUUCUUCCAUUUUCUUAGUGUAGGAUACUUUAGCUAGUUAACUCAUCCACUCUUGUAUAUUGGCUAGAUUAGGAUGAAGAUGGAGAUGAAGAAUGAGGAAUUGAAACUCAAGUGACAUGUGUUAUCUCUUUUCCAACUCUUUAUCUUUUGCAUUGAAUUCUUAAAUAUGGUUAAUAUGCAAGUUCUGGAUUUUGUGUCUAUUAUGUGUUUUUAAAGUUUAUGCCUUGGGUUUGGUUGAACUUUCUAUGAUUGUUAGUGUUUAUUAUUUGGUUAUUUGAUGUUAUUAUUUGAGCAAGUUAUUUAGCACUUUAACUCUUUAAAUCAUAAUUAAUCUAGUACCAUUAAUUGUGAUUAUCUAAGGUGUUGUUUCUGCAAUGAAAAUUGAGAUUUAAUACUAGUUCAAAAAGUGCUAAACAUAGGGAGUACACUCACGAGAGUAGAGGUGUAUCUGUGUGGUUUUAGUGAUUAAUUUCAUUGAAGAAUGAACUUGUAACUAAUUUCAUAACCAUGAGAAUAAGUAUGGAUUAGUUAUAAGUAUAGUUGAUUUACUACGAAAGUAGGAUUUAUAUGCAUAAGGAAAUUACAUCAUAACUAUCCUAGAUAGUAGUAUUCAAUGAUCCAAAUAUAGCAUUUGCAUGAGUAGUUAGGGAUACCAUAAUCUAAGGUGCUUUCAUUUGUUAUUUUGCAUAAGUUUAGUAGGUUUCAUUUCUUAUAUUUCAUUGAUAGUGUAAAUAAUAGAGAAACUUGAGUAACACCGGUAAUUGUUUAAUCUUCCUCAUGGAAUCGACCUGAUACACGCCCUAAACUACUAAUUUGACCUGUAUAUUUGCAAUGAAACGGGAGUAAUUCGAAUUUUUAACUUGUACGUAUAUCAAAAGCCCGUCAAGUUUUUGGCGCCGUUGCGUGAAGAGCAACUUUAUUAGUUUGGACAUUUUAUUAGUUAUCUAGUGUGUGUUAAUCGUGUCUAGUUUGUUGAAUCAGUCCUGAAUGUCAUUUUCUUUUAUUUUUGUGUUUUAUAUGUGUAUGUGUUUUAUUACCUAUUUUUCUUACUAAUUUUGCUUUUGAGAUUGUUUAAAAGCAAUUUUAGGUGAUGAAAAAGGUAGAUUAAUUUGGAGGACAAUGCUUGAGAAGUGAAAGAUUGGCAAGGGAUGGUUACCAAGUGCAAAACUCCUUUAAUAGAGGUAACUAAGAAAUUAUCGAAGGUAUGUCUUUUGAAGAUGGUUUAAGGUGCUUAAAGGCAAAAUUUAAUGUAAUUAUGUUACAAGUUCAGAUGGACAUAAUUAUGCAUGAAAUCGAGCAAGAGAGGAAUGUUAAUGAUUUUAAUUCUUAUUAUGUGAUUUGUGACUUGUGUGGAGGUUAUCAUGCUACUAAUACAUGUAGACAAGUACAAAAUGUGAAUUACUAUAAUGAAUUAGAUCAUUACAAUCUUUGUUUUAAUCAAUAUGGUGCUAAUUGGAGCAAUUCUUAUGCUUAUGGUUGGGAUAAUCAAGGUACUUGUAGUGAUUCUUCAUAUUUUUAUCAUUACUAACCUGAAAAUGUCCAAUAUGAAUCAAAACCAUCUUGGGAGUUAGCUAUAGAAAAAUUAACUAAUGUGACUUCCGACCGUUUUGAUAGGAUUGAUGAAAGAAUAGAUGAAUUAACUUCUCACUUUGGUAGAAUAAAUGAGCAAUUGAAUGCAUUGUAUGGAGUUAUUUCUUCUAAUAAUUUGCAAAAUGAUCCUAGCAUGAAUGGUGAAAAUGUUGUAUGUGAAAAUGGAUUGCAUGUUGAUGAAAAUGAUGAAUCUCAAUUGUGUUUCGAUGAGCAAAUGUCCAUUUCACAUGAUAAUAUCUUUGGAACUAAUCUUGAACCUCAAGAGGUGAGUUUUAAUGACUCAUUUUUUACCUCUCUUGAGGAGUGCAUUGAAAGUAUAGGUUCUAAGGGUAUUGCUGCCCAAGAUAUUCUCAUGUCAUCUCCUUUGGUAAGUUCUCAAGUGGUGCAUAUUCAAGGUAAUAUCUAUGAAACACUUGAGAUAGGUAAGUCACUUCCAUCUCUCACAUCAUUAAAACAUGUGAUUUUUUCUAUAAAGUCACAUUUUAAUGAUCCACCACGCUCUAAAUUGGUGAAUUAUUCAUUGACAAAGCCUCCUUGAGAAAUAAGGCAAAAAUAGUCGAGCCAACGACUAUAAAUAAAAGCGCUUGUUGGAAGGCAACCCAAUGUUUUGGUUAUUUAUGUUAUUUUGGUAUGAUCUUAUAUUUAAAUUAUGUGUUUGAGUUAUUUUGGUAUUUUUCACUUGUAGGUAUCGGAAAUAGAAGCAAAAGUGACCAAAUGAGGUGAAAACGGCGAAUUUUGAUCAAGGAACUCAACCCCUCGAUUUGCAUUAAAGGUGUUUUGGAUCCGUUAGAAAGGGUGUGGAGAUAAAUGGAUCAAUAGCUCUUGAACUUCAUGCUGUGACACUUCAAUCACAAUAAUAGGGGAGUAUUACUUUCUUUGUCUUGAUUUCCCUUUUUACACAUUGAGGACAAUGUGCAUAUUAAGUGUGGGGGAGAAUUGAGAUUAUAUACAUUGUAUGUGAUUGACUUAUUGGUUGCAAAUAUUGGACUUGUGUUAAAAUUCUAAAUUUUUUUCAAAAUCUUGUCCAAAAUUGCAAAAUUGCCUCAAAAAAUUUCAAGUUUUUUCAAUUUUAUCCAAAGGACAAUAAGUUCCAUACCAUUAGUAGUUCAAAUUCCUUCUACAUUUGAGAUAAAUAUAUGUUAUUUGGAAACUUCUUUUCUCCUUUAACUUGGAAAUGACUAUUAUGUGAUUAUAAUUUUGCAUUUGUAGGAAAGUAUAUCUUUUAAAGUGGAGAGAAUUAUGCCUAUUUUUUUUUUUGCAUAUUUAAUGAAAUUUCUUCUCUUUAUUUGAUUUUAUAAGUUAAGUGAUAAAUAUGGUCAAUAAGUGCAAUACUCUUCUCAUGAUUAUUCUUUUGAGAAAAUUAUUAUUUUUUAUUAUCUUCGCUGUUAAAAAAAGAAAAAAAAGAAAAGAAAAAAUGAUAAAAAAGAAGAAAAAAGAAAAUAAGAUUUGUUCUACUCCAAUGAUUCUUGUACUUAGUAACCGAGAGUCUUCAUUUACAAAUGUCGACUUUCGCGUAAAACGGUACUUGAAUUAAGAGUAUGCAAAGCAAUUUGAGCAUGUGAAAUGUUAAGUAACCGGUGAUCUUUAUUUAAAAAUGUCGAUCCUCGCAUCGAAAGGCACUUUCACGUCUUAAGUAAUAUUUAGAUAUGUUAUAUGAAUAAAUACCUUUUUAAAUAGAAUAAAAAGAUGAUCAUGAGUUUAAUAAGUAUUUUAUUGACUAUAUGAGUUACUUGCUUAUAAAAUUGGGUAAGGAUGAGAAAUUGAUUUGAAUUUGUUAUAAUAGGGGUAUAAUUGGCUCUUCUUUACUUGAUAUUAUGAAUACUUGAGGAUUAAUGAAAGAUUGCAUAAUGGUUAUUUACCUUGUUUUGAGAAAAUGAAGUUAAAUGGUACACAUAUGUUUAAAAGUUUGGACCAUUGUUGGUUUAUAUUUCCAAUUACUUGAAAAUAAGCAAUGAUUCAAGUGUGGGGGUAUUUGAUAAGUAGAUAUUUUACGUAUUUUUAGUAUGUUUUAUUAGUUAGUUUUGGUGUGUUUUAUCUAGUUUUAUAGUUAAUUAACUAGGGUUUUGGUCAAAAUAUCUAUGUUGCGGUUCAAUUGGCAAAAAUUACAUUUAUAUAGAUUUUAACGGAAAGAACUUCAUAUUUUUGUAGGUUUAAGAAUUCAAUCAUCAGUUGGAGUGAAUUGAGAAGAAAAUUGGAUGAUAAUUGAUGAAUUGAAGUGGUUUAAAGAAGGCAUGAAGUACAAAACAUUCAAUUGAGGGAAUUCAAGUAAAGACAAUUUCAACACAUCUUGGUAUUUCGGCUAUAUCUCGAGUUACAAUGAUUGGAUCGAGGUUAUCUUGGUACCAUUUUAAAGCUAAGAGAUAUAUCUACAUUUGGUAUGAGAUAUCAAAGUCCAAUUCAGCCAUUUUCCUAGUUAAAAAGUCGAAACACAUAAACUUAUCUGGAUGGUCGAAAGCUGAAACCCAGAAUUGACCAGUCUAUGGUAUUUUGACCAUAUCGCCGUUCACCGAUCUCCAAAUUAGAUGAUUCUUGAAGCAUUGGAAUGCUAAUUCAAAGGGUUACAACUUUUAUGUUUUACACAACAGCCAGUUCGCUGGCUAUCAUAGAGAAAAUUGUAGUUGAAAUGACGUCAAAAGUGAAAAUGCGUAUGGCAACCGAAUUUCUGCAAUUUACUUAGCCAUUUUUCUCAUAUUCACACUACUUUCCAGCUAGAGUUGGGGAGAAAACGUAGGCUGCACAUGUUUCUGAUGCACAAAGGAAGAAAAAUAGCUUAUUGUCAAGUCAAAAAUAUACAGUAGAAUCAAGAGGCCGGAACUUUGUUCUGUUGACUUGGUUAAUACCAGAUUUAGAGAAUUAAAGGGGAGAAGAAAAAUACGGUAGGUGAAUGGAGGAUAUCAGAAUUUGAGGAUAAAAACUGAGGCUGGUCAUAUUCUCUUGAGUUAGCAAUUUUUGCAGAAGCUUGAGGAGUGCAGAAAUGUAGUUCUUCCAUUUUCUUAGUGUAGGAUACUUUAGCUAGUUAACCCAUCCACUCUUGUAUAUUGGCUAGAUUAUGAUGAAAAUGGAGAUGCAGAAGGAGGAGUUGAAGCUCAAGUGACAUGUGUUAUCUCUUCUCCAACUCUUUAUCUUUUGUAUUGGAUUCUUAAAUAUGGUUAAUAUGCAAGUUCUGGAUUUUGUGUCUAUUAUGUGUCUUUAAAGUUUAUGCCUUGGGUUUAGUUGAACUUUUUAUGAUUGUUAGUGUUUAUUAUUUGGUUAUUUGAUGUUAUUAUUUGAGCAAGUUAUUUAGCACUUUAGCUCUUUAAAUCAUAAUUAAUCUGGUACCAUUAAUUGUGAUUAUCUAAGGUGUUGUUUCUGCAAUGAAAAUUGAGAUUUAAUACUAGUUCAAGAAGUGCUAAACAUAGGGAGUACACUCACGAGAGUAGAGGUGUAUCUGUGUGGUUUAGUGAUUAAUUUCAUUGAAGAAUGAACUUGUAACUAAUUUCAUAACCAUGAGAAUAGGUAUGGAUUAGUUAUAAGUAUAGUUGAUUUACUACGAAAGUAGGAUUUAUAUGCAUAAGAAAAUUACAUCAUAACUAGCCUAGAUAGUAGUAUUCAAUUAUCCAAAUAUAGCACUUGCAUGAGUAGUUAGGGAUACCAUAAUCUAAGGAGCUUUCAUUUGUUAUUUUGCAUAAGUUUAGUAGGUUUCAUUUCUUAUAUUUCAUUGAUAGUGUAAAUAAUCGAGAAACUUGAGUAACACCGAUAAUUGUUUAAUCUUUCUCGUGGAAUCGACCCGAUACAUGCCCUAAACUACUAAUUUGAUCUAUAUACUUGCAGUGAAAUGGGUGUAAUUCGGAUUUUUAACUUGUACGUAUAUCAAAAGCCCGUCAAUAAUCUUAUUAAUAUUGAAAAAAAAGAAAGAUGUGGAGGAGGAGGGGGAGGGGGAGGGGGAGAGAGAAAGAACUCAAUUCUUUUUAAAAAAAUACAAAUAAGAAAAAAUUACAUACUUUUAUUAUUUUAAAAUUAUUUCAUUUUUCUAUUUACCACCAAAUUUCAAUCGUAAUCCCGACAACCUUAAAGUAAUACGAUGAUGUUAGACUCUUCUUUAUUUUCUUUCUUUGCAAAAUCUAAUUUUCUGUCUCCUUCUUUUCUAUCUCCUUUUCUUUUCCUAGCAUUAGUAAGUGUGAAAAAAGAAAUUUGAGAAAUUCUUUUAUUUUUAUGUUUUUGGAUCCCUUAAAGUGAAAAAAAGGAAGAAUAACCUUUCCAACUUUUUCAUUUUUCAUUAUAUAUAAAAAGGGUAAAUAUAUUUUAAAAAUUUUGACCAUACUAGUUAGAUUAACGAUGAGAUAAAAUGCUUAGAAAAUAAUGUUAGGAAUUAAAGUGAUUGUAUCACUAUAAUUUCAAGGGAUAAAAUGGUAAUAACAAUGUGAUAAUGGUAUAGAAUAAAGAGGUAUUUUCGUCUAAAAUUUUUUAGCAUGUUGAUAUAUUUUUUGUAUAUAAUAUUUAUAUAUAUUUAUAUAUAUAAAUAUUUUUGUAUAUUAAUUUUUGUAUUAAUAUUUAUAUAUGUAUUUAUAUAUUUAUUAAACAAAAUAUAUUUUUUUGUAUAUAAUAUUUAUAUAUAAAUAUAUUUUUUGUAUAUUUGGAGUUGUUUUUAAAAUAUUUGUUUGGAUAUGGUGUUUUUGAAGUUGUUUUUGUAAAAUUUUUACUGUAGCAUUGUAGAUGAAAAACAAAUUUUUGAAAAACUCUCAAAUCCAAACGGAGUCAAUGUUAGAGGGUAAACUGAUAGUAGUGAUAUAGUUUAAAGAAAUAAAGUGAUAAUAACCCAUAUUAAUAUGACCUCUCAUUUCUCUAUUCUUCUCAUUCCUACAAUCUUAAGGGCAAAAAGUUGACUAUUCUCUAAUCUCAAACUCUCAAAAGCAAUCAUAUUUGAUCAGGAUAUAAAUUGAAAAUACCCAUACACAUACUAUUGCUAAGAUGUGUGAUAUUUGCACUCUUAUAUUAGCCUCUCAUAUUGCAAUUCACUUACUGAAUAAAAGGCCAUCUAUGAGUGUGAGUGGCAAAUUUGGGAGUGGAAAUAUCACUUUUUUGUUUCUAAUUAGAUGCAUGUAGUGGUUUUAUAUGUUUAAGGAGAAAACUUUUGGAUAUAUACAAAAUUAAUUAUUAGUUUCAACUUCACAUAUAAAAGAUCACAUGUAUUUAGGACCAACUACAUAAAUUUGAAAUUUGGUAGAUAAUAAAAAUGAAAUAAUUAAUUAGUUGAAUAGAUCACAAGUAUUUAGUUUUGAAAAAAAAUUUCUUGGCAUAGUAAAUAGAAUUUUGAAUAAAUCAACAUGUAAUGCUAAUGCAAUUAAUAACAAGUUGAACUUCAUAGAUUAACAACAAAAUAUCAAGGUAAAAAAUAUUUAAAGAGGAAAAGUUUAAAUUUUUCAUAAAACAAAAGUUAGGUGUUGGGUGACAAUGCAAUUUCAUUAAAUCUAAUGGGGCAUAAUAAAGAUCUUCAAUGAAAAUUUUUGAAAUUUCAUAGGGACUAAAAACAAUAAAAAACUUGGCUGUCCCCGUAGCUUCCCGCCGCCCAUGAAAAAUUGGCCACAUGCAUGGUUUAUUGCCCCACUCAAAACGAUUGAUUGGCAUUCUGAAAGAUUAUUUUGCUGAUGUCCAUGAAAGGAAUUAUGUGACAUCCUGUAAUAAUUAUUAUUAGAAUAGGAAAGAAGAAUCUCUUAUCCAUUGGUCCCCUCGUCUUUGUCUGCAUUGAUCAAUGUUCUGUGGUAUAAGAUAAGCAGGAAUGAUUGUACACAAUCUAAAUUACUAAAGCUAAAAAUCAACCAAACAACUGAACCACUAACAAUACUUAAAAAUGAAACCAGGUACCCUUACAUCUUUGUAAUAUUAGAUUGACAUAUAUAAUUUGAUAUCAAAGUAGAGAACAAACUAAACAAGGAUUUAUUUAAUUAUGGCAACAUAAUGGAUAGAACUCCCAAGCUGCAGAAGACAUACGUAAAAACAUCAGAGCAACAAAUAUAGAUCACUUGGGAGGCGUUAACAAGUUUCUGUACUAUAUUUAGUGCUUCGGAACCCAGACAAUGUGAUCCUCAGGAAGGAAAUGGCAGAUUGGAACAGUUCCUGGCUUCACCUUCAGCAGCUGAAAAGCCAAAUGCUUUGGGUUCCAUGCCGAUGUAUCCCGGUGACAAACAGCUACAGCCUUGACUUUUGCUCCAUCGGCACCAACUAAAUUAACCAUAUAUGCAUCUGUAUCCUGUGUGGUGUGGCAGUAGAAAACUGCGUAGAAAUAGUUUUGCCUGUGGCAAGAAACUAUUUCUUUAUCGUUGUUGUUCAACUUCGAAACAGACACAAUACCAUAUUUCUGGACUUUUGCAUCUGUUUUUUGUGCUUCGUUAGAAAUUGCUAGAACAUCUUUGCCCAGCUUUGAAGUAGUGAAAUCAACCAUUGAUUCGAGAGAAGUCGCACAAUACUUGUCUUCCCCUUUCAUUGCAGGCACCUCGCAUUCUGCUAUCGUUUCCUUAAUAAUUCCAGCAUCUUGUGAUUGUGGAUUCAGUGAGUAUUUGUUCAAAAUUUCAG
RNAcentral lists this long non-coding RNA (167450 nucleotides) under Coffea arabica (coffee). Its description in RNAcentral is "long non-coding RNA (CARA_LNC006063)". The record is from RNAcentral. Lineage: Eukaryota; Viridiplantae; Streptophyta; Magnoliopsida; Gentianales; Rubiaceae.